This 126696-nucleotide long non-coding RNA is filed under the name Triticum aestivum (bread wheat). RNAcentral's name for it is "long non-coding RNA (TAES_LNC021980)". The record is from RNAcentral. Lineage: Eukaryota; Viridiplantae; Streptophyta; Magnoliopsida; Poales; Poaceae.
GCACCUGCGUGAGCAAGCUCCAAAUGUAGGCCUGGCUGGUGUAUGGUUUGCUACAUUCGUUCACAGUCUACCUAGAGUUCCCAGCCGCUGAAUCUUUGCUCUAUAUAAAUGUGGAGAAGGCAACAAUGGAAGAUUGUCAAGGAACCAUGCAGUCUCUGCUAGCCCUUGGUCUGCUGCUGCUUCUGAGCCUCGACGGAGGUGUGGCCUUGGCGGCGGAAGACGGCCGGUUCGCCUACCAAGGCUUCGCCACCGCGAACCUCACGCUGGAUGGCGUCGCCGCCGUCACGCCCAACGGCCUCCUGCUGCUCACCGACACGGAGUACCAGACAACAGGCCAUGCCUUCCACCCCGCACCACUCCGCUUCCUCGACAGCUCCACCGCGACGGCGAACAGCGCCGCCAAUGCGCGGUCCUUCUCCGCGUCCUUCGUGUUCGCCAUUAGGUUCAGAACUCCAGAUACGAUGGCCUGACCAGCUACGGGCUUGCGUUCGUCGUCGCGCCGACCUCGAACCUCUCAGCUGCCGAGAGCGGGCGGUACCUGGGCCUCCUCAACGGGACAAACGGCACGGCCAGCGAUCCCAUCUUGGCGGUCGAGCUCGACACCAUCAUGGACGUCGAGUUCCGCGACAUCAACAGCAACCACGUCUGCAUCGGCGUCAACAGCCUCAUCUCACGGCAGGCCAAGCUGGCUGGGUACUGCAGCGACGAGAACGGCACCUUUCAAGAGCUGAGGCUGAACAGCCGCCAACCGAUGCAGGUCAUGGUUUUCAUUUUCACUGUAAUUUCAUCAUGUCAGCAAUUAUAGUAGUACACAUGAAUUCAGAUUACUUACAAAGUAGUUCCUCCGUUCCUAAAUAUAAGUUUUUUAGAGAUUCUAAUAUGGAUUAAAAAUAAAGCAAAAUGAGUAAAUCUACGCUCUAAAAUAUGUCUAUAUACAUUUGUAUGUAGUCCUAUUAAAAUUUCUAAAAGGACUAAUAUUUGGAAACGGAGGUAGUAACAUUUUGGAAAGAAAAUAUUUGGUCGGAUCUCAAUCAAAUUCAAGUGAAAAUUUUGGUCCUCUCACCAAAAUGAAAACCUAAACCACUCAUUUCAGAUAUGGCUGAAAUGAGAUGUGCUUCGGUACAACCCCCCUCUAAAACGUAUAAAGGGUAGGUAGUACAGACAUUUCACAUAUUGUAUCCAUUUCUAAAUGUACGAUAGUGCCCGCUGAGUAUAAAUCCUGGGUACUCAAGCAUCCUGGGUAGUAACAUUGAGUUGUAGUGAGAUUCGUACUCGUUACCUCUCAGUAUAAAUCCUCUAGCUGUCUAGCAGAACCAACUGGGACACCUCGGGCUACUGUGCUACCUACGACAUUUGAAUCUUCUUGUUCACGCGGCAGAUGUGACGCUAAAAAAAGAGAAACGCUAGGGAUCAGAUCAGACCACUUCGUCAUCAUUCUUUUUUUAGGCGAAAUACUUCGUCAUCAUUCGAUUUGUAGAAACUGACACACAAAUCCGAUUGGAAGGCAUAGAACGUGCGCCAGCAAAGCUUUUACCUUAUGUGAUUGGUGGAAAGUAAUAACUGCCCAUAGAUCACGUGAGUUGGGAAACAAAUCACUGAUUUAAGGAAGCAAAAUAAAUGUUAGAAAACUAAUUCAAGAUUUUAAAGAAAAAUAAUCAAUCUAGCGAAAUUUGUAUCCAAUGUUACCAAAAAUUAGUUCAUGUGCAACUAAGAAGACACCAAAAAAUUUCGUCUCUAUUCAUUUGCAGUGCACCAAAACUACGCUCAAAUUUUGCCUCCACAUCAACUCAAAAUUAACAUGCUUCAUUGGUCCGUAUAACAUGUUUCCAACUAGCUAAAUAUUUGCUUCAUUCCCAUCUCCAAAAUCAUAGGAUUCAUAUUCUCAUAUCACACGUAUUAUGUAUUCACCAUAAUAUUAGCUUCAAGUCUGGUAUCCAUGUGCUUGCCUCCUUACGUUCUUUAUUGUACAAGCUCGUAGCCACUGUCGACCGAGGGCUUGUUGUGAACUGACACGGUGAAGUUGUUGAUGAGAUCGGACCAGGUGAUUAAAUUAUGAUUUUAAAUUAUUUUUCGUUCAAACAUUUAUUAAAUGUUUUUUUAAAAAGCCUUUAUAGUUUUCAAUUUUGUCCCUUAUUAUUUAUUAGUUAUGUUAAAAACUUAAAAGCAGUUUUAAGUACCUACCUAAAUUAUGAUUUUAAAUAUAUUUUCCAAACUUAGCAUAGAUGCUUAAUAUAGGCAGGCCCACCUGCUAGCGAAAGUUGUGGUCAUAUCAAGAAUGUCCCAAACAUAUGCAACGUAGGUUGUCCGGGUAAGCCAGAAGGCACCGUUUGAUAGCACGUUGUUUCCCAACAUCAGUCAAAUGAACCUAAUUUUUUUUAUUGGCUUGUAUGAUCAACUCAAGGCAUCAUGGCAGGUUGUUUUAUUUUUCAACAAUUUUUUUAUUUACUAGAGUUUUCUUGGUCAAAAAGACCAAUAAACGGUCAGACAUGUCGUAGCUUGUAUAUGGUGUCAGAAAUUGUGCAAACCUGGCAUGAAUGCCUACCAUGGACAUGCCUGCCUAUUUCUAGAACUUGGGGUCAUUUCAAGAAUUUCUAAAACUAAACCAUGUUCAACAUAAGGUGUGCAGGUAAGGCAGAAGGCUCUGUUUGAGAGCUUGUUGUUCCUCAACAUCCUUGAAUUGGCCCCAACUUUAACCAAGGGUGUGUCUACCUUCUUUCAAAAGUUGGGUUCAUUUCAUACAUGUUAAAAAAUACAACGUGUUCAACCGAGGGUGUUUGGGUAGGCGAGAACGGUCUGUUUGGGAGCACUUCAUUUCUCAACAUCCUAAAAUGGCUCCAACUUUUUCUUGGUCUUGUAUGGCCAAUUCAAGGCACCAUGCCAAGCUGUUUCAGUUUUCGAUAAUUCUUGCAUUUUCUGAAGUUUUCUCGAUGAAAAAUGCCCGGACGUGAUGCAACUUUCACACAGUGUCGGAAUGCAUUCAAACAUGGCAUAGAUGCCUACCAUGGGCAUGCCCACCUGCUUGCAAAAGUUGGGGUCUAUUCAUGCAUGUCCAAAAAUAACCAUGUUCAACAGAGGGGGUUCGAAUAGGCCAAAACGGUCCAUUUGAGAGUCCAUUUUUUUCAUGGCCUUGUAUGACCAAAUCAAAGUGCCAUGGCAAGUUAUUUGAAUUUUCGACAAUUUUUGCAUUUUUUGGAGUUUUCUUAGUGAAAAAUGGUCAAACAUGAUGAAACUUGCAUACAGUGUAGGAAUUCAUUCAAAUAUGACAUGGAUGCCUACCAUGGGCAUGCCCACUUGCUGACAAAGUUAGAUCAUUUCAUGCAUGUCAAAAAAUAGAUCAUAUUCAAUGGAGAGUGUUCAGGUAGGCGAGAAGGGUCCGUUCGAGACCAUUUUUUUACAUCCAUCACACAUGACCCAAAUUUAUUCCAUGAGCUUAUAUGGCCAAUUCUAGGCACCAUGCCAAGUUGUUUGAGUUUUCAAAAAAAAUCCUUUUCUGGAGUUUUCUUGGUGAAAAGGACCGAUAAAUAGUCGGGCAUGUCGCAACAUGCAAGCGAUGUCGGAAGUCGUUCAAACCUGGCAUGGAUGCCUCAUGUGUCCGUACCAGGCUGCUGAAAAAAGUUGGGGUCAAUUAUCCAUAGUCCAAAAAACCACUAGUUGAGAGGAGUGUGCUAAACUAGGCCAGACGAGUCCUGUGAGCAUGUAGUUUUUCCCAAUUUGAAAGCUUCUGUUAUUUGUAACUUCUGCCAUUAUCAACCAAAAUGAACAUUUUAUUGUGAACUAACCAUCUCUUGAAAUUUGCGAACAAUUUUGAAAUUUCAAUUUGUGUAUGAAAGUUUUACAAGUUUGAACACCUUUUCCACAAUUGAUAACAAAUUCCCAACAAUUGAUGAAAAUUUUGACAAAAAUAGGAAACAACGUACUUUUCUAUAAAAUCAUCAUUUUUUUGGAAGCACAAGCAUUUAUUCUACACAAAACAUUUUUUAAGAUUCUAGAAUAUUUUUUAAAAUUCUAUUUUUUUUUUAAAACAAGAACAUUUUAGGGUAUUCCAAAUAAUUUUCCAACUUUUUGAACAAGUUUGAAAAAGAAUUAACAAAAAAUAGAAAACAAUGCUUAGCCGUUGGCUUAACUAGGGGACGGCAACGAUCCCAUCAGGCGCCUGUUGGGGGAAACUCCAUUUGAUGCUUAUUACGUCAAACAGUCGUUGUUUCUCACACACCCAAUCGAUACGAGUGAACAUGAGCCAGCCCAUUUUAAUCUGUUCAUUGCCUCUGCAGAUGCCGGUUUUUAGAACCUUUUAGAUGGUUACAGGCCGAUUUUUACCUGUUUCGGGAAUGUUUAAAAAGGUUCAUGAAUCUUUUUGUUUUUCAAAAUUGCAAACUUCAAAAAAUGUUCAACGUAUUUAUUUAUUUAUUCACAUUUAAAAAAAAUCAAAAAUACCAAAAAUGGUCGCAUUUUCAACAAGUUUAAAGUUUCAAAAUAGUUUGUGUUUUAAAAAAUUGCCAGGAUUUUAAAAAAAUCUCAUUAUUUUAAAUUGGUUCGGAGUUUAUAAAUGUGUUCCGCUUUUUGGAAAAUUUGUUUGAAUUUUAAAACUUUUGUUUACAAUUUGGAAAAAUGUCCGCGUUUAAAAAAAUCACGUCCUAAUAUCCAAAAAAAAUGGUCAAAUAUGUCACUGGUCAUGGUUUUUAAAACCCGCGCUGCCAAUUAGUCAAGAUGGGUGUCUCAAUCUAGUGGUUGUGCUGGAUUGUGUUGAUGUGGGAGCUCUUGUGUUCGUUUCCUGCUUGGAGCAAUUCUUUUUAGAUUUUCCACUGUUUCACUACAAGUCACAAAACUGCAAGUCCACUACGCACGUCGUUUGCUGCUGGGCCAGCCCAGUUUACUGCUCCCUGUACGGUCUGGGUGACGUAUUGUGUUCAAUUCCUGCUGGGAGCAAUUCUUUUUAGAUUUUCCACUGUUUCACUACAAGUCACAAAACUGCAAGUCCACUACGCACGUCGUUUGCUGCUGGGCCAGCCCAGUUUACUGCUCCCUGUAUGGUCUGGGUGACGUAUUUCGUAAAAGGACCAUCCUGCCCUUUCUUAUGAAGAGGUAUGACCAGAUCUGGUUCGUCAACGUGUCUAAGGGGGUUGUAUCGAAAAAGAAGUGGGCUGGAAUAUUUCUAAAACUGAAAUUCAAAACCAUGUGCAGGUGUGGGUAGACUAUGAUGCACAGGCCAGACGACUCAACGUGACAUUAGCGUCCGUGCAUGUACCAAGGCCCAAGAUUCCUCUACUCUCCGAAGUCAUUGAUCUCUCCACAGUCAUGGCAGACAAGAUGUACGUUGACUUUUCAGCUUCCGGAGGUUGGGGCGUAGGCACACACCACUAUGUCCUUGGAUGGAGCUUCAUCUUGGACGGACCCACCCCGCUGCUAGACUUCUCCACGCUGCUAGACCAUACAGGGAGCAAUUCUUUUUAGAUUUUCCACUGUUUCACUACAAGUCACAAAACUGCAAGUCCACUACGCACGUCGUUUGCUGCUGGGCCAGCCCAGUUUACUGCUCCCUGUAUGGUCUGGGUGACGUAUUUCGUAAAAGGACCAUCCUGCCCUUUCUUAUGAAGAGGUAUGACCAGAUCUGGUUCGUCGACGUGUCUAAGGGGGUUGUAUCAAAAAAGAAGUGGGCUGGAAUAUUUCUAAAACUGAAAUUCAAAACCAUGUGCAGGUGUGGGUAGACUAUGAUGCACAGGCCAGACGACUCAACGUGACAUUAGCGUCCGUGCAUGUACCAAGGCCCAAGAUUCCUCUACUCUCCGAAGUCAUUGAUCUCUCCACAGUCAUGGCAGACAAGAUGUACGUUGACUUUUCAGCUUCCGGAGGUUGGGGCGUAGGCACACACCACUAUGUCCUUGGAUGGAGCUUCAGCUUGGAUGGACCCACCCCGCUGCUAGACUUCUCCACGCUUCCUGUCCUACCACGCCUGGGUCCCAAACCUCAGUCAAAGAUCUUGGAUGUCGUGCUGCCACUGGCCGCGGCAUUGCUUGUCAUUGCAAUGCUAGCUAUCAUCUUCUUCUUCUUGUGGCAUCGUCGUCGAUUUGCUGAGGUACGAGAAGAUUGGGAGGACGAGUUCGGCCCACAUUGUUUCGCGUACAAGGAUCUAUUUCAUGCCACUGAGGGGUUUUUUGGUACGAAUUUACUUGGUGUGGGAGGAUUUGGAAGAGUGUACAGAGGAGUGCUUUUUUCGUCCAACUUGAAGGUUGCGGUGAAGAGAGUGUCACAUGAUUCGAAACAAGGAAUAAGGGAGUUCAUUGCUGAGGUGGUGAGCAUUGGUCGUCUCCGCCACCAGAAUCUUGCGCGGUUACUAGGCUAUUGCCGGCGAAAGGGUGAACUUUUCUUGGUUUAUGACUACAUGGAAAAUGGUAGUCUUGACAAAUACUUGUACAAUGGAAACAAGCCAACUCUACAAUGGUCCGAGAGGUAUCGGAUCAUCAAAGUCACUCUCGUGCUCCUACCCAUCAUCCAGUGCAAGGCCUAGCAUGCGGAAGAUCGUGCAAUACCUGGACCGUGCAAUACCUGUCUCCAACUUACGUGAGUUACAACAUGUUAGCAAUGAUGCAGCAUGAAGGGUUCGAUUCGUACAUAAUACCGUCCAAUUCGUCGAAUAGCACUGUGUGUCGUCAGUCUUCGGUGACAAUUCUACAGGAGGGGAGGUGAAGGCUUGCAAGUGACGCCUCUUGUUUUUGUUUCUUGUCUCAUUGUUCCUUUAAGUGCUUGUAAUCCACUUCUGAUGUGAGCUUUCCUUUGAAUAUCUUGUGAACCAGGUAUGCUGGGGGAGCUCUUUUACUAAUGUACGAAACCGAGUUUUCAUAGUGAUAUUUCUAUCUUGUACAUAAGUUUAGUGGUCAUUAGUGAUAUUACCUCAACUUUCCAGUGACAGUCUCUAGCAAGUCGAUCUGCACCCAUGCACAAUUCUCCCAAAUUAAAUGAUUCACCUAGGUACGCUUACUCUAUGCUAGUUAGAGCAUUUCUAACCGAUCCCCUAAAAUUUAGCGGAGUAAAAGGCUUAGUGAAGGGCUUAGUGGAGUAUAUAUAUACUGCACUAGGUUUUGGCUGGACUUAGCCGAUCCCCUAAAUAUAACGAAGUAAAUUUUUGUUUUUUUAAACUUUGCAAUUCUAGUAUAAAUUGCAACUACAUAUUGGCACACAUAUAUAAACUAAACAUAGUUUUCCACUAGUGGUUGUGCUGGAUUGUGUUGAUGUGGGAGCUCUUGUGUUCGAUUCCUGCUGGGAGCAAUUCUUUUUAGAUUUUCCACUGUUUCACUACAAGUCACAAAACUGCAAGUCCACUACGCACGUCGUUUGUUGCUGGGCCAGCCCAGUUUACUGCUCCCUGUACGGUCUGGGUGACGUAUUGUGUUCGAUUCCUGCUGGGAGCAAUUCUUUUUAGAUUUUCCACUGUUUCACUACAAGUCACAAAACUGCAAGUCCACUACGCACGUCGUUUGCUGCUGGGCCAGCCCAGUUUAUUGCUCCCUGUAUGGUCUGGGUGACGUAUUUCGUAAAAGGACCAUCCUGCCCUUUCUUAUGAAGAGGUAUGACCAGAUCUGGUUCGUCGACGUGUCUAAGGGGGUUGUAUCGAAAAAGAAGUGGGCUGGAAUAUUUCUAAAACUGAAAUUCAAAACCAUGUGCAGGUGUGGGUAGACUAUGAUGCACAGGCCAGACGACUCAACGUGACAUUAGCGUCCGUGCAUGUACCAAGGCCCAAGAUUCCUCUACUCUCCGAAGUCAUUGAUCUCUCCACAGUCAUGGCAGACAAGAUGUACGUUGACUUUUCAGCUUCCGGAGGUUGGGGCGUAGGCACACACCACUAUGUCCUUGGAUGGAGCUUCAGCUUGGACGGACCCACCCCGCUGCUAGACUUCUCCACGCUUCCCGUCCUACCACGCCUGGGUCCCAAACCUCAGUCAAAGAUCUUGGAUGUCGUGCUGCCACUGGCCGCGGCAUUGCUUGUCAUUGCAAUGCUAGCUAUCAUCUUCUUCUUCUUGUGGCAUCGUCGUCGAUUUGCUGAGGUACGAGAAGAUUGGGAGGACGAGUUCAGCCCACAUUGUUUCGCGUACAAGGAUCUAUUUCAUGCCACUGAGGGGUUUUUUGGUACGAAUUUACUUGGUGUGGGAGGAUUUGGAAGAGUGAACAGAGGAGUGCUUUUUCCGUCCAACUUGAAGGUUGUGGUGAAGAGAGUGUCACAUGAUUCGAAACAAGGAAUAAGGGAGUUCAUUGCUGAGGUGGUGAGCAUUGGUCAUCUCCGCCACCAGAAUCUUGCGCGGUUACUAGGCUAUUGCCGGCGAAAGGGUGAACUUUUCUUGGUUUAUGACUACAUGGAAAAUGGUAGUCUUGACAAAUACUUGUACAAUGGAAACAAGCCAACUCUACAAUGGUCCGAGAGGUAUCGGAUCAUCAAAGUCACUCUCGUGCUCCUACCCAUCAUCCAGUGCAAGGCCUAGCAUGCGGAAGAUCGUGCAAUACCUGGACCGUACAAUACCUGUCUCCAACUUAUGUGAGUUACAACAUGUUAGCAAUGAUGCAGCAUGAAGGGUUCGAUUCGUACAUAAUACCGUCCAAUUCGUCGAAUAGCACUGUGUGUCGUCAGUCUUCGGUGACAAUUCUACAGGAGGGGAGGUGAAGGCUUGCAAGUGACGCCUCUUGUUUUUGUUUCUUGUCUCAUUGUUCCUUUAAGUGCUUGUAAUCCACUUCUGAUGUGAGCUUUCCUUUGAAUAUCUUGUGAACCAGGUAUGCUGGGGGAGCUCUUUUACUAAUGUACGAAACCGAGUUUUCAUAGUGAUAUUUCUAUCUUGUACAUAAGUUUAGUGGUCAUUAGUGAUAUUACCUCAACUUUCCAGUGACAGUCUCUAGCAAGUCGAUCUGCACCCAUGCACAAUUCUCCCAAAUUAAAUGAUUCACCUAGGUACGCUUACUCUAUGCUAGUUAGAGCAUUUCUAACCGAUCCCCUAAAAUUUAGCGGAGUAAAAGGCUUAGUGAAGGGCUUAGUGGAGUAUAUAUAUACUGCACUAGGUUUUGGCUGGACUUAGCCGAUCCCCUAAAUAUAACGAAGUAAAUUUUUGUUUUUUUAAACUUUGCAAUUCUAGUAUAAAUUGCAACUACAUAUUGGCACACAUAUAUAAACUAAACAUAGUUUUCCACUAGUGGUUGUGCUGGAUUGUGUUGAUGUGGGAGCUCUUGUGUUCGAUUCCUGCUGGGAGCAAUUCUUUUUAGAUUUUCCACUGUUUCACUACAAGUCACAAAACUGCAAGUCCACUACGCACGUCGUUUGCUGCUGGGCCAGCCCAGUUUAUUGCUCCCUGUAUGGUCUGGGUGACGUAUUUCGUAAAAGGACCAUCCUGCCCUUUCUUAUGAAGAGGUAUGACCAGAUCUGGUUCGUCGACGUGUCUAAGGGGGUUGUAUCGAAAAAGAAGUGGGCUGGAAUAUUUCUAAAACUGAAAUUCAAAACCAUGUGCAGGUGUGGGUAGACUAUGAUGCACAGGCCAGACGACUCAACGUGACAUUAGCGUCCGUGCAUGUACCAAGGCCCAAGAUUCCUCUACUCUCCGAAGUCAUUGAUCUCUCCACAGUCAUGGCAGACAAGAUGUACGUUGACUUUUCAGCUUCCGGAGGUUGGGGCGUAGGCACACACCACUAUGUCCUUGGAUGGAGCUUCAGCUUGGACGGACCCACCCCGCUGCUAGACUUCUCCACCCUUCCCGUCCUACCACGCCUGGGUCCCAAACCUCAGUCAAAGAUCUUGGAUGUCGUGCUGCCACUGGCCGCGGCAUUGCUUGUCAUUGCAAUGCUAGCUAUCAUCUUCUUCUUCUUGUGGCAUCGUCGUCGAUUUGCUGAGGUACGAGAAGAUUGGGAGGACGAGUUCAGCCCACAUUGUUUCGCGUACAAGGAUCUAUUUCAUGCCACUGAGGGGUUUUUUGGUACGAAUUUACUUGGUGUGGGAGGAUUUGGAAGAGUGUACAGAGGAGUGCUUUUUCCGUCCAACUUGAAGGUUGCGGUGAAGAGAGUGUCACAUGAUUCGAAACAAGGAAUAAGGGAGUUCAUUGCUGAGGUGGUGAGCAUUGGUCGUCUCCGCCACCAGAAUCUUGCGCGGUUACUAGGCUAUUGCCGGCGAAAGGGUGAACUUUUCUUGGUUUAUGACUACAUGGAAAAUGGUAGUCUUGACAAAUACUUGUACAAUGGAAACAAGCCAACUCUACAAUGGUCCGAGAGGUAUCGGAUCAUCAAAGUCACUCUCGUGCUCCUACCCAUCAUCCAGUGCAAGGCCUAGCAUGCGGAAGAUCGUGCAAUACCUGGACCGUGCAAUACCUGUCUCCAACUUACGUGAGUUACAACAUGUUAGCAAUGAUGCAGCAUGAAGGGUUCGAUUCGUACAUAAUACCGUCCAAUUCGUCGAAUAGCACUGUGUGUCGUCAGUCUUCGGUGACAAUUCUACAGGAGGGGAGGUGAAGGCUUGCAAGUGACGCCUCUUGUUUUUGUUUCUUGUCUCAUUGUUCCUUUAAGUGCUUGUAAUCCACUUCUGAUGUGAGCUUUCCUUUGAAUAUCUUGUGAACCAGGUAUGCUGGGGGAGCUCUUUUACUAAUGUACGAAACCGAGUUUUCAUAGUGAUAUUUCUAUCUUGUACAUAAGUUUAGUGGUCAUUAGUGAUAUUACCUCAACUUUCCAGUGACAGUCUCUAGCAAGUCGAUCUGCACCCAUGCACAAUUCUCCCAAAUUAAAUGAUUCACCUAGGUACGCUUACUCUAUGCUAGUUAGAGCAUUUCUAACCGAUCCCCUAAAAUUUAGCGGAGUAAAAGGCUUAGUGAAGGGCUUAGUGGAGUAUAUAUAUACUGCACUAGGUUUUGGCUGGACUUAGCCGAUCCCCUAAAUAUAACGAAGUAAAUUUUUGUUUUUUUAAACUUUGUAAUUCUAGUAUAAAUUGCAACUACAUAUUGGCACACAUAUAUAAACUAAACAUAAAUUUAAAUGUUCAACCAAAUUAUGAAUAUAGUUUACAAACUGAAUUUAAACACGCUGAAUGGUUCAACGUAGCAAAUAGCAUUUUAUAGAACAACUAGGACUCGCUUAGACGUUGCCAAUGAUGCUCAACAAGAUCUUGUUGGAGCUGAGUAUGAACUUGACAGUUCUCGAUCUUGCGAUGCCCCUCAAGGGAUGUCAAGAUCUUAUUUGUAUCAUAUUGUGGCUCAACCGGAGUCCUAUUGGUGAUGUACCGAAAGUUCUCAGGCAUAUCUCUCUCGUUUUCAAUGAGCAUGUUAUGCAAUAUGAUACAACAAGUGAUGAUUCGCCAUAGAACCUUGGAGUUUAGUACUCGGCAGGGUCACGAACAAUUGCAAAGCGCUUCUAAAGCACAUUGAAGGAUCUUUCCAUAUUUUUUCUUGCAGCUUCUUGAUAUUGGGCAAAGUAAGUGUUUUUGUUAUCUUUUGAAUACAUAGACAACGAGCUCGAGACCGUGGGAUCCAUCUCCAUGUGAGCAGAUAGCCACUAACUCUAGCCGGCCUAUCAUUCCUAGUACGAGGCAGACGUAUUACGCUGAAUUCAAUGUUUCAGCACACUGAAAAUCAUUCCCCUUAUUUUCCUGCUUCCUUCCACAUGCAACGACGAACGCUCCUUGCCUUGCCCUGUGUGGCACGGUGCUUGAGAGCAACUCCAGCCGCGUCCCCAACAAGGUCCCCCAGGCAACUUUUCGGCCGCCUGCGCCAAAAAAUCGGCCCAGUCGCGUCCCAGGGGCCCAUUUUUCAUCGUCUCGGCCCGAAAUUGGCGUCGGCGGACCCAACCAGAACCCGGCGCCUGGGGGGCGCUCGGGGGCGCUGGGCGAAUCAUUUUUGACGCGAAAGCGCCGUGGGGCAGCCGCGUCAGCGACACCGCCGCCUCGUCUUCCCGACGCCUCGGUUUCCCACGGGGAAUCAAUGGCAAGGCUGCCGCCGGUCAUCUUUGCCAUUGAUUCCUCACGGGCGGCGCGUCACGGGGCGGCGCACCGACGUGCGCCGACGCCUUCCCUCCCUCGGACGCGUACACACGGACGCGGUGCGGCUAUAUAUGGUCUCGCUCGCCGCGUUCGAGUGCCACCUCUCCACACCUCUCCCGAGCGCCGCCGCCGAGCUCCUCUCCCUACCACAGCCCUCCCUCUCCCGCCGGUCUCUUCUCCCCAGCCACUCCCUCUCCCCGAUGGCCGAGCGUUUCCCCGGAGAUGAGGCGGCGGCCAACGGCUUCGGCCGCCGUUCGCUCCGCGAACAGGAGUCCUGGCUCCUGUUCCAGGCGAACAUCCCGGUGCCGCGGGACAUGCGCGCCGGGCCGACGGGCUGGAGGCUCAGCAAUGGGGGAGUGCCCAUUCCCCCGUUGCCCGACGCCGUCAACAAGCCAUCGUACUUCGCCGACGAGGUCGAGAUUGCGCGCGCCUCUCUCAACGACGCCGAGCGCUCCCUUCCCCAGUACGCCGCCGACAACAACGCGGCAUGGACGGCAUACUUUGAACGCUGCCAGCAGCAGCGGCUGGCGUCCACCAACGGGGCGCCGUGUUGGGGAACGUAGCAGAAAUUCAAAAUUUUCCUACGUGUCAUCAAGAUCUAUCUAUGGAGAAACCAGCAACAAGGGGAAGGAGAGUGCAUCUACAUACCCUUGUAGAUCGCUAAGCGGAAGCGUUCAAGAGAACGGGGUUGAAGGAUUCGUACUCGUCGUGAUCCAAAUCACCAGAGAUCCUAGUGCCGAACGGACGGCACCUCCAUGUUCAACACACGUACAGCCCGGUGACGUCUCCCAUGCCUUGAUCCAGCAAUGAGAGAGGGAGAGGUUGAGGAAGACUCCAUCCAGCAGCAGCACAACGGCGUGGUGGUGAUGGAGGAGCGUGGCAAUCCUGCAGGGCUUCGCCAAGCACCGCGGGAGAGGAGAAAGGAGAGAGGUAGGGCUGCGCCUUGAGGGAGAGAUUCUUGUGUCUCUGGCAGCCCCAAAACCGCCACUAUUUAUAGGAGGAGGGGAGGUGGUUGCACCCCCAUCUAGGGUUCCCACCCUAGGGGUGCGGCAUCCCUAGAUGGGACUUGGAGGGGGCGGCCAAGAGGGGGAGAGAGGGGGCGCGCCCUAGGGUGGGCCUUUAGGCCCAUCUGCGCCUAGGGUUUCCCCUUUCCCCUCCUAGCUGCGCCUUGGGCCUUGGUGGGAGGCGCACCAGCCCACUCUGGGGCUGGUCCCUUUCCACACUAGGCCCAUGCAAGCCUGCGGGGCUGGUGGCCCCUCCCUGUGGACCCCCGGAACCCUUUCGGUGGUCCCGGUACAUUACUGGUGACCCCUGAAACACUUCCGGUGGCCAAAACCUCACUUCCUAUAUAUUAUUCUUUACCUCCGGACCAUUCCGGAACUCCUCAUGACAUCCGGGACCUCAUCCGGGACCCCGAACAACAUUCGGUAAUCACAUACAAACUUCCUUUAUAACCCUAGCGUCAUCGAACCUUAAGUGUGUAGACCCUAUGGGUUCGGGAACCAUGCAGACAUGACCGAGACGUUCUCCGGUCAAUAACCAACAGCGGGAUCUGGAUACCCAUGUUGGCUCCCACAUGUUCCACGAUGAUCUCAUCGGAUGAACGACGAUGUCAAGGACUCAAUCGAUCCCGUAUACAAUUCCCUUUGUCUAGCGGUAUUGUACUUGCCUGAGAUUCGAUCGUCGGUAUACCGAUACCUUGUUCAAUCUCGUUACCGGCAAGUCUCUUUACUCGUUCCGUAACACAUCAUCCCGCGAUCAACUCUUUGAUCACAUUGUGCACAUUAUGAUGAUGUCCUACCGAGUGGGCCCAGAGAUACCUCUCCGUCACACGGAGUGACAAAUCCCAGUCUCGAUUCGUGCCAACCCAACAGACACUUUUGGAGAUACCUGUAGUGCACCUUUAUAGCCACCCAGUUACGUUGUGACGUUUGGUACACCCAAAGCAUUCCUACGGUAUCUGGGAGUUGCACAAUCUCAUGGUCUAAGGAAAUGAUACUUGACAUUAGAAAAGUUUUAGCAUACAAACUACGAUCUUUGUGCUAGGCUUAGGAUUGGGUCUUGUCCAUCACAUCAUUCUCCUAAUGAUGUGAUCCCAUUAUCAAUGACAUCCAAUGUCCAUGGUCAGGAAACCGUAACCAUCUAUUGAUCAACGAGCUAGUCAACUAGAGGCUUACUAGGGACAUGGUGUUGUCUAUGUAUCCACACAUGUAUCUGAGUUUCCUAUCAAUACAAUUAUAGCAUGGAUAAUAAACGAUUAUCAUGAACAAGGAAAUAUAAUAAUAACUAAUUUAUUAUUGCCUCUAGGGCAUAUUUCCAACAGUCUCCCACUUGCACUAGAGUCAAUAAUCUAUUUCACAUCGCCAUGUGAUUAACACUCACACGUCACAUCACCAUGUGACCAACAUCCAAAGAGUUUACUAGUGUCAUUAAACUAGUUCACAUCAUCAUGUGAUUAAGACUCGAUGAGUUCUGGAGUUUGAUCAUGUUUUGCUUGUGAGAGAAGGUUUUAGUCAACGGGUCCGCAACAUUCAGAUCCGUAUGUACUUCGCAAAUCUCUAGGUCAUAUUGUAAAUGUUGCUUCCACGCUCCAUUUGGAGCUAUUCCAAAUGGUCGUUCCACUAUACAUAUCCGGUUUGCUACUCAGACUCAUUCGGAUAGGUUUUAAAGCUUGCAUCGACGUAACCCUUUACGUCGAACUCUUUAUCACCUCCAUAAUCGAGAAACAUAUCCUUAUUCCUCUAAGGAUAAUUUUGACCGCUAUCUGGUGAUCCACUCAUUGAUCACCUUUGUGCCCUCUUGCCAGAUAUGUAGCAAGGCACACAUCAGGUGUGGUACACAGCAUAGCAUACUGUAGAGCCUAUGUCUAAAGCAUAGGGGACGACCUUCGUCCUUUCUCUCUUUUCUGCCGUGGUCGAGCUUUAAGUCUUAACUUCAUACCUUACAUCUCAGGCAAGAACUCCUUCUUUGACUGAUCCAUCUUGAACACCUUCAAGAUCAUGUCAAGGUAUAUGCUCAUUUGAAAGUACCAUUAAGCGGUUUUUGAUCUAUCCUCAUAGAUCUUGAUGCUCAAUGUUCAAGUAGCUUAAUCCAGGUUUUCACUUGAAAACACUUUUCAAAUAACCCUAUAUGCUUUACAGAAAAUUCUACAUCAUUUCUGAUUAUCAAUUGUCAACAACAUAUACUCAUCAGAAAUUCUAUAGUGCUCCCACUCACUUCUUUGAAAAUACAAGUUUCAAAUAAACUUUGUAUAAACCCAAAAUCUUUGAUCAUCUUAUCAAAGUGUACAUUCCAACUCCGAGAUGCUUACUCCAGUCCUUAGAAGGAUCGCUGGAGCCAGCAUACCUUUUAGCAUCCUUAGGGUCGACAAAAACUUUCUGAUUGUAUCACAUACAACCUUUCCUUACGAAGACUGGUAAGGAAACUCGUUUUGACAUCCAUCUUCCAAAUUUCAUAAAUGCAGCUAAUGCUAACAUGAUUCCGACGGACUUAAUCAUCGCUACGGAUGAGAAAAUCUCAUCGUAGUCAACUCCUUGAACUUGUGAAAAACUCUUCGCCACAAGUCGAGCUUCAUAGACGGUGACAUUACCGUCCACGUCUGUCUUCUUCUUAAAGAUCCAUUUAUCUCAAUGGCUUGCCGAUCAUCGGGCAAGUCCACUAAAGUCCAUGCUUUGUUAUGAUACAUGGAUCCUAUCUCGGAUUUCAUGGCUUCUAACCAUUUGUCGGAAUAUGGGCCCACCAUCUCUUCUCCAUAGCUCGUAGGUUCAUUGUUGUCUAGCAACAUGACCUUCAAGACAGGAUCACCGUACCACUCCGAAGCAGUACGUGUCCUUAUCGUCCUACGAGGUUCGGUAGUGACUUGAUCCGAAACUUCAUGAUCACUAUCAUAAGCUUCUACUUCAAUUGGUGUAGGUGCCACAUGAACAACUUCCUAUGCCCUGCUACACACUUGUUGAAGUGAUGGUUCAAUAACCUCAUCAAGUCUCCACCAUCCUCCCACUCAAUUUUCCGAGACAAACUUUUCCUCGAGAAAGGACCCGAUUCAAGAAACAAUCCCUAUUGCUUUUGGAUCUGAAUUAGGAGGUAUACCCAACUGUUUUGGGUGUCCUAUGAAGAUGCAUUUUAUCCGCUUUGGGUUCGAGCUUAUCAACCUGAAACUUUUUCACAUAAGCGUUGCUGCCCCAAACUUUUAAGAAACGACAACUUAGGUUUCUCCAAACCAUAGUUUAAACGGUGUCGUCUCAACGGAAUUAUGUGGUGCCCUAUUAAAGUGAGUGCGGAUGUCUCUAAUGCCUAACCCAUGAACGAUAGUGGUAAUUCGAUAAGAGACAUCAUGGUACGCACCAUAUCCAAUACGGUGCAACUAUGAUAUUCGGACACAUCAUCACACUAUGGUGUUCCAGGCGGUAUUAAUUGUGAAACAAUUUCCACAAUGUCUUAAUUGCGUGCCAAAGCUCGUAACUCAGAUACUCAUCUCUAUGAUCAUAUCAUAGACAUUUUAUCCUCUUGUCACAAUGAUCUUCAACUUCACUCUGAAAUUACUUAAACCAUUCAAUAAUUCAGACUUGUGUUUCAUCAAGUAAAUAUACUCAACAUCUACUCGAAUCAUCUGUGAAGUAAGAACAUAACGAUAUUCACUGCAUGCCUCAGAACUCAUAGGACUGCACACAUUAAAAUGUAUUACUUCCAACAAGUUGCUAUCUUGUUCCAUCUUACUGAAAACGGGGCUUUUCAGUCAUCUUGCCCAUGUGGUAUGAUUUGCAUAUCUCAAGUGAUUCAAAAUCAAGUGAGUCCAAACGAUCCAUCUGCAUGGAGUUUCUUCAUGCGUAUACACCAAUAGACAUGGUUCGCAUGUCUCAAACUUUUCAAAAACGAGUGAGUCCAAAGAUCCAUCAACAUGGAGCUUCUUCAUGCGUUUUAUACCAAUAUGACUUACAUGGCAGUGCCACAAGUAAGUGGUACUAUCAUUACUAUCUUAUAUCUUUUGGCAUGAAAAUGUGUAUCACUACGAUCGAGAUUCAAUAAACCAUUCCUUUAGGUGCAAGACCAUUGAAGGUAUUAUUCAAAUAUAUAGAGUAACCAUUAUUCUCCUUAAAUGAAUAACCGUAUUGCGAUAGACAUAAUCCAAUCAUGUCUAUGCUCAACGCAAACACCAAAUGACAAUUAUUCAGGUUUAAUACUAAUCUUGAUGGUAGAGGGAGCGUGCGAUGUUUGAUCACAUCAAACUUGGAAACACUUCCAACACAUAUCGUGAGCUCACGUUUAACUAGUCUCUGUUUAUUCCGUAGCUCUUUUAUUUCGAGUUACUAACACUUAGCAACCGAACUGGUAUCUUAAUACCCUGGUGCUACUAGGAGUACUAGUAAAGUACACAUUAACAUAAUGUAUAUCCAAUAUACUUCUAUCGACCUUGCCAGCCUUCUCAUCUACCAAGUAUCUAGGGUAAUUCUGCUCCAUUGGAUGUUCCCCUUAUUGCAGAAGCACUUAGUCACGGGUUUGGGUUCAACCUUGGGUUUCUUCACUAGAGCAACAUCUGAUUUGUCGUUUCAUGAAGUAUCCCUUCUUGCCCUUGCCCUUCUUGAAACUAGUGGUUUCAUUAACCAUCAACAAUUGAUGCUCCUACUUGACUUCUACUUUCGCGGUGUCAAACAUCGCGAAUACCUCAAGGAUCAUCAUAUCUAUCCCUGAUAUGUUAUAGUUCAUCACGAAGCUCUAGCAGCUUGGUGGCAAUGACUUUGGAGAAACAUCACUAUCUCUGCAAGAUCAACUCCCACUCGAUUCAAGUGAUUGUCGCACUCAGAUAAUCUGAGCACAAGCUCAACGAUUGAGCUUUUCUCCCUUAGUUUGCAGGCUAAGAAAAUUGUUGGAGGUCUCAUACCUCUUGACGUGGGCACGAGCCUGAAAUCUCAAUUUCAGCCCUCAAAACAUCUCAUAUGUCCCGCGACGUUUCGAAAACGUCUUUGGUGCCUCAACUCUAAACCGUUUAACUGAACUAUCACGUAGUUAUCAAAACGUGUAUGUCCGAUGUUCGCAACAUCCACAAACGACGUUUGGGGUUCAGCACACUGAGCGGUGCAUUAAGGACAUAAGCUUUCUACUGUCCGCAUAAUCGCUACUAUCAACUUUCAACUAUAUUUUCUCUAGGAACAUAUCUAAACAGUGGAACUAAAGCGCGAGCUUAUGACAUAAUUUGCAAAGAUCUUUUGACUAUGUUCAGGAUAAUUAAGUUCAUCUUAUGAACUCCCACUCAGAUAGACAUCCCUCUAGUCAUCUAAGUGAUUACAUGAUCCGAGUCAACUAGGCCGUGUCCGAUCAUCAGGUGAGACGAACUAGUCAUCAUCGGUGAACAUCUUCAUGUUGAUCAUAUCUACCAUACGACUCAUGCUCGACCUUUCGGUCUCUUGUGUUCCGAGGCCAUGUAUGUACAUGCUAGGCUCGUCAAGUCAACCUAAGUGUUUCGCGUGUGUAAAUCUGGCUUACACCCGUUGUAUGUGAACGUAAGAAUCUAUCACACCCGAUCAUCACGUGGUGCUUCGAAAAGACGAACUUUCGCAACGGUGCACAGUUAGGGGGAACACUUUCUUGAAAUUUUAAUGAGUGAUCAUCUUAUUUACUACCGUCGUUCUAAGAAAAUAAGAUGCAUAAACAUGAUAAACAUCACAUGCAAUCAAAUAGUGACAUGAUAUGGCCAAUAUCAUUUUGCUCCUUUUGAUCUCCAUCUUCGGGGCUCCAUGAUCAUCAUCGUCACCAGCAUGACACCAUGAUCUCCAUCAUCAUGAUCUCCAUCAUCGUGUCUCCAUGAAGUUGUCUCGCCAACCGAUUACUUCUACUACUAUGGCUACCGAUUAGCAAUAAAGUAAAGUAAUUACAUGGCGUUGUUCAAUGACAUGCAGGUCAUACAAUAAAUAAAGACAACUCCUAUGGCUCCUGCCGGUUGUCAUACUCAUCGACAUGCAAGUCGUGAUUCCUAUUACAAGAACAUGAUCAAUCUCAUACAUCACAUAUCAUUCAUCACAUAUCAUUCAUUACAUUCUUCUUGGCCAUAUCACAUCACAUAGCAUACCCUGCAAAAACAAGUUAGACGUCCUCUAAUUGUUGUUUGCAUAUUUUACGUGGCUGCUAUGGGUUUCUAGCAAGAACGUUUCUUACCUACGCAAAACCACAAUGUGAUAUGCCAAUUGCUAUUUACCCUUCAUAAGGACCCUUUUCAUCGAAUCCGUUCCGACUAAAGUGGGAGAGACUGGCACCCGCUAGCCACCUUAUGCAUCAAGUGCAUGUCAGUCGGUGGAACCUGUCUCACGUAAGAGUACGUGUAAGGUCGGUCCGGGCCGCUUCAUCCCACAAUACCGUCGAAACAAGAUUGGACUAGUAACGGUAAGCAUAUUGAACAAAAUCAGCGCCCACAACUACUUUGUGUUCUACUCGUGCAAAGAAUCUACGCAAUAGACCUAGCUCAUGAUGCCACUGUUGGGGAACGUAGCAAAAAUUCAAAAUUUUCCUACGUGUCACCAAGAUCUAUCUAUGGAGAAACCAGCAAUGAGGGAAAGGAGAGUGCAUCUACAUACCCUUGUAGAUCGCUAAGCGGAAGCGUUUAAGAGAAUGGGGUUGAAGGACUCGUACUCGUCGUGAUCCAAAUCACCGGAGAUCCUAGUGCCAAACGGACGGCACCUCCGUGUUCAACACACGUACAGCCUGGUGACCUCUCCCAUGCCUUGAUCCAGCAAGGAGAGAGGGAGAGGUUGAGGAAGACUCCAUCCAGCAGCAGCACAACGGCGUGGUGGUGAUGGAGGAGCGUGGCAAUCCUGCAGGGCUUCGCCAAGCACCGCGGGAGAGGAGAAGGGAGAGAGGUAGGGCUGUGCCUUGAGGGAGAGGUUCUCGUGUCUCUGGCAGCCCCAAAACCCCCACUAUUUAUAGGAGGAGGGGAGGUGGCUGCGCCCCCAUCUAGGGUUGUUGGGAACGUAGUAAUUUCAAAAAAAUUCCUAUGCACACGCAAGAUCAUGGUGAUGGCAUAGCAACCAGAGGGGAGAGUGUUGUCCACGUACCCUCGUAGACCGUAAGCGGAAGCGUUAUGACAACGCGGUUGAUGUAGUCGUACGUCUUCAUGAUUCGACCGAUCCAAGCACCGAACGUACGACACCUCCGUGUUCAGCACACGUUCAGCUCGAUGACGUUCCCCGGGCUCCAAUCCAGCAAAGCGUCAGGGAUGAGUUCCAUCAGCACGACGGCGUGGUGACGAUGAUGAUGUUCUACCGGCGCAGGGCUUCGCCUAAACUCCGCGACGAUAUGACCGAGGUGGAAUAUGGUGGAGGGGGGCACCGCACACGGCUAAGGAACGAUCCGUAGAUUAACUUGUCUGUUCUAGGGUGCCCCCCUGCCCCAGUAUAUAAAGGAGCAAGGGGGGAGGAGGCCAGCCCUAGGAGGGGGCGCGCCAAGGGGAGUCCUACUCCCACCGGGAGUAGGACUCCCUCCUUCCUUGUUGGAGUAGGAGAAGGGGGGAAAGAGGGGGAGAGGAGGAAGGAAAGGGGUGCCGCACCCCUUGUCCAAUUCGGACCAGAGGGGGGCUGCGCGCCUCCUUCCUUUCGGCCUCUCUCCUCUAUUCCCGUAUGGCCCAAUAAGGCCCAUAUACUCCCCGGCGAAUUCCCGUAACUCUCCGGUACUCCGAAAAAUACCCGAAUCACUCGGAACCUUUCCGAACUCCGAAUAUAGUCGUCCAAUAUAUCGAUCUUUACAUCUCGACCAUUUCGAGACUCCUCAUCAUGUCCCCGAUCUCAUUCGGGACUCCGAACUCCUUCGGUACAUAAAAACUCAUAAACUCAUAAUAUAACUGUCAUCGAAACCUUAAGCGUGCAGAUCCUACGGGUUCGAGAACUAUGUAGAAAUGACCUAGAAAUGUUUCCGGUCAAUAACCAAUAGUGGAACCUGGAUGUUCAUAUUGGCUCCUACAUAUUGUACGAAGAUCUUUAUCGGUCAAACCGCAUAACAACAUACGUUGUUCCCUUUGUCAUCGGUAUGUUACUUGCCCGAGAUUCGAUCGUCGGUAUCCAAUACCUAGUUCAAUCUCGUUACCGGCAAGUCUCUUUACUCGUUCCGUAAUACAUCAUCCCACAACUAACUCAUUAGUCGCAACGCUUGCAAGGCUUAAGUGAUGUGUAUUACCGAGAGGGCCCAGAGAUACCUCUCCGACAAUCGAAGUGACAAAACAUAAUCUCGAAAUACGCCAACCCAACAUGUACCUUCGGAGACACCUGUAGAGCACCUUUAUAAUCACCCAGUUACGUUGUGACGUUUGGUAGCACACAAAGUGUUCCUCUAGUAAACGGGAGUUGCAUAAUCUCAUAGUCACAGGAACAUGUAUAAGUUAUGAAGAAAGCAGUAGCAACAUACUAAACGAUCGUGUGCUAAGCUAACGGAAUGGGUCAAGUCAAUCACAUCAUUCUCCUAAUGAUGUGAUCCCGUUGAUCAAAUGACAACUCUUUUGUCCAUGGCUAGGAAACUUAACCAUCUUUGAUUCACAAGCUAGUCAAGUAGAGGCAUACUAGUGUCACUAUUUUUGUCUAUGUAUUCAUACAUGUAUUAUGUUUCCGGUUAAUACAAUUCUAGCAUGAACAAUAAACAUUUAUCAUGAAAUAAGGAAAUAAAUAAUAACUUUAUUAUUGCCUCUAGGGCAUAUUUCCUUCAGUCUCCCACUUGCACAAGAGUCAAUAAUCUAGUUCACAUCACCAUGUGAUUUAACACUAAUAUUCACAUCCGUAUGUGAUUAAUACCCAUAGUUCACAUCGUCAUGUGAUCAACGCCCAAAGGGUUUACUAGAGUCAAUAAUCUAGUUCACAUGGCUAUGUGAUUAACACCCAAAAAGUACUAAGGUAUGACCAUGUUUUGCUCAUGAGAGAAGUUUAGUCAACGGGUCUGUCACAUUCAGAGCCGUAUGUAUUUUGCAAAUAUUCUAUGUCCAUAAUGCUCUGCACGGAGCUACUCUAGCUAAUUGCUCCCACUUUCAAUAUGUAUCCAGAUUGAGACUUAGAGUCAUCUGGAUUGGUGUAAAAGCUUGCAUCAUUGUAACUUUUACGACUGGCUCUUUUAUCACCUCCAUAAUCGAGAAACAUCUCCUUAGUCCUCACUAAGGAUAUUCUUGACCGCUGUUCUAGCGAUCUACUUUUAGAUCAAAAUUGUAUUUCUUUGCCAAACUCAGAGCAAGGUAUACAAUAGGUCUAGUACACAGCAUAGCAUACUUUAUAGAACCUAUGACUGAGGCAUAGGGAAUGACUGUUCAUUCUUUUCUAUUUUCUGCCAUGGUCGGGUUUUGAGUCUUACUCAACUUCACACCUUGCAACACAGGCAAGAACUCUUUCUUUGACUGUUCCAUUUUGAACUACUUCAAAAUCUUGUCAAGGUAUGUACUCAUUGAAAAACUUAUCAAGCGUCUUGAUCUAUCUCUAUAGAUCUUGAUGCUUAAUGUGUAUGCAGCUUCACCAAGGUCAUUCUUUGAAAAACUCCUUUCAAACACUCCUUUAUGCUUUUCAGAAAAAUUCUACAUUAUUUCCGAUCAACAAUAUGUCAUUCACAUAUACUUAUCAGAAAUGUUGUAGUGCUCCCACUCACUUUCUUGUAAAUACAGGCUUCACCGCAAGUCUGUAUUAAAACUAUAUGCUUUGAUCAACUUAUCAAAGCGUAUAUUCCAACUCCGAGAUGCUUGCACCAGUCCAUUGAUGGAUCGCUGGAGCUUGCACAUUUUGUUAGCACCUUUCAGAUCGACAAAACCUUCUGGUUGCAUCAUAUACAACUCUUCUUUAAAAAAUCGAUUAAGGAAUGCAGUUUUGACAUCCAUUUGCCAGAUUUCAUAAAAUGUGGCAAUUGCUAACAUGAUUCAGACAGACUUAAGCAUAGAUACGAGUGAAAAACUCUCAUCGUAGUCAACACCUUGAACUUGUCGAAAACCUUUUGCAACAAGUCGAGCUUAGUAGAUAGUAACACUACUAUCAGUGUCUGUCUUCCUCUUGAAGAUCCAUUUAUUUAACAUGGCUUGCUGAUCAGAGCAAGUCAAUCAAAGUCCAUACUUUGUCCUCAUACAUGGAUCAUAUCUCAGAUUUUAUGGCCUCAAGCCAUUUCGUGGAAUCUGGGCUCACCAUCGCUUCUUCAUAGUUCGUAGGUUCAUCAAGAUCUAGUAGCAUGACUUCCAGAACAGGAUUGCCGUACCACUCUGGUGCGGAUCUUACUCUGGUUUACCUACGAGAUUCAGUAGUAACUUGAUCUGAAGUUACAUGAUCAUCAUCAUUAGCUUCCUCACUAAUUGGUGUAGUAGUCACAGGAACAGAUUUCUAUGAUGAACUACUUUCCAAUAAGGGAGAAGGUACAAUUACCUUAUCAAGUUCUACUUUCCUCCCACUCACUUCUUUCGAGAGAAACUCCUUCUCUAGAAAGGAUCCAUUCUUAGCAACGAAUGUCUUGCCUUCGGAUCUGUGAUAGAAGGUGUACCCAACUUUCUCCUUUGGGUAUCCUAUGAAGACACAUUUCUCCAAUUUGGAUUUGAGUUUAUCAGGAUGAAACUUUUUCACAUAAGCAUCGCAACCCCAAACUUUAAGAAACGACAACUUUGGUUUCUUGCCAAACCACAGUUCAUAUUGUGUCGUCUCAACGGACUUAGGUGGUGCCCCUUUUUAACGUGAAUGCAGCUGUCUUUAAUGCAUAACCCCAAAAUGAUAAUGGUAAAUCAGUAAGAGACAUCAUGGAUCGCACCAUAUCUAAUAAAGUGCGGUUGCGACGUUCGGACACACCAUAACGUUGUGGUGUUCCAGGUGGCGUGAGCUGUGAAACUAUUCCACAUUGUUUUAAUUGAAGACCAAACUCUUAACUCAAAUAUUCGUCUCCGCGAUCAGAUCGCAGAAACUUUAUUUUCUUGUUAUGAUGAUUUUUCCACUUCACUCUGAAAUUCUUUGAACCUUUCAACUAUUUCAGACUUAUGUUUCAUCAAGUAGAUAUACCCAUAUCUGCUCAAAUCAUCUUGUGAAGGUCAGAAAAUAACAAUACUUGCCACGAGCAUCAACACUCAUUGGAUCGUAUACAUCGGUAUGUAUUAUUUCCAAUAAGUUAGUAGCUUGUUCCAUUGUUCCGGAGAACGGAGUUUUAGUCAUCUUGCCCAAAAGGCACGGUUCGCAAGCAUCAAAUGAUUCAUAACCAAGUGAUUUCAAAAAAUCCAUCUUUAUGGAGUUUCUUCAUGCGCUUUACACCGAUAUGACCCAAACGGCAGUGCCACAAAUAAGUUGCACUAUCAUUAUUAACUUUGUAUCUUUUGGCAUCAAUAUUAUGAAUAUGUGUAUCACUACGAUUGAGAUCCAACAAACUAUUUUCAUUGGGUGUAUAACCAUCGAAGGUCUUAUUCAUGUAAACAGAAUAACAAUUAUUCUUUAACUUUAAAUGAAUAACCGUAUCGCAAUAAACAUGAUCAAAUCAUAUUCAUGCUCAACGCAAAUGCCAAAUAACAUUUAUUUAGGUUUAACACUAAUCCCGAAAGUAUAGGGAGUGUGCGAUGAUGAUCAUAUCAAUCUUGGAACCACUUCCAACACUCAUCGUCACUUCCCGUUCAACUAGUCUCUGUUUAUAUAACUCCUGUUUCGAGUUACUAAUCUUAGCAACUGAACAAGUAUCAAAUACUCAGGGGCUACUAUAAACACUAGUAAGGCACACAUCAAUAACCUGUAUAUCAAAUAUACCCUUGUUCACUUCGACAUCCUUCUUAUCCACCAAAUAUUCAAGGCAUUUCCGCUUCUAGUGACCAUUUCCUUUGCAGUGUAAGCACUCAGUUUCAGGCUUUGGUCCAGCUGUGGGCUUCUUCGCGGGAGUGACAACUUGCUUGUCAUUCUACUUGAAGUUCCCUUUCUAUCCCUUUGCCCUUUUCUUGAAACUAGUGGUCUUGUCAAUCAUCAACAUUUGAUGCUCUUUCUUGAUUUCCACCUUCGUCGAUUUCAACAUCACGAAGAGCUCGGGAAUUGUUUUCAUCAUCCCUUGCAUACUAUAGUUCAUCACAAAGUUCUACUAACUUAGUGAUGGUGACUAGAGAACUCUGUCAAUCACUAUGGAAGAUUAACUCCCACUUGAUUCAAGCGAUUGUAGUACCCAGACAAUCUGAGCACAUGCUCACUAGUUGAGCGAUUCUUCUCCAUCUUUUAGCAAUAGAACUUGUUGGAGACUUCAUAUCUCUCAACUCGGGUAUUUGCUUGAAAUAUUAACUUCAACUCCUGGAACAUCUCAUAUGGUCCAUGACGUUCAAAACGUCUUUGAAGUCCCGAUUCUAAGCCAUAAAGCAUGGUGUACAAAACUAUCAAGUAGUCAUGAUAUCAAGUAGUCAUCAUAUCAAGUAGUCAUCAUUUGCUCCUGCAAUAGGUCUAUCACCUAGCGGUGCAUCAAGGACAUAAUUCUUCUGUGCAGCAAUGAGGAUAAACCUCAGAUCACGGAUCCAAUCCGCAUCAUUGCUACUAACAUCUUUCAACACAAUUUUCUCUAGGAACAUAUCAAAAUAAACAUAUGAAAGCAACAACGCAAGCUAUUGAUUUACAACAUAAUUUGCAAAAUACUACCAGGACUAAGUUCAUGAUAAAUUAAAGUUCAAUUAACCAUAUUACUUAAGAACUCCCACUUAGAUAGAUAUCUCUCUAGUCAUCUAAGUGAUUACGUGAUCCAAAUCAACUAAACCAUAACCGAUCAUCGCGUGAGAUGGAGUAGCUUUCAAUGGUGAACAUCACUAUGUUGAUCAUAUCUACUAUAUGAUUCACGCUCGACCUUUCGGACUCUGUGUUCCGAGGCCAUAUCUGCAUAUGCUAGGCUCGUCAAGUAUAACCUGAAUAUUCUGCGUGUGCAAAACUGACGUGCACCCGUUGUAGAUGGACGUAGAGCUUAUCACACCCGAUCAUCACGUGGUGUCUGGGCACGACGAACUUUGGUAACGGUGCAUAUUCAGGGAGAACACUUCUUGAUAAUUUUUAGUGAGAGAUCAUCUUAAAAUGCUACCGUUAAUCAAAGCAAGAUAAGAUGCAUAAAGGAUAAACAUCACAUGCAAUCAAUAUAAGUGAUAUGAUAUGGCCAUCAUCAUCUUGUGCUUGUGAUCUCCAUCUCCGAAGCACCGUCGUGAUCACCAUCGUCACCGGUGCGACACCUUGAUCUCCAUCGUAGCAUCGUUGUCGUUUACGCCAUCUAUUGCUUCUACGACUAUCGCUACCGCUUAGUGAUAAAGUAAAGCAAUUGCAGGGCGUUUGCAUUUCAUACAAUAAAGCGACAACCAUAUGGCUCCUGCCAGUUGCCGAUAACUUCGGUUACAAAACAUGAUCAUCUCAUACAAUAAAUAUAGCAUCACGUCUUGACCAUAUCACAUCACAACAUGCCCUGCAAAAACAAGUUAGACGUCCUCUACUUUGUUGUUGCAAGUUUUACGUGGCUGCUACGGGCUUAGCAAGAACCGUUCUUACCUACGCAUCAAAACCACAACGAUAGUUCGUCAAGUUAGUGUUGUUUUAACCUUCGCAAGGACCGGGCGUAGCCACACUCGGUUUAACUAAAGUUGGAGAAACUGACACCCGCCAGCCACCUGUGUGCAAAGCACGUCGGUAGAACCAGUCUCGCGUAAGCGUACGCGUAAUGUCGGUUCGGGCCGCUUCAUCCAACAAUACCGCCGAACCAAAGUAUGACAUGCUGGUAAGCAGUAUGACUUGUAUCGCCCACAACUCACUUGUGUUCUACUCGUGCAUAUAACAUCAAUGCAUAAAACCUAGGCUCGGAUGCCACUGUUGGAAACGUAGUAAUUUCAAAAAAAUUCCUAUGCACACGCAAGAUCAUGGUGAUGGCAUAGCAAUGAGAGGGGAGAGUGUUGUCCACGUACCCUCGUAGACGUAAGCGGAAGCGUUAUGACAACGCGGUUGAUGUAGUCGUACGUCUUCACACUUCGACCGAUCCAAGCACCGAAAGUACGGCACCUUCGUGUUCAGCACACGUUCAGCUCGAUGACGUUCCCCGGGCUCCAAUCCAGCAAAGCGUCGGGGAUGAGUUUCGUCAGCACGACGGCGUGGUGACGAUGAUGAUGUUCUACCGGCGCAGGGCUUCGCCUAAACUCCUUGACGAUAUGACCGAGGUGGAAUAUGGUGGAGGGGGGCACCGCACACGGCUAAGGAAUGAUCCGUAGAUUAACUUGUCUGUUCUAGGGUGCCCCCCUGCCCCCGUAUAUAAAGGAGCAAGGGGGGAGGAGGCCAGCCCUAGGAGGGGGCGCGCCAAGGGGAGUCCUACUCCCACCGGGAGUAGGACUCCCUCCUUCCUUGUUGGAGUAGGAGAAGGGGGGAAAGAGGGGGAGAGGAGGAAGGAAAGGGGUGCCGCACCCCUUGUCCAAUUCGGACCAGAGGGGGGCUGCGCGCCUCCUUCCUUUCGGCCUCUCUCCUCUAUUCCCGUAUGGCCCAAUAAGGCCCAUAUACUCCCCGGCGAAUUCCCGUAACUCUCCGGUACUCCGAAAAAUACCCGAAUCACUCGGAACCUUUCCGAACUCCGAAUAUAGUCGUCUAAUAUAUCGAUCUUUACGUCUCGACCAUUUCGAGACUCCUCGUCAUGUCCCCGAUCUCAUUCGGGACUCCGAACUCCUUCGGUACAUAAAAACUCAUAAACUCAUAAUAUAACUGUCAUCGAAACCUUAAGCGUGCGGAUCCUACGGGUUCGAGAACUAUGUAGACAUGACCUAGAACUGUUUCCGGUCAAUAACCAAUAGUGAAACCUGGAUGUUCAUAUUGGCUCCUACAAAUUCUACGAAGAUCUUUAUCGGUCAAACCGCAUAACAACAUACGCUGUUCCCUUUGUCAUCGGUAUGUUACUUGCCCGAGAUUCGAUCAUCGGUAUCCAAUACCUAGUUCAAUCUCGUUACCGGCAAGUCUCUUUACUCGUUCCGUAAUACAUCAUCCCACAACUAACUCAUUAGUUGCAAUGUUUGCAAGGCUUAAGUGAUGUGUAUUACCGAGAGGGCCCAGAGAUACCUCUCCGACAAUCGGAGUGACAAAACCUAAUCUCGAAAUACGCCAACCCAACAUGUACCUUCGGAGACACCUGUAGAGCACCUUUAUAAUCACCCAGUUACGUUGUGACGUUUGGUAGCACACAAAGUGUUCCUCUGGUAAACGGGAGUUGCAUAAUCUCAUAGUCACAGGAACAUGUAUAAGUUAUGAACAAAGCAGUAGCAACAUACUAAACGAUCGUGUGCUAAGCUAACGGAAUGGGUCAAGUCAAUCACAUCAUUCUCCUAAUGAUGUGAUCCCAUUGAUCAAAUGACAACUCUUUUGUCCAUGGCUAGGAAACUUAACCAUCUUUGAUUCACGAGCUAGUCAAGUAGAGGCAUACUAGUGCCACUAUGUUUGUCUAUGUAUUCACACAUGUAUUAUGUUUCCGGUUAAUACAAUUCUAGUAUGAAUAAUAAACAUUUAUCAUGAAAUAAGAAAAUAAAUAAUAACUUUAUUAUUGCCUCUAGGGCAUAUUUUCUUCAAGGGUUCCCACCCUAGGGGUGCGGCAGCCCUACAUGGGACUUGGAGGGGGCGACCAAGAGGGGGAGAGAGGGGGCGCGCCCUAGGGUGGGCCUUUAGGCCCAUCUGCGCCUAGGGUUUCCCCUCUCCCCUCCUAGCUGCGCCUUGGGCCUUGGUGGGAGGCGCACCAGCCCACUCUAGGGCUGGUCCCUUUCCACACUAGGCCCACGCAAGCAUGCGGGGCUGGUGGCCCCUCCCUGUGGACCCCCGGAACCCUUCCGGUGGUCCCGGUACAUUACCGGUGACCCCGGAAACACUUCCGGUGGCCAAAACCUCAUUUCCUAUAUAUUAUUCUUUACCUCCGGACCAUUCCGGAACUCUUCGUGACGUCCGGGAUCUCAUCCGGGACCCUGAACAACAUUCGGUAACCACAUACAAACUUCCUUUAUAACCCUAGCGUCAUCGAACCUUAAGUGUGUAUACCCUACGGGUUCGGGAAUCAUGCAGACAUGACCGAGACGUUCUCCGGUCAAUAACCAACAGCAGGAUCUGGAUACCCAUGUUGGCUCCCACAUGUUCCACGAUGAUCUCAUCGGAUGAACCACGAUGUCAAGGACUCAAUCGAUCCCGUAUACAAUUCCCUUUGUCUAGCGGUAUUGUACUUGUCUGAGAUUCGAUCGUCGGUAUACCGAUACCUUGUUCAAUCUCAUUACCGGCAAGUCUCUUUACUUGUUCCGUAACACAUCAUCCCGCGAUCAACUCUUUGAUCACAUUGUGCAUAUUAUGAUGAUGUCCUACCGAGUGGGCCCAGAGAUACCUCUUCAUCACACGGAGUGACAAAUCACAGUCUCGAUUCGUGCCAUCCCAACAAACACUUUCGGAGAUACCUGUAGUGCAUCUUUAUAGCCACCCAGUUACGUUGUGACGUUUGGUACACCCAAAGCAUUCCUACGGUAUCCGGGAGUUGCACAAUCUCAUGGUCUAAGGAAAUGAUACUUGACAUUAGAAAAACUUUAGCAUACGAACUACGAUCUUUGUGCUAGGCUUAGGAUUGGAUCUUGUCCAUCACAUCAUUCUCCUAAUGAUAUGAUCCCGUUAUCAAUGACAUCCAAUGUCCAUGGUCAGGAAACCGUAACCAUCUAUUGAUCAAUGAGCUAGUCAACUAGAGGCUUACUAGAGACAUGGUAUUGUCUAUGUAUCCACACAUGUAUCUGAGUUUCCUAUCAAUACAAUUAUAGCAUGGAUAAUAAACGAUUAUCAUGAACAAGGAAAUAUAAUAAUAACUAAUUUAUUAUUGCCUCUAGGGCAUAUUUCCAACACGCCGGUGACCGGCGGCAUCAAGAACAGCGAGGGGCGCCACCUCUGGUGGGGCGUCCCCGGCCGCACCCUCGACGGCGUGCUGACGCACCUCGAGCGCGGCAACAACCCCCCGUUGACGUACCCCCCGGCGAGGUCGACCACCCCGGCGCACCGCCGACGCGACGGGGAAUGGGCGCCAAGGAGGUUCGGCUCCUCCUCCUCUUCUUCCUCAUCACGUUCUUCCUCCCAGUCCUCCGGCACUCCAUCGCUGCUCGGCGUCAAGGCCGAGCUCGCGGCGGAGACGCCGCUCGGCCGGUGUACACGCAGCGCCGGUAUCGUCAUCAGCGAGGGCGGCCGGCGCGCCUCCUCGUCGGCUCCUUCCCCGCGCUUCGUCAAGCCGAAGACGGAGCCGGGUCUCGCGCCGAUGAAGACGGAGCCGGGGCUAGCGCCGGUGAAGACGGAGCCGGGGCUGCUGGUGCCGGUGAAGGCGGAGCACGGCGAGGUCGAGCUGGACGACGACGCGGCCCUUGAAUGGGCGCGCCAAGACUCCCUGAAGAUGGCGAGGGAGCGCCAGCGCGCCGCCGUACAGCGCUUCGCGCAGCGCCGCCGAGGCCGCGACGAAGGCGGCGUCGUCAUCAUCGACGAUAGUGGCGACGACGACGACGACGUGCCGCCGCCGCCACCACCAGCCGGGGAGGGGUCCAGCAGGGGCGCCCGAGUCAAGUAGGAGAAGGCCGACGAUGGCGGCGACGACGGCGACUUCUCGGCCUUCAGGAAGUUUUUUUUGACUAGUUUUUAUAUGUAAUGGCAUGUUUUAGCCCAAGUUUACGAAUAUUAAAGCCCAAGUUUGCCGAAAAUUGACGUGUUUCAGCUCAAAUUUGUCUUUUUUUUUCACGCAUGGGGCCGGCUCUGGGGGCGGCGGCUAGGGGCCAACUCGCGAGGUCGAGAAAAUGGACUCCAUGGGAGCAGAUAGCCAUUAACUGUAGCAGGCCUAUCUAUCAUUCGUAGUAGUACGAGGCAGACGUAUUGCGUUGAAAUUCGUAGUAGAACGAGGCAGACGUAUUACGUUGAAUUCAACGUUUCAGCACACAGAAAAUCAUUUCCGGUAUCGGCCAUAGGAGGUACCCUCCCCCUUAUUUUCCUGCUUUCUUCCACGUGCAACGACGAACGCUCCUUGCCUUGCCCCGCGCGGCACGGUGCUUAUUAUAGUACCUAGCUAAAGGGUCACUGCGAAAGAUACUCAAGAAAAAUGGUAUUCCUUGUCAAAAUACGUCCUCCUCAGUGUAGUUUCCACAGCCCAAAGCUAGAAAACCAAGCCUGCAAGGCUCCAAUCACCCAUCAACAACGUCAGAAGAAGAACCUUGGUCUGCUAGCUCCUCCUUGCAAGUGUGACAAGGCGCCAUGCUUUCUCAGUCUCUGCUCGCGCUUGGUUUGCUCCUCCUGCUGAGCCUGAGCCUCGACAGAGAGGUGGCUCUAGCGGCGGAAGACGGCGAGUUCGCCUACCAAGGCUUCGCCACGGCGAACCUUACGCUGGAUGGCCUCGCCACCGUCAUGCCCAACGGCCUCCUGCUGCUCACCGACACGGAGUCCGCGAACACGGGCCAUGCCUUCCACCCCGCGCCACUCCAGUUCCUCGAAAGUUCCACCACGACGACGAACAGCACCACCAUGGCGCGGUCCUUCUCCGUGACCUUCGUGUUUGCCAUUUCGUCCAGGUACGAUGGCCUGACCAGCUACGGGCUUGCGUUCGUGGUCGCUCCGACCUCGAACCUCUCGGCUGCGAACGGCAGGCGGUACAUGGGCCUCCUCAACGCGACAAACGGCACGGCGAGCGACCGCAUCCUGGCGGUCGAGCUCGACACCAUCAUGGACGUCGCGUUCCGCGACAUCGACAGCAACCACGUCGGCAUCGACGUCAACAGCCUCGUCUCACGGCAGGCCAAGCCGGCUGGGUACUACAGCAACGAGAACGGCGCCUUCCAAGAUCUGAGGUUGAACAGCCGCAGGCCGAUGCAGGUGUGGGUGGACUACGACGCCCAAGCCAGGCGAAUCAAUGUGACAUUAGCACCUGUGCAGGUACCAAGGCCCAGGAAUCCUCUGCUCUCCGAGGUUAUUGAUCUCUCCACGGUCAUGGUGGACGAAAUGUAAGUCGGCUUUUCUGCUUCUAGCGGUACUCCCGGUGACAAUCACCACUCUGUCCUUGGAUGGAGUUUCAGCUUCGACGGACCCGCCCCGACGCUUGACUUCUUCAAGCUUCCCGCCCUGCCAUGGCUAGGUCCCAAGCCUCGGUCCAAGAUCUUGAACAUCGUGUUGCCACUGGCAGCGGUAUCGCUUGUCAUUGCCGUGCUAGCUGCCGCAUUCUUCUUCUUGUGGCAUCGGUGCCGAUUUGCUGAGGUGAGAGAAGACUGGGAGGAUGAGUUCGGCCCACAUCGUUUUGCAUACAAGGAUUUAUUUCAUGCCACCGAGGGGUUUUCUAGUAGGAAUUUACUUGGAGUAGGAGGAUUUGGAAGAGUGUACAGAGGAUUGCUUUCCGCGUCCAAUUUGGAGGUUGCCGUCAAGAGGGUGUCACAUGAUUCGAAACAAGGACUAAGGGAGUUCAUUGCGGAGGUGGUGAGCAUUGGCCGUCUCCACCACCGGAAUCUCGCCCGGUUACUAGGCUCCGUCGAAAGGGUGAACUUCUCUUGGUUUAUGAGUACAUGGAAAAUGGUAGUCUUGACAAGUAUUUGUAUACUCAAAAUAAGCCGGCUCUACAUUGGUCCGAGAGGUAUCGGAUCAUCAAAGGUGCUGCAUCAAGCUUGUUGUAUCUUCAUGAGGAAUGGGAGCAAAUUGUCAUCCAUUGAGAUAUAAAGGCUAGCAAUGUGCUCUUGGACAGUCAGAUGAAUGGACGGCUCGGUGAUUUUGGUCUAGCAAGGUUAUACGACCAUGGCACAAUUUCUAAAACAACACAUGUGGUGGGCACUAUGGGGUACCUUGCACCGGAACUUAUACGCACCGGGAAGGCAACACCCUUAACCGAUGUGUUUGCAUUUGGUGUGUUUCUCCUUGAGGUCGCAUGUGGUCGUAGGCCAAUCAACAAUAGCAAGGAUAUCACAAAGUUAGUGUUGGUCGAUUGGGUGCUUGAACAUCACCGCAACGGCUCAAUUCUCGACGUGGUCGAUCCACGUCUUAUGGGGAAUUUCAACACAGAGGAAGCCACCCUCCUGCUCAAAUUAGGUUUGUUAUGCUCCUACCCAUCAGCCAAUGCAAGACCUAGCAUGCGAAAGCUCAUGCAAUACCUGGACCGCGACUAGUCAAUUCCUGACCUGUUCGCCUACAUGAGUUACAACAGGAUAGCAAUGAUGCAGAAUGAAGGGUUCGAUUCAUACAUAAUGUCGUACCCUUCAUCGAAUACGAAUAUCUGUGUCGUAUCUGGUGAGUCUUCGGUGUCGAUUCUUGAAGAGGGAAGGUGAAUGCUUUUAGUUUACACCUCUUUUUUUGUUCUUCUCUCAAUGUUCCUUAAGAACUUGUAAUCCAUAUUGGAUCUGAGUUUGUCUAAGUGAACUGGUUCUAUCUCAUACAUGAAUUUCAAUAAUCAGUAACACUUUUGGUAAGGAAAUAGUGGUAACCGCCAUUUGCCGAGACUCCGGAGUCCACUAAUAGUCCCUGGUGAGGUGUAAGCUUAGUUAUGGAUUUGCUUAGCGAUAUCCUAAGAGCAUCUCAACCAGAUGAUGAAAAAUUGGUGUCGUGAAAACAAUAUAGGGCAGAAGAGAGAGAAAAUUCAUCACCGCCAAGGUUGUUGCUUUAACAGAUGUGGUAAAAGUGAUGCCCAAAAUGUUUUGCCCUCCUCAGCCACCGUUCUUCACUCCAACAUUGCAUAAAUAGUUCAAACAAAAACCUGUGAUUACGGGGAAUUUGGCUACGGUCUCCCCUAAUCUCUCCGUUAAACCUCCCACUAGUAGAAAAAGCCCCAUUCGUCUCGGUUGGUAAAGGUCUUUUGUCCCGGUUCUUAAACCGGGACUAAAGGGUCGUUAAAUUCCUCAUGUUUGUGCUCAUCCCAUGUACGUACACCGUUUUCAUUCCACAGCUAUAAAAGUUCUUCAACUAAUGGCCUUAGGUACACAUCAAUGUCGUUGUCGGGUUGCUUAGGGCUGAGAACUGGCAUCAUAAUAAACUUCCGCUUCAUGCACAUCCAAGGAGGAAGGUUAUACAUACAUAGAGUCACGGGCCAGGUGCUGUGAUUGCUGCUCUGCUCCCCGAAAGGAUUAAUGCCAUCUACGCUUAAACCAAACCAUACGUUCCUUGGGUCACCUGCAAACUCAGUCCAGUACCUUCUCUCGAUUUUUCUCCACUGCGACCCGUCAGCGGGUGCUCUCAAUUUCCCGUCUUUCUUACGGUCCUCACUGUGCCAUCGCAUCAACUUGGCAUGCUCUUCGUUUUUGAACAGACAUUUCAACCGUGGUAUUAUAGGAGCAUACCAUAUCAACUUCGCAGGAACCCUCUUCCUGGGGGGCUCGCCGUCAACAUCACCAGGGUCAUCUCGUCUGAUCUUAUACCGCAAUGCACCGCAUACCGGGCAUGUGUUCAGAUCCUUGUAUGCACCGCGGUAGAGGAUGCAGUCAUUAGGGCAUGCAUGUAUCUUCUACACCUCCAAUCCUAGAGGGCAUACGACCUUCUUUGCUGCGUAUGUACUGCCGGACAAUUCGUUAUCCUUUGGAAGCUUCUUCUUCAAUAUUAUCAGUAGCUUCUCAAAUCCUUUGUCAGGCACAGCAUUCUCUGCCUUCCACUGCAGCAAUUUCAGUACGGUACCGAGCUUUGUGUUGCCAUCAUCGCAAUUGGGGUACAACCCUUUUUUGUGAUCCUCUAACAUGCGAUCAAACUUCAGCUUCUCCUUUUGACUUUCACAUUGCGUCCUUGCAUCGACAAUGACCUGGCGGAGAUCAUCAUCAUCGGGCACAUCGUCUGGUUCCUCUUGAUCUUCAGCAGCUUCCCCUGUUGCAGUAUCAUUGGGCACAUCAUCUGGUUCCUCUUGAUCUUCAACAGCUUCCCCCGUUGCAGCAUCACCGUAUUCAGGGGGCACAUAGUUGUCAUCGUCCUCUUCUUCUUCCCCGUCUUUCAUCAUAACCCCUAUUUUUCCAUGCCUCGUCCAAACAUUAUAGUGUGGCAUGAAACAAUUAUAAAGCAGGUGGGUGUGAAGGAUUUUCCAGUCAGAGUAAGACUUCGUAUUCCCAUAUUUAGGGCAUGGACAACACAUAAAACCAUUCUGCUUCUUUGCCUCAGCCACUUCGAGAAAAUCAUGCACGCCCUUAAUGUACUCGGAGGUGUGUCUGUCACCGUACAUCCAUUGCCGGUUCAUCUGCGUGCAUUAUAUAUAAUUAAGUGUGUCCAAAACCAUUACAGAACAUCAUGAAUAGAUAAUUAAGAGACCAAAUUAAUAGAAGUUCAUCAUCACAUUAAAACCAAAGUACAUACAUAGUUCUCAUCUAACAACAUAAAGCUCUCCAGAGCAUCUAAAUUAAUUAACCAUACAUUGAAAUUAUGUAAAACAUUUCAAUGCGAAAACAAAUGCGAUCAUAAUCGCAAUCAAGGUAACAACUGAUCCAACUGCAUAAUGAUACCAAGCCUCGGUAUGAAUGGCAUAUUUUCUAAUCUUUAUAAUCUUCAAGCGCAUUGCAUCCAUCUUGAUCUUGUGAUCAUCGACGACAUCCGCAACAUGCAACUCCAAUAUCAUCUUCUUCUCCUCAAUUUUUCUUAUUUUCUCCUUCAAGAAAUUGUUUUCUUCUUCAACUAAAUUUAACCUCUCGACAAUAGGGUCGGUUGGAAUUUCCGGUUCAACAACCUCCUAGAUAAAUAAUAUCUAUGUCACGUUGGUCGGCAUAAUUGUCAUAAACAAUAAAUGAACCAAUAGUUAUGAAAAGAUAAUAUAUACCACAUCCGAAUCAUAGACAGGAGGAGGGCCGACGGGGGCGGAUACCAAAACCAUCGCACUAUAUAAUAACAAGCAAUAAAAUAGUAAGAAAAUUAGACAAGUAUCUAUCUAAAGCAAGAAUUUUUUUUCUUUCAGAAAGAAGAUAAGAACAAGAGGCUCAUCACGGUGGUGCCGGCGACGAGAUCGGCGCGGGCGAUCGACGACAGUGAAGACGGGGACGGGGCGUGACGGCCGCUAAUAUAAACCUAGACAAAUCUCGGGAAAAAUAGAGUUCGAAGGUCGUGCUUCGAGAGGAGAAAGCUUAACUAGUGUGGCUCGGGCAUUUCAUCGAACACCUCAUGUGCAUAGAAGGUGAGCUAGAGCACCACAAAGCCCUCCCCUCCCCGGCCAGAGAAAAACAGAGCAGUGGAGUGCUCUGCUCGGGCGAGGGGUAUAUAUAGGCACCUCAAUGGUCCCGGUUUGUGGCACGAACCGGGACUAAAGGGCAGCCUGUUGUCCCGGUUCAAGCCACCAACCGGGACCAAUGGUGGUGGGCCAGGAACCAGGCCCAUUGGUCCCGCUUCAUCCCAUCAACCGGGACCAAAAGGUCCAUAUGAACCGGGACCAAUGGCCCACGUGGCCCGGCCGGCCCCCUGGGCUCACGAACCGGGUCCAAUGCCCCCAUGGGUCCCGGUUCUGGACUGAAUCGGAACUAACGGGCUGACCCGGCCUCAUCCAAAGCCCUCUUUUCUACUAGUGUCCCCUAAUCCCCUCCUAAAUUAUGGGGAAUUUAUGCUGCCUAGGCAUCAAGCUCUAUGAAACAAUCAAUGAUUUUGUGUAUGGUUUGGACUGAAACGAGUUUACGGAGAAUUCGUACUGACAUAUGGGGAUGUAGCUAUAAAUUGUUGCAGUUUGGACCGAAAUGUGUUUCAGGAGAAUUAGCAACUUAGUAAUCCAGCACGAAGUACAUGCGCAACAUGAACUGUAUGUUGCGGUUUGGUUAAGUUUCAGUUGACUGAGGCCUACUCACACCCUUUAAGUAUCCGUUUCUCCCCCAACUACAACUUCCACCUGACACGCGCGUCAGCCUAUUGAGGUAGAAGACAUUCAUAGACGACAAGCUUGAGACUGUGGAUUCCAUGGAAGCAGAUAGCCAUUGAACUACCGCGGGCCUAUCAUCCAUAGUAGUACGAGGCAGACGUAUUACGUUGAAUUCAACGUUUCAGAACACUGAAAAUCAUUUUUAGCAUCGGCCGUCGCUGUGUCCAUGAGGUACCCUCCCCCUUACUUUCCUGCUUCCUUCCACGUGCAACGACUAACGCUCACUACCUUGCCCCACGCGGCAUGGUACUUAAUUACCCAGCUAAGGCCAUGUACAAUGGUGCUAUCUUAGGAGUGCCACGUAGGAUAAAUAAUGAGGUGGAGGAGAGAGAACUCGUAAGAAAAGGCUUAUCUUCUCUUAUUUAAGAGAAGACAAGAGAUGAUCUCUUAUCACAAUAUGUCUCACCAUAUUUUUAGGAAUGACUAGUUAUUAAAGAUAAGGCUAAGAGAUGGCUCAUUGUAGACUUUUUUUUAUCAACUCUAAAUUACAUGCAAGACUUAAAAUAAAACUAUCUUAUCAACCAUUGUACAUGCCUUAUCGAGUCACACUGCGAAAGAUACUAAAGUAGUACUCUCCGUGUAGUACUAUUCCUUGUCAACACACGUCCUUCUCCGUGUAGUUUCCACAGCCCGGCGUCUCCUCUUCACCGUCAAAGCAAUCACCCAUCCACAACGUCAAAAGGAGAGGCUUGGUCUGCUCCUUGCAAGUGUGACGAGGCGCCAUGCUUUCUGAGUCUGUGCUUGCGCUUGGUCUGCUCCUCCUGCUGAGCCUGAGCCUCGACGGAGAGGUGGCUCUGGCGGCGGAAGACGGCGAGUUCGCCUACCAAGGCUUCGCCACGACGAACGACCUCCAACCUCUCAAUGGCGAACGGCCACCAAUACCUGGGCCUCCUCAACGCGACAAACGGCACGGCGAGCGACCCCAUCUUGGCGGUCGAGCUCGACACCAUCCUGGACGCCAAGUUUCACGACAUCGACAGCAACCACGUGGGCAUCGACGUAAACAGCCACAUCUCACGGCAGGACAAGCCGGCUGGGUACUACCGUGACGAGGACGGCGCCUUUCAAGAUCUGAGGCUGAACGGCCGCAGGCCGAUGCAGGUGUGGGUUGACUACGACGCCAUGGCCAGGCGACUCGACGUGACAUUAGCACCGGUGCGGGUACUAAAGCCCAAGAAUCCUUUGCUCUCCCAAGUCAUUGAUCUCUCCAUGGUCAUGGCGGGCAAGAUGUACGCCGGCUUCUCGUCUUCGUCAGGUAUCGACUCCAGGCGCCACUAUGUCCUUGGAUGGAGCUUCAGCUUGGACGGCCUGCCCCGACUCUCGACUUCUCCAAACUGUCAGGAUUAAUCUUGUCACUUGUGUCUGCAUGUUUACUUUCCUUAUUCAUGUAGCAUAGAUUAGGGAGUAGCUAGUCAGCGGAGCUUCAAUGAAGAUGUGUGGAGAAGGCGAGAUGCCAGACGGCCGUGAAAUACCGCGAGUCCGGCGAGAUGCCGAUGGCGGCGUGACACCGCGGUGCCGCGCGAGGCGGCAAGGUCGUGUGAUACGGCACACACGUAGAUGGCUGAAGCAAGACUGGCCGGCUGGACGAUGAGUUAGUUUGCAUGAAUGGAGUCGUCGUUAGCUGCAUGUAUAGGUUGGUUAGUGGGCUAGCUAAAAGGUCGGUCAUGUAGCCGUGCAUGCGUUGAGUCUGUUUGUGCAUGACCGGGUGUAGGUUAGUUAGCAGGUGAUGCAUAUCCUGGAGAGAUUCUAGGAGGAGAUGGUGUUAUGCCGACGUGUGUAGGAUAGUGGCCGAGUGUGUCGGUCAGCCUAGUGUGUGCGUGCAUGAGUUAGUGGUUGGGUGUGAAGUCAUUUGUACUGCCUAUUUAAGUUCAACAAAAUGAAUGAGAAGGGAGGCCGUGAGGGCUGAAGGAAACCAUGUAGCGCAUGUGAUUGUCACCGGGAGAGAUAAGGCAAAGCUAAUUUUCUCCCUGGUGAAUGUGUGCGUGCGUGUGUGUUUUCUGCCCGGGUGUGUGUUCUUGUGUUCUUGAGAGAAGAAGAGAAAAACAAAAGUGAGAGUUGUGAGAGGAGAGGAAGAAGAAGAAGCGGGGCUGCAAGGAGAGGCGGCGCCAACACAAACUCCCUGCUCUGCCACGUGUGGGUCCCAAGCCUCGGUCUAAGAUCUUGAACGCCCUGCUGCCACUGGCUUCGUCAUUGCCUGUCAUCGUAGUGCUAGGUGUUGUCUUCUUCAUUUUGUGGUAUCGACGUCGAUUUGCCGAGGUGGGAGAAGAUUGGGAGGAUGAGUUCGGCCCACAUCGUUUCCGAUACAAGGAUUUGUUUCAUGCCACCGAAGGGUUUUCGAGUAGGAAUUUACUUGGUGUAGGAGGAUUUGGAAGAGUAUGCAGAGGAUUGCUUUCUCCGUCCAAUCUGGAGGUUGCAGUGAAGAGGGUGUCACAUGAUUCUAAACAAGGAAUAAGGGAGUUCAUUGCAGAGGUGGUGAGCAUUGGCCGUCUCCACCACCGAAAUCUCGCACGGUUACUAGGCUACUGCCGUCGAAAGGGUGAACUUCUCUUAGUUUAUGAGUACAUGGAAAAUGGUAGUCUUGUCAAGUACUUGUACGAUAAAAAUAAGCCAACUCUACACUGGCCUCAGAGAUAUAAGAUCAUCAAAGAUGUUGCAUCAAGUUUGUUGCACUGGUGGAAAAAGGGCCUUUGGUCGCGGUUCGCAACUGCCAUUAGUCGCGGUUGCGCAACCGCGACCAAAUAGGCGCGACUAAAGGCCCCCACCUUUAGUCGCGGUUGCUUAAGAACCGCGACUAAAGGCCCGUCCACGUGGGCGCCAGGCGGCCGUCGGGGUGGAGGACCUUUAGUCGCGGUUCUUCUGGCCAACCGCGACUAAAGGCCGCCGCAGGUUUAGGGUUUUAGCCCCCCCCCCCCUAAACCUGUUUUCUGUUUAAUUUGUAUUGUUUUAUUUCUUUUGUGCUUUAUUUUAAUUUUGAAGGAGUUUCACAUAUUCUACGGUACUACAUACAUGGAAUGUACAAUUUCAAACAAAUUUGAAAUUAGAACCAAAAAGAAUUCAAGAGGAAUAUACAAUAUAUAUUCAAUAUCAUCGGAUGACCAUAUACAAUUUUGAACAAGUUUCCAUACAUAAUUUAAUGCAUAUAAAGUUCUACGUCCUCGUAAUGGUGUUCUCCUUUAGGAUGGAGGACUUCCCUCCUGAACCAUCCAGCUAGUUCCUCUUGAAGUGGUCGGAAGCGAGCUUCUGGACUAAGCAUCAUCCGGAGGUUAUUCCUCUGAGCAUUGGUAUCACUCGGAACCCGCUCAGAGGUGUAUCUCUGGAUCAUCUCACAGACAUAGUAUGCACAUAGAUUGGUCCCCGCUGGCUGAAUAUCCUCACCAUUCUUAGCCUUUGACCUUUUGAAUUCUAGCUCUUUUUUGAAUUCACCGACCUUUGUAUCUACGAACCGUCUCCAAACCCUACGAGGCAAAGAAAAUUAAAUGAACAAGAGAGUUAUUAGUUACUUGAUAUUAGGAAAUGAACGAAAUAGGCCGAUCGAUAUAGAGCGCAAAUGAAUGAAAAUAAUUACUUCUGCAGCAUUCUUCUCAUGUCGCCCCAAAGCUUUGGAUCCUUAUUCAGAGAGUCGUGGACGAGACAUUCUGAGGUGUCAACUUUAAUUACUAGCAGAAUCCAGUGGAACCUGCGGACACGAUACAUGCACAGUACGUCAUGCAUAACUCAUCGAUUAGCCGGCCACAUACCAUGCAUGGAGUAAAAAAAAGAGAAUGUGCUCAAGACAGAAACACUCACCCAAAAUGGUAAGGAAAUAGAAUAUCACUUUUGAGUUCCUGCUUUGUAAGAAACUGCCACAGGUCUGCCUCCAUGUCGGCGGGGUGAUGCUCCAACACAUAUCCAUUAACGAUGUGUGGGUCAAUGAACCCAACAUCAUGGAUGUUCCUUACUCUGCAUUCCUUAAUCUUCAUUCUGCAUGUAUAAUAGCGGACACAACAAUAUAGUUAGGACAUAUAUAUAGUGCAGGCAAUAUGAACGAGAUGGGGUAGAAAUAAAUCACUUACAGAACGUAGCAACUGAUGAUAGAUUUGUCGAGCUCGCGCAGAUUGAAAAGCUGGAACAAUUCACUCAGAUGAAUUUGUACAUAGUAAUGUUUGAAGUGAUGCUCAUAUCUAACUUCCGCAUAAAUAUAUUCUUUGGCGUUUUUAUUUUUUAUGUAACCCUUGUACCAUUUCAGCAGACCUUUUAUUUGUGGAGGUAGAUCCUCUUCCUGCGCAGGCUCGACGAGAGGCCCAUUCUUCACAUAUGUAAUUACUACCUCCUUCACUGGCGCCUCAUCAAGGCCUAACAGUUCACGAAGAGUAAUACCUAAGUUGGCCGCUUGUUCUCUGGCACUCGUUACAGUUAAUCCAUGUGCUGCCGCAGCUGCUAUGAUAUCGGGGUCAUCCGGACCGGCGGCUUUCACUAUAAGCGGGGCAAUCGAUUGUUUACUUUGUUCCCCGAGCUGGGCAACUCGUUUCCCGCUUUUUUUACUUUCUAAUUCCGUUUUCUCGGCCUCCUCCACUCCCACGAUGUUUCUUUUGCCUGAAAGAACAAUGUGGCGCUUUGGAUCAUCGCAUGAUGUACUGAUCGUUUUCUUAUCUUUUCGUUUCCUCGGUUUGCUACUCAUGUCCUUCACAUAGAAAACCUGAGCGACAUCUUUCGCUAGGACGAAUGGUUCGUCAAGGUAACCAAGAUUGUUGAAAUCCACCAUUGUCAUUCCGUAUUGCUGGUCCACCUUUACCCCACCUCCUGUUAGCUUGAACCAUUUGCACCGGAACAAAGGGACCUUAAAGGAGGGUCCAUAGUCAAGUUCCCAUAUCUCCUCUAUGUAACCAUAAUAUGUGACCUUUUGCCCAUUCUCGGUUGCUGCAUCAAAGCGGACACCACUGUUUUGGUUGGUGCUCUUUUUAUCUUGGGCGAUCGUGUAAAAUGUAUUCCCAUUUAUCUCGUACCCUUGGAAAGUCGUUAUAGUCGAAGAUGGUGUCUUGGCCAACAUGUACAGCUGAUCUACAACAUCAUUGUCAUUCAUUAAAUGUUUUCUCAACCAACUGCCGAAAGUCUCCAUGUGGGCCUUCCUAAUCCAGGAUUCAGGCUUCCUCGGGUUGUCCGAGCGUAAAAUAUUCUUGUGUUUCUCAAAGUACGGAGCCACCAAGCUGGAAUUGGUCAGUACAGUAUGGUGUGCUUCAGUCAGAGAAUGGCCGUCCAUAAAUAUCGUUGAUUUCCUUCCGAUCGUGCCUUUUCCACUUAGUCUCCCCUCGUGCCGCGAUCGAGGAAGACCAAUCGGCUUAAGGUCAGGAACAAAGUCAACACAAAACUCAAUUACCUCCUCAUUUCCAUAGCCCUUGGCGAUGCUUCCUUCUGGCCUAGCACGGUUACGAACAUAUUUCUUUAAUACUCCCAUGAACCUCUCGAAGGGGAACAUAUUGUGUAGAAAUACAGGACCGAGAAUGAAAAUCUCUUCGACUAGGUGAACCAAGAGGUGCGUCAUAAUAUUGAAGAAGGAUGGCGGGAACACCAACUCGAAACUGACAAGACAUUGGAUCACAUCGUUCUGUAACCGUGGUAGAUCUUCUGGAUUGAUUACCUUCUGAGAGAUUGCAUUGAGGAAUGCACAUAGCUUCACAAUGGCUACUCGAACAUUUUCCGGCAGGAGCCCCCUCAAAGCAAUCAGAAGCAAUUGCGUCAUAAUCACGUGGCAGUCGUGAGACUUCAGGUUUUGGAACUUUUUCUCCGCCAUGUUUAUUAUUCCCUUUAUAUUGGACGAGAAUCCAGACGGGACCUUCAUACUGCUCAGGCAUUCAAAAAAGAUGACCUUCUCUUCUUUGGUCAGAGCGUAGCUGGCACGACCUUGAAACCAUUCCGGAUGCCAGUCAUCAGGGUCUUUCAAACGUUGCUGGUCCUGCCGUGCUUCCUUUGUAUCAUUUGUCUUCCCAUACACGCCCAAGAAGCUUAGGAGGUUCACGCAAAUAUUCUUCGUAACGUGCAUCACGUCGAUUGCAGAGCGGACAUCUAGGACUUUCCAAUAUUCUAGCUCCCAGAAUAUAGAUUUCUUCUUCCACAUGGCUGCGUGCCCGUCAGCUCCCUUCGGAACUGAUUGUCCGCCAGGACCCUUUCCAAAGAUGACUUUCAAAUCCUUGACCAUAUCAAAUACCUCAGCACCAGUGCGUUCCGCAGGCUUCGGCCGGUGAUCUGCCUUGCCGUUGUAAUGCUUGCCUUUCUUUCUUACUGGAUGAAUUUUUGGAAGAAAUCGACGAUGCCCAAGGUACACGUUCUUCUUACAAUUUGGCAAAUGUACACUUUCAGUCUCAUGUAAGCAGUGCGUGCAUGCAUUGUAUCCCUUAUUUGACAGUCCCGAAAGGUUACUAAGAGCAGGCCAAUCGUUGAUGGUUACGAAAAGCAACGCUCGUAGGUUAAAUUCCUCUUUUUUGUGCUCAUCCCACACACGGACACCAGGUCUGCCCCACAGCUGUAAAAGUUCAUCAACUAAUGGCCUUAGGUACACAUCGAUGUCGUUGCCGGGUUGCUUCGGACCUUGGAUGAGCACUGGCAUCAUAAUGAACUUCCGCUUCAUGCACAACCAAGGAGGAAGGUUGUAGAUGCAUAGAGUCACGGGCCAGGUGCUAUGGCUGGAGCUCUGCUCGCCAAAAGGAUUCAUGCCAUCUGUACUUAGACCAAAUCCUAUGUUCCUUGCGUCAGCUGCAAAAUCUUUGAACUCUCUGUCGAUCUUUCUCCAUUGCGUUCCAUCUGCGGUGUGUCUCAACUCCUAGUCCGACUUACGGUCCUCUUUGUGCCAUCGCAACAACUUGGCAUGCUCUUUGUUCCUGAACAGACGUUUCAACCGUGGUAUUAUAGGAGCAUACCACAUCACCUUGGCGGGAACCCUCUUCCUGGGUUUCUCGCCCUCAACAUCGUCACCAGGGUCAUCGCCUCUGAUCUUAUAACGCAAUGCAGUGCAUACCGGGCAUUCAUUCAAAUUCUCGUAUUCACCGCGGUAGAGGAUGCAGUCGUUGAUGCAUGCAUGUAUCUUCAGAACCUCUAAACCUAGAGGGCAAACAACCUUCUUUGCUUCGUACGUACUGGCGGGCAACUCGUUAUUCUUUGGAAACAUAUUCUUCAACAUUUUCAGCAAGUUUUCAAAUGCCGAGUCAGCUACACCUGCCUGUGCCUUCCAUUUCAGCAAAUCCAGUGUGCAGCCCAGCUUUUUCAGACCAUCAUCGCAUCCGGGGUACAACGACUUUCUGUGAUCCUCUAACAUGCGAUCCAAAUUCUCCCUCUCCUUUUCAGUUUCGCAGCGUCUCCGUGCAUCAGCAAUGGUCCGACCAAGAUCAUCAACGGUCUCAUCACGUGCCUCUUCUUCACCUUCACCUUCACCUUCACCUUCACCUUCCCCUUCACCUUCCCCUUCACCUUCCCCUUCACCUUCAGCAUCCUCCAUGAAAGUAUCACCGAAAUGAGCAAGAUAGCUUUCAUCGAUGAAAUCAUCCCCUUCUUCAUCUUCUUCCAUUAUAACCCCUCUUUCUCCAUGCUUGGUCCAACAAUUAUAGCUUGGCAUGAAACCGUGCCGAAGCAGGUGCAGGUGAACUUCUCUUGAGGAAGAGUAACCCUUCUGAUUCUUACAGUCAACACAUGGACAGAUAACAAUACCCUUCUGCUUGUUCGCAUUAGCCACUACGAGGAAAUCUUUCAAACCCGUAGUGAACUCGCGGGAGAGUCGGUUACCGUACAUCCAUUGCCGAUUCAUCUGCAUUAUUAUAAUAUAAAAUAUAUAAUUAACCAUCAUGCAUUUGUUAAACUAACUAGCUAUAAACAAUAGAAAUUAAACAAUGAACAACACACAUGCAUAUUUUAUCAAUGACACACAUGCAUGAAAGGUUCAAGUUGCUAACCGCGAUCGAGGAGGAACCUCAAGUGUGGCUCCAACACUUCAUAUCAUGUUUGUUUCACGCUGUUGGGGCAUUUCAUCAAACACCUUGUGUGCAUAAGAGGAACCAAAAGCAAACCUACACCCCCUUGUGAAGAGAAGUGGCACCAAAUGGCUAAGUGAGUGCGCUGAACUGGUAUAUAUAGGGGAGGAGCUUUAGUCGCGGUUGGCCUGGCCAACCGCGACUAAAGGCCUUUGGGCACCUUUAGUCGCGGUUGGCCUGGCCAACCGCGACUAAAGCCCCUCACGUGCACCAGCUGGCCACCGAGCGCCCUGGGCCCAGGCAUUUGGUCGCGGUUCGUCUGCCAAACCGCGACUAAAGACUUCAUUAGUCGCGGUUCCUACAGUUUCGUGACUAAUGGGGCUGGACGGAAGCCUCUUUUUCUACCAGUGUUGUAUCUUCAUGAGGAGUGGGAACAAAUCGUCAUCCAUCGAGAUAUAAAGGCGAGCAAUGUGCUCUUGGAUGGUCAGAUGAAUGGACGGCUGGAUGAUUUUGGUCUAGCAAGGUUAUACGACCAUGGCACGGUUGCUAAAACAACCCAUGUGGUAGGCACCAUGGGAUACCUUGCACCGGAACUUAUACGCACCGGGAAGGCAACACCCUCGACCGAUGUGUUCGCAUUUGGUGUGUUUCUCCUAGAGGUUGCAUGUGGGUGUAGACCAAUCAGUUGCAGGAAGGACAACACACAAACAUUGUUGAUUGAAUCGGUGCUUGAACAUCGCCGCAAUGGAUCAAUUAUCGAUGUGGUAGAUCCACGGCUCUGGGCAAUUUCAACAUAGAGGAAGCCACCUUCGUGCUCAACUUAGGAUUAUUGUGCUCCUACCCAUCACCAAGUGCAAGGCCUAGAACGUGAAAGGUCGUGCAAUACCUGGACCGUGGCCAGUCAAUUUCUGAUCUAUCUCCAACCUAUGUGAGGUACAACAUGAUAGCGAUGAUGCAUAACGAAGGGUUCGAUUCGUACAAAAUGGCGUGCACUCUAUCGAAUACUAGCAUUUGCUCUAUAUCUGGUGAGUCUUCAGUGACCGUUCUACAAGAGGGGAGAUGAAUGCUUGCAAUUGAAUCUUCUCAUUUUAUUCUCCUUUAGCUAUUUCUUCAAGCCAUGACAUGAGUUUCCCUUUUAAUAUCAUGUGAUCCAAGUAUGCUGGUGUAAGCUCUUUUACUUAGGCUGGUCAUAGUGGGGAGUAACUUAGACUAGUGUAGUCUAAGUUACUAUCUUCAUAAUGCAAAGUAACAUAAUAGUAGUGUCAUAGAUGGCUUCAUUUAUUAGCUUGUAGACUCAUCAUAUCUUGGGAAGCGCUAUGUUACAGUAACAUAUUAUGUUACCACCUCACAUUAAAUACUUGCCACAUAAGCAAAAAUUUCUUGGAGUGCGCUAUGUUACUAGCUAAGUUACUCCCACUAUGACUAGCCUUAUGUAUGUAUGAAACCAUGUUUUCAUAGUGAAAUAAUUAUGUCUGAGCAUCAAUUUUAGUAACCAGUAACACUAUGGAUGUAAAGUACUCCCUCCAUCACAGUUUAGAAGGCACAGUUAAAUUUGCGUGCGUUUCCACAAUAGACAAGGUUUAGGGCGCAUUGCAUUUAUUUCUAGUAACUAAUUAGUACUCUGAGAUACUAUUUCUAUAUGCAUGCGUAGUGUGAAUGCUAUUUUUAGCCCACGUCACAACCAAUAGAUAACCACCUAGGUCCCAGAGAAUUUCCAAGUGCGUCUUCUAAACCGUGAUGGAGUAGUUAAUUGUACUCCCUCCAUUUCAUAUUAAUUGUUGCCGAUUUGAUACAACUUUAUACUAAAUCAAUGACACUUAAAAUGGAUCGAAGGGAGUAUCAAUCUCUGGUGCUAGUGCUUUGUUGCUACUAGACCUGCACAUUUCCAUAGUGGGCCAAAGAGGCCCCUCAGUGCACGACUACAUGACACGUUAAUUGGCACCUUGGUUCAGGACAGAGCAUCAGCUGUCCGCACAGAAUACAUCCAAGGGAGCACGCGGCAGUACAUAGGGUGAGGGUACAUGGUGGCAUGGCUGUAGGUCUGGACAGGAAGGUCGGGGUCGAGGCUUGGUUGGGUUCGACUCGGGUCGAAGGUCCAACAAGCCAAGUCCAAACCUUCGGUCAAGCUCGUGAAGCUCGACAAGCCGGCUAGAGACUCGAUGAACAAAAAAUCCACACGGCCUUUGCUAAAAAAAUAGCAAUAUACUUUCUUCGUUCACUAUUAUCAGAUGUUCUAACUUUUUUCUAAUUCGGAUGCAUGUAGACGCAAUUUUGUGUGUAUGUUCACUCAUUUUGGUCCGUAUGUAGUCCAUAUUAAAAUAUCGAAAAUAUCUUAUACUAUUUGUGAAGAGUAUUAAUUAAGACCAAUAGUUCACAAUUAUAUAACAUGAUAUAGACAUUGCACCCACUCAUAACAUAGUCUAUCAAGUCGACAUAAAGUCCCAGCAAAAGUAGUAAGACUACUCGAUGCAUUAAUGCCCGUCAAUUGAACAGGUCUAAAUGUGGACAAAUUUGAACAUGUGAGAGGACCCACUAGGUCCAGCUGAAAGAAAUAUGCCCUAGAGGCAAUAAUAAAGUUGUUAUUUUAUUUUCUUAUAUCAUGAUAAAUGUUUAUUAUUCAUGUUAGAAUUGUAUUAUCCGAAAACUUAGUACAUGUGUGAAUAUAUAGACAAACAGAGUGUCACUAGUAUGCCUAUACUUGACUAGCUCAUUGAAUCAAAGAUGGUUAGGUUUCCUAACCAUAGACAUGAGUUUUCAUUUGAUUAACGGGAUCACAUCAUUAGAGAAUGAUGUGAUUGACUUGACCCAUUCCGUUAGCUUAGCAUUUGAUCGUUUAGUAUAUUGAUAUUGCUUUCUUCAUAACUUAUACAUGUUCCUAUAACUAUGAGAUUAUGCAACUCCCAAAUACCGGAGGAACACUUUGUGUGCUACAAAGCGUCACAACGUAACUGGGUGAUUAUAAAGGUGCUCUACAGGUGUCUCCGAUGGUACUUGUUGAGUUGGCAUAGAUCGAGAUUAGGAUUUGUCACUCCGAUUGUCAGAGAGAUAUCUCUGGGCCCUCUCGGUAAUGCACAUCACUAUAAGCCUUGCAAGUAAUGUAACUAAUGAAUUAGUUGCGGGAUGAUGCAUUACGGUACGAGUAAAGAGACUUGCCAAUAACGAGAUUGAACUAGGUAUUGAGAUACCGAUGAUCAAAUCUCGGGCAAUUCACAUACCGAUGACAAAGGGAACAACGUAUGUUGUUAUGCGGUUUGACCGAUAAAGAUCUUCGUAGAAUAUGUGGGAGCCAAUAUGAGCAUCCAGGUUCCGCUAUUGGUUAUUGACCGAAGACGUGUCUCGGUCAUGUCUACAUAGUUCUCAAACCCGUAGGGUCCGCACGCUUAACGUUCGGUGACGAUCGGUAAUAUGAGUUUAUGUGUUUUGAUGUACCGAAGGUAGUUUGGUGUCCCGGAUAUGAUCACGGACAUGACGAGGAGUCUCGAAAUGGUCGAGACAUAAAGAUCGAUAUAUUGGAUGACUAUGUUUGGACUUCGGAAGAGUUCCGAGUGACUUUGGACAAAUACCGGAGUACCGGGGGGUUACCGGAACCCCCCGGGGAGUGUAAUGAGCCUCAUGGGCCUUAGUGGAGAGAGGAAGGGGCGACCAGGGCAGGCCGCGCGCCCCCUCCCCAUCUAGUCUGAAUUGGACAAGGAAGGGGGGCGGCGCCCCCCCUUUUUCCUUCCCCCUCUCCCCUCCUUCCUUCCCUCUUACUCCUACUCUUGGAAGGGGUGGAAUCCUACUCCCGGUGGGAGUACGACUCCCCUUGGGGCGCGCCUAGGAGGCCGGCCUCCUUAUAUACGGGGGAGGGGGGCACCCCAUAGACACACAAGUUGAUCAUUGAUCACUUAGCCGUGUGCGGUGCCCCUCUCCACCAUUAUCCACCUCGGUCAUAUCGUCGUAGUGCUUAGGCGAAUCCCUGCGCCGGUAGCUUCAUGAUCACCAUCAUCACGCCAUCGUGCUGACGAAACUAUCCCUCGAAGCUCUACUGGAUCGUGAGUUCGUGGGAUGUCGCCGAGCUGAACGUGUGCAGAUCACGAAGGUGCCAUACGUUCGGUACUAGGAUCGGUCGAUCGUGAAGACGUACGACUAUAUCAACCGCGUUGCCAUAACGCUUCCGCUUACAGUCUACAAGGGUACGUGGACGACACUCUCCCCUCUCGUUGCUAUGCAUCACCAUGAUCUUGCGUGUGCGUAGGAUUUUUUUUGAAAUUACUAUGUUACCCAACAGUGGCAUCCGAGCCAAGUUUAUGCGUAGAUGUUAUAUGCACGAGUAGAACACAAGUGAGUUGUGGGAGAUAAUAGUCAUACUGCUUACCAGCAUGUAAUACUUUGAUUCGGCGGUAUUGUUGGAUGAAGCGGCCCGGACCGACAUUAUGCUUUAUCUUACGCAAGACUGGUUCUACCUACAUGCUUCACACACAGGUGGCUGGCGGGUGUCAGUUUCUCCAACUUUAGUUGAAUCGAAUGUGGCUACGCCCGGUCCUUGUGAAGGUUAAAACAACACAUACUUGACGAAAAAUCAUUGUGGUUUUGAUGCGUAGGUAAGAACGGUUCUUGCUCAGCCCAUAGCAGCCACGUAAUACUUGCAACAACAAAGUAGAGGACGUCUAACUUGUUUUUGCAGGGCUUGUUGUGAUGUGAUAUGGUCAAGACAUGAUGAGAUAUAAGUUGUUGUAUGAGAUGAUCAUGUUUUGUCGAAGUUAUCAGCAAUUGGCAGGAGCCAUAUGGUUGUCGCUGUUGGGGAACAUAGUAAUUUCAAAAAAAUCCGACGCACACGCAAGAUCAUGGUGAUGCAUAGAAAUGAGAGGGAAGAGUUUUGUCUACGUACCCUCGUAGACCGUAAGCAGAAGCGUUAUGACAAUGCGGUUGAUGUAGUCGUACGUCUUCACGAUCGACCCAUCCUAGUACCGAACGUACGGCACCUCCAUGAUCUGCACACGUUCAGCUCAGCGACGUCCCACAAACUCAUGAUCCAGUAGAGCUUCGACGGAUAGCUUCAUCAGCACGACGGCAUGAUGACGGUGAUGAUGAAGCUACCGGCGCAGGGCUUCGCCUAAGCACUACGAUGAUAUGACCGAGGUGGGUUAUGGUGGAGGGGGGCACCGCACACGGCUAAAAGAUCAAUGAUCAACUUGUAUCCAUGGGGUGCCCCCCUCCCCCGUAUAUAAAGGAGUGGAGGAGGGGAGGGGCCGACCCUCUCUAUGGCGCGCCCUAGGGGAGUCCUACUCCCACCGGGAGUAGGAUUCCCCCCUUUCCUUAGUAGGAGUAGGAGAGGAAGGGAAGGAGGAGUAGGAGAGAAGGAAAGCCCCCCCCCCAAACCCUUUCCAAUUCGGCCUCCUGCCCAAGGGGGGCGCACCAACCCCUUGUGGGCUGGUGUGCUUCCUUCUUAUUGCCCAUAAGGCCCAUAACUUCUCCUGGGGGGUUCCGAUAACCUCCCGGUACUCCAGAAAAAUGUCCAAAUUAAACCACUCAGAACCCUUCCGAUAUCCAAACAUAGUCAUCCAAUAUAUCGAUCUUUAUGUCUCGACCAUUUCGAGACUCCUCUUCAUGUCCGUGAUCAUAUCCGGGACUCUGAACUACCUUCGGUACAUCAAAACACAUAAACUCAUAAUACCGAUCAUCACCGAACGUUAAGCAUGCGGACCCUACGAGUUCAAGAACUAUGUAGACAUGACCGAGAAUCAUGUCCGAUCAAUAACCAAUAGCGGAACAUGGAUGCUCAUAUUGGUUCCUACAUAUUCUACGAAGAUCUUUCUGGGUCAAACCGCAUAACAACAUAAGUUGUUCCCUUUGUCAUCGGUAUGUUACUUGCCCGGGAUUCGAUCGUCGGUAUCUCAAUAGCUAGUUCAAUCUCGUUACCGGCAAGUCUCUUUACUCGUUCCGUAAUGCAUCAUCCCACAACUAACUCAUUAAUCACAUUGCUUGCAAGGCUUAUAGUGAUGUGCAUUACCGAGAGGACCCAGAGAUACCUCUCCGACAAUCGGAGUGACAAAUCCUAAUCUCGAUCUAUGCCAACUCAACAAGUACCAUCGGAGACACCUGUAGAGCACCUUUAUAAUCACUCAGUUACGUUGUGACGUUUGGUAGCACACAAAGUGUUCCUCCGGUAUUAGGGAGUUGCAUAAUCGCAUAGUCAUAGGAACAUGUAUAAGUCAUAAGAAAGCAAUAGCAACAUACUAAACGAUCAAGUGCUAAGCUAACGGAAUGGAUCAAGUCAAUCACAUCAUUCUCUAAUGAUGUGAUCCCGUUAAUCAAAUGACAACUCAUGUCCAUGGCUAGGAAACUUAACCAUCUUUGAUUCAACGAGCUAGUAAAGUAGAGGCAUACUAGUGACACUCUGUUUGUCUAUGUAUUCACACAUGUACUAAGUUUUCGGUUAAUACAAUUCUAGCAUGAAUAAUAAACAUUUAUCAUGAUAUAAGGAAAUAUAAAUAACAACUUUAUUAUUGCCUCUAGGGCAUAUUUCCUUCAGUCUCCCACUUGCACUAGAGUCAAUAAUCUAGAUCACAUCACCAUGUGAAUAACACCAAUAGUUCACAUCACCAUGUGAUUAACACCAAUAGUUCACAUGACCAUGUGAUUAACACCCAAAGUUCACAUCACCAUGUGACCAAUACCCGAAGGGUUUACUAGAGUCAAUAAUCUAGUUCACAUUGCUAUGUGAUUAACACCUAAAGAUUACUUAGGUGUGAUCAUGUUUUUCUUGUGCGAGAAGUAUAGUCAACGGGUCUGCCAUAUUCAAAUCUGUAAGUAUUUUGCAAAUUUCUAUGUCUACAAUGCUCUGCAUGGAGCUACUCUAGCUAAUUGCUCCCACUUUCAAUAUGUAUCCAGAUUGAGACGCAGAGUCAUCUGGAUCAGUGUCAAAGCUUGCAUCGAGGUAACUCUUUGUGACGAACUCUUUAUCACCUCCAUAACCGAGAAAUAUUUCCUUAGUCCUCUAAGGAUAAUUUUGAUCAAUGUCCAGUGAUCUACUCCUAGAUCACUAUUGUACUCCCUUGCCAAACUCAGGGCAGGGUAUAUAAUAGGUCUGGUCUAUUGCAUGGCGUACUUUAUAGAACCUAUGACUGAGGCAUAGGGAAUGACUUUCAUUCUCUUUCUAUUUUCUGCCGUGGUCGGGAUUCGAGUCUUACUCAAUUUCACACCUUUGCAACACAGGCAAGAACUCUUUCUUUGACUGUUACAUUUUGAACCACUUCAAAAUCUUGUCAAGGUAUGUACUCAUUGAAAAUCUUAUCAAGCGUCUUGAUCUAUCUCAAUAGAUCUUGAUGCUCAAUGUGUAAGUAGCUUUACUGAAGUCUUUCUUUUGAAGAACUCCUUUCAAACACUCCUUUAUGCUUUCUGGAAAAUUCUACAUCAUUUCUGAUCAACAAUAUGUCACUCACAUAUACUUAUCAGAAAGGUUGUAGUGCUCCCACUCACUUUCUUGUAAAUACAGGCUUCACCGCAAGUCCGUAUAAAACUAUAUGCUUUGAUAAACUUAUCAAAGCGUAUAUUCCAACUCUGAGAUGCUUGCACCAGUCCAUAGAUGGAUCACUAGAGCUUGCACAUUUUGUUAGAACCUUUAGGAUUGACAAAACCUUCUUGUUGCAUCAUAUACAACUUAUUCUUUAAGAAAUCCAUUAAGGAAUGAAGCUUUGACAUCCAUUUGCUAGAUUUCAUAAAAUGUGGCAAUUUGCUAACAUGAUUCGGACAGACUUAAGCAUCGCUACGAGUGAGAAAAAAUCAUCGUAGUCAACACCUUGAACUUUGUCAAAAACCUUUUUCGACAAGUCUAGAUUUGUAGAUAGUAACACUACUAUCAGCGUUCGUAUUCCUCUUGAAGAACCAUUUAUUUUUUGUACGGCUUGCCGAACAUCAGGCAAGUCAAUCAAAAUUUACACUUUGUUCUCAUACAUGGAUCCCAUCUCAGAUUUCAUGGCCUCAAGCCAUUUCGCGGAAUCUGGGCUCAUCAUCGCUUCCUCAUAGUUCGUAGGUUCGUCAUGGUCAAGUAACAUGAACUCUAGAAUAGGAUUACCAUACCACUAUGGUGCGGAACAUACUCUGGUUGACCUAUGAGGUUCGGUAGUAACUUGAUCUGAAGCUUCAUGAUCAUCAUCGUUAACUUCCUCACUAAUUUGUGUAAGCAUCACUGGAACUAAUUUCUGUGAUGAACUACUAUCCAAUUCAGGAGAAGGUACAAUUACCUCAUCAAGUUCUACUUUCCUCCCACUCACUUCUUUUGAGAGAAACUCCUUCUCUAGAAAGGAUCCAUUCUUAGCAACGAAUAUCUUGCCUUCGAAUCUGUGAUAAAAGGUGUACCCAACUGUCUCCUUUGGGUAUCCUAUGAAGACACAUUUCUCCGAUUUGGGUUUGAGCUUAUCAGGAUGAAACUUUUUCACAUAAGCAUCAUAACCCCAAACUUUAAGAAACGACAACUUUCUCUCCAUUGUUCCGGAGAACGGAGUCUUAGUCAUCUUGCCCAUGAGGCAUGGUUGCAAGCACCGACCGAUUCAUAAUUAAGUGAUUCCAAAAACCCAUCAACAUGGAUUUUCUUCAUGCGCUUUACACCAAUAUGACCUAAACGGCAGUGCCACAAAUAAGUUGCACUAUCAUUAUUAACUUUGCAUAUUUUGGCUUCAAUAUUAUGAAUAUGUGUAUCACUACGAUCGAGAUUCAAUAAACCAUUCACCUUGGGUGUAUGACCAUUGAAGGUUUUAUUCAUGUAAAUAGAACAACAACUAUUCUCUGACUUUAAAUGAAUAACCUUAUUGCAAUAAACAUGAUCAAAUCAUAUUCAUGCUUAACGCAAAUGCCAAAUAACAUUUAUUUAGGUUCAACACUAAUCCCGAAAGUAUAGGGAGUGUGCGAUGAUGAUCAUAUCAAUCUUGGAACCACUUCCAACACACAUCGUCACUUCACCCUCAACUAGUUUCUGUUCAUUUUGCAACUCCCGUUUCGAGUUACUACUCUUUAGUAACUAAACCAGUAUCAAAUACCGAGGGGCUGCUAUAAACACUAGUAAGGUACACAUCAAUGAUAUGUAUAUCAAAUAUACCUUUAUUCACUUUGCCAUCCUUCUUAUCCGCCAAGUAUCUAGGGGCAGUUCCACUUCCAGUGAACAUUUCCUUUGCAGUAGAAGCACUCAGUUUCAGGCUUGAGUCUAGCUUUGGGUUUCUUCAUGGGAGUGACAACUUGUUUGUCAUUCUUCUUGAAGUUCCCUUUCUAUUCUUUUGCCCUUUUUUCUUGAAACUAGUGGUCUUGUAAACCAUCAACACUUGAUGCUUUUUCUUGAUUUCUACCUUCGCCAAUUUCAACAUCGCGAAGAGCUAGGGAAUUUCUUUCAUCAUCCCUUGCAUAUUAUAGUUCAUCACGAAGUUCUAGUAACUUGGUGAUAGUGACUAGAGAACUUUGUCAAUUACUAUCUUAUCUGGAAGAUUAACUCCCACUUGAUUCAAGCAAUUGUAGUACUGAUGUCUACUACACAACCUUCUUCUUGUAGAUGUUGUUGGGCCUCCAAGUGCAGAGGUUUGUAGGACAGCAGCAAAUUUCCCUCAAGUGGAUGACCUAAGGUUUAUCAAUCCAUAGGAGGCAUAGGAUGAAGAUGGUCUCUCUCAAGCAACCCUGCAACCAAAUAACAAAGAGUCUCUUGUGUCCCCAACACACCCAAUACAAUGGUAAAUUGUAUAGGUGCACUAGUUCGGUGAAGAGAUGGUGAUACAAGUGCAAUAUGGAUAGUAGAUAUAGGUUUUUGUAAUCUGAAAAUAUAAAAACAGCAAGGUAACUAGUGAUAAAAGUGAGCACAAACGGUAUUGCAAUGGUAGGAAACAAGGCAUAGGGUUCAUACUUUCACUAGUGCAAGUUCUCUCAACAAUAAUAACAUAAUUGGACCAUAUAACUAUCCCUCAACAUGCAACAAAGAGUCACUCCAAAGCCACUAAUAGCGGAGAACAAAUGAACAGAUUAUGGUAGGGUACGAAACCACCUCAAAGUUAUCCUUUCUGCUCGAUCUAUUCAAGAGUUCGUAGUAAAAUAACACGAAGCUAUUAUUUCCGUUCAAUCUAUCAUAGAGUUCAUACUAGAAUAACACCUUAAGACACAAAUCAACCAAAACCCUAAUGUCACCUAGAUACUCCAUUGUCACCUCAAGUAUCCGUGGGCAUGAUUAUAUGAUAUGCAUCACACAAUCUCAGAUUCAUCUAUUCAACCAACACAAAGUACUUCAAAGAGUGCCCCAAAGUUUCUACCGGAGAGUCAAGACGAAAACGUGUGCCAACCCCUAUGCAUAGGUUCAUGGGCGGAACCCGCAAGUUGAUCACCAAAACAUACAUCAAGUGGAUCAUGUGAUAUCCCAUUGUCACCACAGAUAAGCACGGCAAGACAUACAUCAAGUGUUCUCAAAUCCUUAAAGACUCAAUCCGAUAAGAUAACUUCAAAGGGAAAACUCAAUCCAUUACAAGAGAGUAGAGGGGGACAAACAUCAUAAGAUCCAACUAUAAUAGCAAAGCUCGCGAUACAUCAAGAUCGUGCCAUAGAGAGAGAACACGAGAGAGUUUGAUCAAACACAUAGCUACUGGUACAUACCCUCAGCCCCGAGGGUGAUCUACUCCCUCCUUGUCAUGGAUAGCACCGGGAUGAUGAAGAUGGCCAUCAGUGAGGGAUCCCCCCUCCGGCAGGGUGCCGGAACGGGCUCCUGAGAGGUUUUUGGUGGCUACAGAGGCUUGCGGCGGCGGAACUCCCGAUCUAUCUUGUUGUUCGAUGGUUUUAGGGUAUAUGGGAAUAUAUAGGUGAAAGAAGUCGGUCGGGGGAGCCUCGAGGGGCCCACGAGGGUGGAGGGCGCGCCCAGGGGGGUGGGUGCGCCCCUAUCUCGUGGCCUUCUCGACGCUUCCCUGGCUUGCACUCCAAGUUCCCGGGAUUGCGUUUGUUCCAAAAAUAAGUUUUCUGAAGGUUUCAUUCCGUUUGGACUCCGUUUGAUAUUCCUUUUCUUCGAAACACUGAAAUAGGCAAUAAAACAACAAUAUGGGCUGGGCCUCCGGUUAAUAGGUUAGUCCCAAAAGUAAUAUAAAAGUGUAUAAUAAAGGCCGUAAUCAUUCAAAACAAAUAAUAAAAUAGCAUGAAUGCUUCAUAAAUUAUAGAUACGUUGGAGACGUAUCAGCAUCCCCGAGCUUAAUUCCUGCUCGUCCUCGAGUAGGUAAAUGAUAAAAGAAAGAAUUUAUGAAGUGUGAAUGCUAGAAGGUGCACAAGUUUGAUUAAUGAUAAUUUCAAUCACCUUUUCUAGCAAGAUUAUAUGUCAUAACAGUAGUUUAUCUCAUAAAACUCAUCAAGAUCAAGUAAUAAGCUAUUCACAUGUUAAAGCAUAGACCAUAAACUUUCUUGAAAACUAGCAAACUUCAUUCUUGGUCAUCAAACAAUUACAAUUCAUUUUAUUUUUAGGAAGGGUCUAUGUCAUAGCUUUGAUUUAGCAAACUCCACAUACUCAACUAUCAUAUAGUCUUCUACAAUUGCUAACACUCACGCAAUACUUAUGGUUAUGGAGUUUUAAUCAGACACUGAGAAAGAUAGGGGCUUAUAGUGUUGCCUCCCAACGUAUUCACCUUUGGGUGAUGUCAACAAUAAUAGUUCAUGCUAACUUACAUCCAAUUGCAUAUAUAUAUAUAUCAGGAUCUUUCCAACAUGAGGUGCUUGCCAAAGGAUAAAAUGAAAAAGGGAAAGGUGAAGAUAACCUUGACUCUUGCAUAAAAUAAAAGACAUAAAUUAAAAGAUAGGCCCUUCACAGAGGGAAGCAGAGGUUGUCAUGUGCUUUUAUGGUUGGAUGCAUAAAAUCUUAAUGCAAAAGAACGUCACUUUAUAUUGCCACUUGUAUAUGGACCUUUAUUAUGCAGUCUGUCGCUUUUAUUGCUUCCAUAACAAGAUCGUAUAAAGCUUAUUUUAUUCACACUAAUAGAUCAUACAUAUUUAGAGAGCAAUUUUUAUUGCUUGCACCGAUGACAACUUACUUGAAGGAUCUUACUCAACCCAUAGGUAGGUAUAGUGGACUCUCAUGGCAAAACUGGGUUUAAGGAUAUUUGGGAGCACAAGUAGUAUCUCUACUUGGUGCAAGGAAUUUGGCUAGCAUGAGGGGGAAAGGCAAGCUCAACAUGUUUGAAUGAUCCAUGACAAUAUACUUUAACUAAGAUGUGAGAAAACAUAACCCAUUACGUUGUCUUCCUUGUCCAACAUCAACUCUUUAGCAUGCCAUACUUAAUGAGUGCUCACAAUUAUAAAAUAUGUCUAAGAUAAUAUAUUUAUAUGUGAAAUCUCUCUUCCUUCAAUAUUCUUUCAUGAAUUGUUCAAAUGACCAAUACAAUGUUUGCUAACCUUUAAUAAAUUUACAACUUUACUUAUUAGAUGUGAAGUCAUUACUCCCCAUGGGAUAAGCAAAUGAAACAUAUAUAAUUUCAGAUUUAUGACAUUCAACUCAUUCAACCAUUCACUCAUAGGAUAUAAGUGAAGCACACGAGUAAGUGACAAACUACUCCAAAAAUAUAUAAGUGAAGAUCAAUGAGUAGCUAAAUAAUUAUGUAACUGUGUGAAGACUCUCUCUCAAUAAAGAAUUUCAGAUCUUGGUAUUUUAUCCAAACAGCAAGCAAAACAAAAUAAAAUGACUUUGCAAGGAUAGCACAACUCAUGUGAAGAAGCAAAAACUGAGGUUCAACCAAUACUAACCGAUAGUUGUUGAAGAAGAAAGGUGGGAUGCCUAACGGGGCAUCCCCAAGCUUAGAUGCUUGAGACUUCUUGAAAUAUUAUCUUGGGGUGCCUUGGGCAUCCCCAAGCUUGAACUUUUGUGUCUCCUUAAUUCCUCUCAUAUCAUGGUUUCUCUUUUUAUCAAAAGCUUCAUCCACACCAAACUCAACAAGAACUCGUGAGAUAGGUUAGUAUAAACCAAUGCAAAACCUUAUCAUUUUCUACUGUAACAAAUCACUAAAAUUAUUAUUCAACAUUGCAUACUCUCCUAUCCUCAAAUAGAAUCAUUAAACAAGCAAACAUAUGCAAACAACGCAACCAUAACAACAAUCUUGAAAGUGCGUUAUAUCGACUAGAGGGGGGGUGAAUAGGCGAUUUUUAUAAAUUCUUCACUGAGGAAUUUGCUGGUGAGGAAAUUCCUAAAUGAAGAACUACUAGCAGCGGAAUAAGUACUCAGAAGUAAACAUAACAGGAUACAAGCAUAGUCAUCAUGGCGAGAUGAAGACAAACACAGAGUACAGAAAGCGUAAACACAAGAUAACACAAGAAUGAAGACGGACAGACUGAAGAAAUUGAUCUAAGGAAAUUGAGAAAGUCUUGAGUCAAAGUCUUCAAACAGAUAUGAACAGGCACACAACAACAGACAUGAGGAAAUGAAAGAGUUGAGGAAAUAGAACCAGUAGGCUUGGUGAAGACAAUGAUUUGGUAGACCAGUUCCAACUGCUGUCUCAGUUGUACAUCUGGUUGGAGCGGCUGAGUAUUUAAACUCGAGGACACCCAGUCCCGAACACACAGUCCUCACCAUAUUCUCCUUGAGCUAAGGUCACACAGACCUCGCCCAAACACUCGUGGUAAGUCUUCAGGUGUCUUCCGAACCUUCACAAACUCGGUCACUCGGCGAUCCAUAAUUCCUCUUGGAUGCUCUAGACCUUGAUGCCUAACCGUCUGGAAGAAGCACAGUCUUCAAAGGAAACAAGCCUCGGAUCCACACAGGAUCAAUCUCUUCAGUGAUGCUCAAUCACUUUGGGUUUGUAGGUGUUGGGUUUCAUUUUCCUCACUUGAUGAUUUUCGCUCAAAGUCCUCGAAGGAUGGGAUGCUCUCAAUUGACAAGUGUCAGUUUCUCUCGGAGCAGCCAACCAGCUAGUGGUUGAUGGGGGCGGCUAUUUAUAGCCUAGGGAGCAGCCCGACAUGAUAAGACAUAAAUGCCCUUGUCUGAUAUGACCGUUAGGUGGGUAGAUAUUUUGGAACCGCUGGCGCAUAGCACAGCAACGGUCGGAAUUUUGACUAUCAAAAUCCUCAGGGCUAUCAUGUUCCUCACUAUGCAGGUAAUUCACACUGGUGAAUUCCUAACUCCUCAGUCAGAACAAAUUCCUUAGAGACCAGAAGAACUUCGUCUCUGUCAGUGAAGAAUAUGACUGAACUGUAUGAGAUUUCCAAUGGCUUCACUCGAAGGGAUUGGUAGGUGUAGGAUUUUGAGUUGAGCAUCACAUGGAAAUUUUUCCUUAGUAUUUCCUCGACCCCCUUUAAUAGUACGAUGUUUCCUAUGACUCAAGAAAGAGAAAAUGAAACUACGAAAACAAAAGUCUUCACGCUUCAUGUUCCUCGAACUAAUACCAAGUCUUGAAGGUCACACCAAUUUCUUCACUUUCAAAGUCUUCAGAAAGUCUUCAGAUAUACAAAGUCUUCAGACGAAGAACUUCAUUUUUAGGGGUCGACUUUCUUUGCAAAUAUCAAACUCCUCAUAGACUUAUAGACCUGUGUACACUCACAAACGCAUUAGUCCCUUAACCUAUGAGUCUUCAAUACACCAAAAUCACUAAGGGGCACUAGAUGCACUUACAAUCUCCCCCUUUUUGGUGAUUGAUGACAAUAUAGGUUAAGUUUUCAACGGGGAUAAACAUGUGAAGUGUAAAUACUGGUAUUGAGGAAUUUGAUUGCAAGAUAUAGAAGAACUCCCCCUAAAGAUGUGCAUAGUGAGUAAUUUGCUUUUGAAGCAAUGCACACUUGAAGAGUAUAAUCAUGGAGAUCUCCUCCUAUAUCUUGCAACUCAUACACGCAUUUGAUAUAUAAUAUGAAGAAUUUGAAAUGCAUGAUGAAAUAUGGUGACUGAUGUAAUUCAGCAUGUGUGCAUUAACAUUAAUGAGGAAUAAGCAUGCAGAAGAACACAUCAAAAGUAUCAGGUCACCAUAGAGUUUAAGAUUACAACUCGAUCCAGCAAAGUCAUUAGAAGAACAAGAGUUGUAACUUAGCAAAAAAACGCCCAUAUAAGAUAGACCCGCUUGAAGACUAACUCAAAUUUCUCCCCCUUUGUCAUCGAAUGACCAAAAGGGUUGAAACUGAGGACUAACGCCCCUGAAGAAUAUCAUGAAGAUGGAGGAGCGCCAGCGUUGUCAGGGUCUUGAGUCGAUGUAGGGCCUGUUGCAGUGUCGUCCAAGUCUUCAUGCUCGUCCAUGGCGCGUGAUGAAGAAUAUGAGCUAGCCACCACGGAGGGAACCUUGACCCUCUUGAAUCUCUUCGGUGGAGGAGCAGACCAGUCAAAGUCUUCUUUGAAGCCCAUUUGCUUCAGAUCUUCUUCACCAUAUAGAUGUGACAGAAUAGCCCAGGUGCGAUCAAACACUUCAUGGAGGUAGUAGUGGUUUUUCUUCACUGCAUUAUGUGUGGAAGUCAUGUUGUGACGAAUAGAACUAAACUGACGCUUAACCCACUUGUGGUUGCGAUCCACCUUCUGGUGAAGACUUAUCAGCAAUUCAGGAUCAGUCAGCACACGAGGAGCAGUAGCUUGAGGACUUGUCUUGGUAGCAUUGGCAGCAGUAUCAUGAGUGGCAGAGUCAUCAUUGGUGGAGUAAGAUGUAGCUUUGCGGAACUGACCAUCCAAUGGACGAAUGCCUUCAUCGAUCACGGCUGGUGACUUGCCCUUCUCAUCAGAUGAGGAAAUUGUCCGCUUGAGGACUUCGAUAGGGGGCAAGUAGCUGAGGUGAUUUUGAAAAUCAGCCUUGUAGUUGAGUGAAGACCUUGUUCUGAGGAAUCUCAUGAUUCACGGCGCGUAAGGCUUCAGCUCAAAUGGAGAAAGUGCAACAUUCGCCAGAGUCCUCAUGAAGAAAUCAUCAUAAUUGAUGGGGAUGCCAUGCAUGAUAGCAUAUUCUUCAUCAUUCCAAUAAUUUCUUCAUCGGAUGAGUCAUGGCCUUGAUGGGACUCAUGGUGUUCGUCAGAAUGCGGUAGAUUGUCCUUGGCACAUAGAGCAAUUCCUUCACGAGGAAUUUGGUCCUUGGAGCCUGUCCUGGCUUCAGUGGCUUCAUGAGCACUUGCAUAUAAUGAUCAAUGAGUUCAGGCUCAUCAUACAGACAACGAGCACCGUCAAGUGGAGGACUGAUUGGUAGGGCACGAAGCAAUUCAGUGGCUGGUGCCUUGUAAUGAGUGUUUCCAGUCAUCCAGUCCAACACCCAUGAGUUGACGUCAGCAGCAUCGCCUGUGAUAUGCAAGGUUGCGUAGAACUGAAGAAUAAGCUCUUCAUUCCAAUCAACUAUGUCAGAGCAGAAAUUGAGCAAGCCAGCAUCAUGAAUCAUUAUGAGGACUUGAGAGAAACAUGACAUGGAUUCCAUGUCCACAUGAGGAAUAUGCUCAUGAUCGAAGACUUUGUCCUUGUUGUAAAGCACUGAGGAAUAGAAGUUUGCCUGGCUGGCAGUCCAGAAAUGCUUCCUUCUAAGACGAGCAUUGUCAUAGGGGUUGAAGUCAGUGAAGAACACGUGCUCGCCGAAGAAAUCAUCAACCUUGAAUUUUGGCUUCUUAGAGAAAGGAUCCUUUGGCUUGGGCUGAGGAGUGUCAGUCAAUUACAGCAGCACUUCAGGAAUCGCAAUCUCAGGUUCCUCAGGCUGAGGAAUUUCAGGCUCUUCUUCAGCUUCAGCCUGGGUCGUCAAUUCUUCAUUGACAAUUUCUUCAGCACUAGUGGCUGGAAUUUCUUCAUGAACACUUGGGGUUGCAUGAGGUUCAUCAGAUCCUAUUUGCACUUCAGUGGCGGCAGGGGACUGAGGAAUAGCUUGAAGGGGAGUGAACAUUGGAGAGUUGGGAUGUUGACUGUCCCAAAAUUCAUCAUUGAGCACAGGAGUGGUACAGCCAAUGUCCACAUCCUCCUCUUCAAUUUCUUCAACACCUGCCUCUUCAGCACUAAACUGAGGCAAAGGUGAGGAAAUGAUUGGGGUUUAAGGGAUCUCAUCCACUUCAAUUUCUUCGUCCAACUGCUCUGAAGAAGCAGCAGAAGGAGUUACUUCAUCAGAUUCAUCAGGAAUCACAGAGUCUUCACCAAAAGGAACAAGGUCCUUUGAUGGCAUUGAUGAAACAGGAACGGCAUCAAUUGGAUUGUGAAUGGAACUGAUCAGAGUCUUCAUCUUCUUUGGAGCUGAAGAAUUUGAUGAAGCUGAUGCCUUCCUUUUCUUCACAGCUGCAUGUUCUGCAGCCUUGGUCUUCUUCGCAUCUGAUGCAGAUGGAAGGAUUGGAGUUGGUGUAGGCGCAGGAGGUGCAGAGGACAUUGGUUCAUUUUCCUCAGGCGCAACUGAUGCAGUUGCCCUGACUUGUUCACUUUCUUCAGGCGCACCACUAGUGGAUGCCCUGGCAAUAUCUUCAGCGGCUGGAAUGGAGUCAUCAGCCCUAGCACUCUCAUUUUCUUCAGCAGCCUGAUUGUCAUCAGCGGUGCUGGAAUUUUCUUUAGUAGGCUGAGCAGAUGCCUCAGCCUGAGUAACUUCAACGUGCACAGGUGGAGCAGCACUUGAAGUUAAUUUCUUCGUCAGAUUGACGAAACGCACCUUGGAGCCCUUCUAGUCAGCAUAGUAGCGAUCAAUUUAUCACUCAAUUGCUUGAUUUCAGCUUGCAGAGCAAUGAGCUCAUGAGGGGUGAGAGUGAGGACAUUGUCCUUGAGGUAGCGUUGUUUCUUGUAUUGCGCUUUCUUCAGACUUCUGCCUUGUUCAAAUUUCCAUUUCUCUUCUUCAAUGAAGGCAGUGAGGACAUGGCUUUGACCAGGAGUGAGGUUCAUCUCAGUCAAAGUCGUGUUGGGGUCCUUGUGCCAUAAGUCAAUGUAAUCAAGGAUCAGCUUGGGAUCCAACAUCAGUGGCACAUUGCUGCCUUUGGCUCUAGCAGCCCUAGCUUGCCUGUUUCUGAUGAUUUCGGCAAGUUCUUCAUCAUCAGCCUCAUCAUCACCAGAAGGUACAUGGAAGGCGACCUACUUCUUGUGAGGACUUGGGCGAGUGCCUUGUCCAGUAGUGGCCUUUUUCUUCAGCAGAGAGGGACCAGCUAAGGAAUUUCGAGCAACAGAGGAGCUUGCAGAUGCUCCUGAGGCAAUAGAGAAGCCUUGAGUCCUUUGGCACGUGGCGAGAUGCACAGGUGCCGAGGAUUUUGUCGGAGUAGCUGAAGACUUUGACGGAGGAGCUGAGGACUUUGAAGGAGCAGUCUGAGGAAUAUGCCGUGAGGGCCUUGAGGUGUCUGGCCUUGAUGGCAUAGCAGAGGAGCUUGGCCGUGAGGGCAUUGAAGGUGAAGCACUAGACUUGUGUGCAGGCUUCUUGGGCUGACUGGCAGAGGCCUCAGUAGAGGCAGCAGCAGCAGCAGAGUCAGUGUUGAAUUUCCUCACUUCUUCCUUUGCUUGCUUAGCCAGUUUGGCUUGGCGUUUUGCCCAUUCGUCAGGAUAAUCCUCACCGCACUUGAGGCUAGUGGGAUCUGCCAACUGGCCUGGUGCCAAUGGAGGUCUUGGGCAUGGAGGGUUGAGUGCAAAUUUCUUCAUGUACUUGGGAGUUACAUACCUGUACUCCCUCCAUUCCCGUGCCCAUCUCCUUUCAAUCCUCUGUAUGCGCACCUUGCGCUGUUUUUUAUUCUCCUUACCAAAAUUGGCCUCAUCAGGUGUGCAAUAGCCUGCGUAAAUGUCCUCAGGGAUCUCAAAAGUAGUCAUGACCUCAGGCUUCUUUCCUCCCUUCCGUGGCUUCUUACCAUCUGCCAUUUUCUUCAGUUGAGGAAUUUGAACAAUUGAAUUCUCUGAAGAAGUAUGCAACUUUUCUUCGAGGAACGCUGCAAAUGAGUUAAGUUGAUGAGAACCUAGUGAUUCAGCAGCAGACAUUUGUACCUGUGAACAGAGUGUAGUUGCGAGGAAUUUGGAGAGGUCAUUUGCGUUCUCAGAGGGUUUUUCAAAAGGAACAAGUUUGAGGAAUUUGACCAGAUGAGUCUUGAGGAAUUUCACUAAGCGUUCUUUGUCUUAGGUUCCAGAGUUGUAUAGAUUGAAAAUCCACACAAUUGAGGAAUCUUGAAGAAAAUCAUAGCUUAGAGAAACGAAUCAAAAACAGAUGACAUGUGAGGUGUUUGUGUGUGUGAAGAAUUGAAGAAUAAACACCUUUGAAGAUUUUCAGAAAAACUUGAGAAUCAAAGCGAGCAGUUAAAAGUAACUUUUAAUUACCCGAAGUGAAGAACACGACAAACUGGGAAGAACAGAUGUGAAGUUCGUCAGUUCAGAUCUUCCACGCCCUAACUUGGCGGAGGAAGACGGCUACGGCGGCGGCGGAGUGAAGAUUUCUGCGGCCGGCGCGAGUACGAUGGCGACAAGGUCGAGGCAGUGAAGCUCUUCCUCACUGGUGAUGAUGGAGUAGCGGAGGCGCUAGGGUUUGAGAAGCUCGAGCGGGAGAGAGAGAUCGAGCGGAGUAAAGGAAGUGAGGAAGGGGUGAGGGGGUAUUUAUAGUCGCAGUGAAAAACUGUUCGCCCGAAGAUUUAGGUUGAACGUGCCCCUGACCCUUCUCAUUUGCAUGACAUGUGUCACCCACGUACUGUGAGGUGGCGAUCGUGUAGGAUCGUGGGUGAAUAGAUAAGUAUAUCAUGGGAUGCAGAACGGUUUGAGCGGCAAAGCCGAAAAUUCCGAUAAGAUAAGUUUUAAAGUUCCGUUCGCAAUUUCUUCAGCUGUCAAGGACACAGUGAAGAAUCUGAACGAGUUUCAAAUAGAGCGCAUAUGAGGAAUUUGUGAAUAGACUGGGUUGAGUUUCGCAUAGAGGGGGAAGGGUCCGAUCACAUUCACUUAGCAGAAGAAAUCAACUUGAAGAAAUAACAAUAAGUGAAUGUCGUAGAGGACUUAAAACUCAUAUAUAUAUAUAUAUAUAUAUUUAUAUUUAUAUAUAUAUAUAUAAAGAGAGAGAGAGAGAGAGUAACACUAUUCUGAUCCUGGGAUCAGAAUAACUAUUUGGAUCACGUCAGGCCUAUAUAGGGCUUGAUUAGGUUAUCUCGAGAUCUAAAACAUAGAGCCAGACCGGCCCACAAACAUAUUUCUGAAUAGCCUCAUAAGCCCCAAUGACCUUCUCCUCCUGCAGCCCCCGCCGCCGCGACCUCCUCCCGCGACCCGUCGCCGGCCUCCUCCCGUGACCCGCCGCCGGGCGACCCUCCGCUGGUCUCCUCCAGCGACCCUCCGCCAGCCUCCUUCCGCGACCCUCCGGCGGCCUCCUCCCACGACUCGCCGCCAUCCUCCUCCCGCGGAUCUCCUACCCUCCCGCGACUCACCGCUGUCCUCCUCCCGCGACUCACCGCCGUCCUCCUCCCGCGGAUCUGCUUCCCUCCCAUGACCCGCCGUCGUCCUGCUCCCGCAGCCCCGCCGCCAUCCUCAUCCCACCGAAGCUGCCCAUGCGCGCCGCCACCAGUGUCAUCCGCAAUAAACAUGUCGCAUCGGUCGCUGGUGCUCAAGGUCGAGGAUCGAAUGGAUCGUGCUGGAAUUGGAUUUGCAUAGCCGGCCUUGUGCUUCAUGGAGACCUCGGAUGUCCCUGCCGACCACCUACCUCUUCAUCGCAUAGCCACCGUGGCUCUCUCCAGCCAGAGCAGCCGCUGCUUCCUGCACCCACCCAUGCUCCGCCACCUGCACACCUCCUCUCCCCCUGAUGGCACCUUCCAUCUCACUGUACGUCUCGAUCAUUUGCUACUGUCCCCAUUGUACAGCGUUGCAUUUUUGUGUUACAUUCCUGACAAAAAAGCUUUCGUGUAUUUUGUGAUGAGGGAUGCAGAGAUUCAGAUAAGUUGUGUAGAAGUUCAAGUUUAAAAAAAUUGGUUGUUCGAUGUUUAAAAUAUUUGGAAGCAACUUUAUUAUGCUCUCCAGCUAUGGCAGUUGGAGCUGUUACUCCGUGAGGCCCCUAUUGUCGCUGCAAUUUCUUGGAGCUCUGUACUGCAAAAACGCUACUGCUCUGUCUAUCGAUCUGCUACCAACGCUCUUAAUGGUGCUGAUGAAGUUGAAGUGCUGCUACUGUUAACUUUGCGCGAGGCCGGCCCCUCCUUCAGGGCGAGCUGCGUUUGGACUUCUGUUGCAAUAUGAUGAGCACUUCGGGAUCACGGGGCGAGCACAAAAAAAGUGGCCAUCCCAAGCUCAGUUGCUCCCGUUGGCGGCCGCCCCUCCCGCUGCACGUCGCCGACCACAACGACGCAAGUAGUUCGAUCUAUAUGGGGAACCUGAAAUUCUUUCCGUUUCUAGAAAAAUAAAAGUAAAUUAAAAUGUUUGAUGAUUAUUUCAAAUAUAUAUUUUUUCUAAGAAUAAAACUAAGAAAUUCAAAUCAAAAUAACAGAGAAGUUUGAAAUUUAUAGACAACUAAGAUUUUUCCUCGUUACUAAAGAAUAAAAUCAAGAGGUUCAAACUAGAAAAAAAGGAACAACUAAAAAAUAUUAAAAAGAAAUUUCUUGUUUCAGUUUGCAAGUGCAAAAAAUAGGUGUCUGAAGUGCAAAAAAUAUUAAAAAUAUAUUCACUUUUUGAUGUCUGAAGUUCAGCUAUACCUGCAGGUGCAAAAAAAUAGGUGUUUUGGUCCAUUUGUUUCAGUUUGACAAGUCAGUUUUCUUCCAAGUUUAUCUCCAAAAUUCAACGAUGUCGUGGAUUUUUAAUCCUUCAGUUUCUGUGAUAAGAAGAACGACAACGACAUAUUUCUCUGAACUUCCCAUUUGGCCACAACUAGACCCCAAGAAAAGUGCACGUACAGGAUAUUGUUAAAACCAAAUAUGAUGUAAAAUCUAGAGACAAAAAUAGUGAAUAUAUUCAAUAGUUUUUUUGUUUACUUUCAUGUUUUCUCUGACUAUAUACAUGACAGUCUGUCAUUUGUAUUCAAAAUCAGAUCCUUGUUGAUGAGACCAUACAUUUCUAAAUAGUAUGCGGUCACAUUGUGUCGCCCAGAAAGUUCAACACCGUCGUUUCUGGCCGUUCAACGAUGCGGCUCCAAGAAGUUUUUUUUCCAUAUUGGUUUUAUAGUGUUAGUUUUUUUGUGUUCAUGUAGUAAAAAAUUAGGAAGUUCAAUUUUAAGGAAGCAUCAAGUUCAACCAAUACGGAAAAACUAAAAAAUACAUUGAAUACAAACUUUUUUAGUGAGGUUCAAAUUGGAAAGACACGAAAAAGAAUUGUUCUCUGCUCUUCGCAGUAAAAAAAUGGUCACGUAUUGGUUGGUUUCCCCAACUAGUUGCUCUGUAACACACAAUAUAUUGAUGCUUUCCUUCUCCUUCAUGAAACUGUUACAAAAAAAUAGAGCAUAGAAGUUCGAUAUUAAAAGCAAAAAAACAGGCGAGCAUUUCUUGGAGAUAAAAAAAGGUUGAUGCGAAGUUCAUAUUCUUUUUGCCGCACAUAGUUCAAUAUGUUCGCUUAGGGCAAAACACACACAUUGGGUAUCCAAAAAUAAGGAGGUGAACAUACAAAAAAUUCAUGAAGUUCAAAUUUUGAAAAUAGAGAAGUCUGAAGUUUAUUAAAAAAGGAAAAAAUUCGUUUCCAAAAAGUAAAAUAAAACGUUCAUGUUUAAAUACCACAACAGUUGGAUGUUUAUUAAAAUACUCCUAGCAAAGAUAAAAACUAGGAAGUUUAAUUUUAAAUUGUUCAAUAGUUUGAUGUAAAUUAAAAUUAUGGAUUUUUCUCCUUAUUACAAGAAUAAAAACAAGAAAUUCAAACUAAAAUAACGGAGUAGUUCAAUCUAUAUUAAAAACUCAAUUUUUUCUCAUUUUUAAACAAUACGUGGCCGAAGUUCAACAACAGCAAAAAUAGGGAGUGACCAAAUACACAACAUAAAAACAAGAAGAAAACAAAAGCAUUACCCAAAAAAACCAAUCCCUAAGUUCAAAUUUCCUUAAUUAGAUAGUUCAAUUAGAAAAAUUAUGAAACAAUAUUUACUGUGCGAAAAAAUAAAUUCAAUAGUAAUCAAAUUUUCCUUUUAUAAAAAAAAUAACACAUUAGUUCAACUUCUAUGUAAAGAAAUAAAUUUCCCCUUUUUAAAAAACUUAAAACCAAGAAGGUCAAAUUAAAAUAACAUAGCAGUCCAAAAACAAGAGAGAAAGCCAACUCAAAAUAACACAGCAGUCCAAAAAUGUUUAUAAAACAUGGGUUUUAAAAAAACUAGGAAAUUUGAAAUACCGAGAAGGUCAAACAAAAGUAGAAGUUCAAAUUUGAAAAACCUGGAAAUUCAAUUCAAAUAACCGAGAAGGUCAAACAAAAGUAGAAGUUCAAAUUUGAAAAACCUGGAAAUUCAAUUUCAAAUAACCGAGAAGGUAAAAAACUGGAAGUUCAAAUUUAAAAACCUAGAAAAUUGUUGGCUUAUUUAAAACCAUAUUUUUCUGAGAAGUUCAAAGUAAAAAAGAGAGAAGUUUGAAGGUAAAAAGAUGUUUUCACUUUACUAAAUAAUAAAAUGAAGAAGUUCAAAUUAAAAAAAGGAAAAACUAAAAAAGUUUUAAAAGAAUUUUCUCGUUUUUUAAGUCGAACACAAAGAAGUCCAAAUUGAUAAUGGUCAGAGAAAGUUAAAAAAAUUUAUUGUGAGAGAGGUUUGUAUAAAAUAAAUAUCAUUUAUGUAAUACUAACGAAUGGAUAAAAAAAAUUGUAAAUGAAAAUACGUCACAAAAGUUCAACUAGUACACUGAAUGAAUUUCAAGUAAUUUUUUUAAAUCGUUAGUAAAAUCUGAGUUUUACUAUCAUUGGUGCGGUGCAACUGGUUAAAUGUUUGAAACAAACCCAAAGAAGGUCAUUAAAAAAGCAUCUCAAACAAUUUUAUGAAAAAUAUUUCCUCCGUUAAAAUAAACCUAUAAGUUCAAAAUUAAAAACGGAGCGGCUAGAUUCUGUUAAAAAGUAGGAUUUUUUCGUUACUAAAAGAAAUAAAACCAGGAAGUCCAAAUUAAAAAGAUGCAGAAGUUCGAUGAUUAUAAAAAACUCAGAUUCUCCUCGUUAUUAAAGAAUUGAAACAAUAAGUUCAGAAAUUAAAUAACCAGAAGUUCAACUUUUAAAAAUAGAAUGCUUCAAAAUUUCAUAAAAAAGAUUAAGAAAAAAAACCCAAGAAGUCCACAUUGAAAAGUUGGAGAAGUUCGAUGAUUAUAGAAAACUCAAAUUUCCCUCGUUAUUAAAGAAUGGAAACAAGAAGUUCACAAAACAAAAUAACAAGAAGUUCAAUUUUUAAAAAUAGAGCACUUCAAAAUUCAUAAAAGAAGGAUUGAGGAAUUCAGAUUAAAAUUCAUAAAAAAUCAUAUAUUUUCAAAUAGACAUGCCCGAGAAGUUCAACUACUUCACGCAAUGCAUUUCCAUUCAUGAUAAAGGCAGAAACCAUGAUCUCGUCGUUUUCUAAUUUACUUCAAAACGACAGGAAUAUCAUUUGUGUAAGUUCAAGUCCUCGGUCGGAGAAAGUUAAAAAAAUAUUGUGAAAGAGGUUUGUACAAAAAGAAUAUCAUUUGUGUAACAGUGACGAAAAUGAAUGGGAAAAUUACAAACAAAAAUACGUCACAGAAGUCCAACGUGAAAAUAGCAGGAAGUUCACAAGAAAAACUUUUAAAACCGUCGCGAGUACGAAAAAAUGACCAACACAGAAAAGUUGUGUGUCUAUAGCAGUUUUCCAUCGGUAUAUCACUUGCUUAAUUCCGGUGAGUGUUCCGGUGAGUGAAUGAAGAGCUACGAGCAAAAAAAAUGACGUGAAAAAACAGAGUGAAGUUCAAGGAGAACUGCCAUAGAAGUUCAAGUACUUCACGGAAUGCAUUUUCGGCGAAUCUGUUUCGCGAUAAAGGAAGAACGAGUGAUCUCGCCGUUUCUGAAAUUACUUGAAAAUGGCAAGGAUUUAGACAAAACCAUCAACAUUAAAAAGUUUCGCAUUUUUUGUAGCUUUUCAAUAGUAUAUUAUUUGCCCCGUUCCGAUGAAGUUUGUAGAAAUUACGGCAAAAAUACGUUUUUAGCCAUUUUCAAAAUCAACGUAAAACCAUAAUGAAUUUGGAGAAACAAUAUAUACCAGCAAGUUUCGCAUUUGUUCAGGCUUUCCAACGUCAUAUCAUUUGCUACAUUCGGUCGUAUCAUUAAGAAAAUAGAUCAAAAACACAAACUUGGUAGAACUUGUACCGUUUCCUAAAUUAAUCUUAAACCAUUCAAAAUUAGAAAAAACUUUCAACAUGAGAAAAAAGCGCAUUUUAAUAAGCUUUCCAACGCCAUAUCAUUUGUCUCAAUUGGAUUAGGCGUUUAGAAAUGGCAUAAAAAAUGCGAACUCAGUUGUUCGGUUUGCGAAAUUUUACGAUUUUCCACAUUACUUUUUAACCAUAGGGAAUUAGAAAAAACUUUCAGCAUGUGGAAGGAGCGGUUUUACAGCAGCUUUCCAAUGCCAUAUUAUUUCCCUCAUUCCGAUAAACAUUUUAGAAAUGCGAUCUAAAAUACAAUUCACGUUUUUUGUAUGAAGAAAAAACGGUUUUCAAAACUGCUCUUAAACCACUUACAUUUUGCCAAAAUUUGAAGUUGGGUCAUGAUACUGGUGUCCAUAGCUUUCCAACGGCAUAUCGCAAGCCCCAUUUGGGCAAUGUUGAUGGAAGUUCAACUAGCACUAGGGGAAGUUCAGGUCGAACGAAUCAGGCAAUAAAAUUGCAAAAAAACGCAAUUUCAUCAUGAGCCGAGAGCAAAAUCCGCCAGCGAGCGACAUUUCUAUUUACAACCGGUAUUUAGUUGCUAAAAAACUUUUCUAGAUUACACUAACAUCAUAUAGAACACUACUAAACAGAAAAAUUCGCGGGGGAAGCCACGGUUGCAAAGAUAGCCCGAAGGUCGGGUCCGUACAGAGGGAAGUUCAGCGCGUGUACAAACAAAAAUACGUCACAGAAGUUCAACGUGAAAACAUCAGGAAGUUCAACUACUACGCUGAAUGAAUUUUAGAUGAAAAACUUUUAAAAUCGUUGCGAGUAUGAAAAAAUGAUCAACACGGGAAAGAUGCGUUAUUAUAUCAGCUUUCCAUCGAUAUAUCACUUGGUCAAUUCCGGUGAGUGGAUGGAGAGCUAGGAGCAGUGGAUAGAGGUAUACGAGCAAAAAAAGCAAGUGAAAAACAGAGUGAAGUUCAAGUACAUGUGCCGAGAAGUUCAGGUUCUUCACGCGGUGCAUUUUCGAAUAAUCAGUUUCUCGAUAAAGGCAGAACGAGUGAUCUCGCCAUUUUCGCAAUUACUUGAAAACGGCUAGGAAUCAGAGAAAAGCAUCAAAAUGAAAAAGUUUCGCAUUUUCCAUAGCUUUUCAGCGGUAUAUUAUUUGCCCCAUUCUGGUAUAGUAUGUAGAAAUUAUGCCAAAAAUACGUUUUUAGCCAUUUGUCCAAUUUGACUUGAAACUAUAAGGAAUUAGGAGAAACAAUAUAUACGAAAAAGUUUCGCAUUUUCUCAAGCUUUCAAACGCCGUAUCAUUUGUUUCGUUCAGACGUAUGGUUAAAACAUUAGGCCGAAAAUACGAACUCGGUGGAUUUUGUACCGUUUUAUGAAUUACUUUUAAACCGUUCCAAAUUAGAAAAAACUUUUAACAUGAGAAAGUAGCGCAUUUUCACAAGCUUUCAAAUGCCAUAUCAUUUGCCUCAAAUGGAUUAGCCGUUUAGAAAUUACAUUGAAAAUACAAACUCGGCUAUUCGGUUUGCAAAAUUUUACGAUUUUCAAAAUUACUCUUUAUCCAUAGGGAAUUAGAGAAAACUUUCAACAUGUCGAAGGAACGGUUUUGCAACAGCUUUCCAACGCUAUAUUAUUUACCUCAUUCUGAUAAACAGUUUAGAAAUGCGAUCGAAAAUACGAUUCACAUUUUUUGUAUGAAGAAAAAAUGGUUUUCAAAACUGCUCUUAAACCGCUUACAUUUUGCCAAAACAUUUAACUUGGAUCACGAUAUUGGUGUCCAUAGCUUUCCAACGGUAUAUCGCAAGCCCCAUUUGGACACUUUUUAGCUGAAGUUCAACCUAGUAUUCGUGGAAGGUCAAGCGCGUUACUCGGGAAGUUCAUGUUGUGAUCAGAAUAUUAUUUUCAUCCCAUGAUCAGAAUAGUGUUUAUGUAUAUAUGUAUAUAUAUAUAUAUAUAUAUAUAUAUAUAUAUAUAUAUAUUCGAAUGAAGAAUAACACCGGGAAGAGUGAAGACAAUGCAAAGUUGAAGAAUUUGAAAAACUGAGGAAUUUCAAAAACGAAGAAAAACUCAAAUUGAAGAUUUUUAACUUUGAUUGGUGGCGUAACCCACCGUAUAAGAAGGCUGAUUUCAGACACCGUGUACAAUUGUCGUAGGGCUCUGAGAAUCAAUUUCUUCAUUAAUUUCUUCACACUUAGAGGGUUAGUCUUCAUUGAUUGAAGAAAAACAUUACUUCAUGUGUUGCGCAUCUAAGUCAACAAGUCAGCAUAAGUGUUAGGAUGUGUGUCCAUUUCAGAGAACAUUCGAAGAUUGUAGGAUAUUUAGCUCACACCGCAACUUGCUAAAUCUCUUCUCAUCCAAGGGCUUUGUGAAGAUAUCGGCCAAUUGAUCUUCAGUGCUGACGUGGUCAAUGGAGAUGUCGCCCUUCAACACAUGAUCAUGAAGAAAAUGAUGACAAAUUUGGAUGUGCUUGGUCUUCGAGUGCUGAACUGGGUUAUGAGCAAUCUUGAUGGCACUCUCAUUGUCACAGUAGAGAGGCAAUUCUUCACGUUGACGCCAUAGUCCUUGAGUGUUUGCUUCAUCCAUAGUAGUUGAGCACAACAUGAUACAGCAGCAAUGUACUCAGCUUCUGCAGUGGAGAGAGAUACGCAGUUCUGUUUCUUCGAGGACCAACAGACCAAAGAUCGUCCAAGGAAAUGACAUGUACCAUAUGUUGACUUGCGGUCCACGCGAUCGCCAGCAUAGUCAGAGUCUGAAUAUCCAAUGAGAUCAAAAGUGGAACCCUUGGGAUACCAUAAUCCAAGUGUUGGUGUGUGAGCUAAGUAUUGAAGAAUAUGCUUCACAGCCUUAUGGUGUGAUUCCUUUGGUGUAGCUUGAAAUCGGGCACACAUGCAAACACUAAGCAUAAUAUCUGGCCUAGAUGCACAUAGGUACAAUAAAGAGCCAAUCAUGGAGCGGUAUACCUUUUGAUCGAAGUCUUUACCAUUUUCAUCAGUGCAUAGAUGGCCAUUUGUGGGCAUUGGAAUUUUGACCCCUUUGCAAUCUUGCAUCCCGAAUUUCCUCAAUACGUCCUUGAGGUAUUUCUCCUGAGAUAUGAAUAUUCCAUUGCGUUGUUGACGAAUUUGAAGACCUAAGAAGAAUUUCAACUCUUCCUUCAUAGACAUUUGAUAUUGUUCACUCAUCAUAUAGGCAAAUUCAUCACUAUAUUGUUGGUCAGUACAGCCGAAAAUGAUAUCAUCAACAUAUAUUUGGCACACAAACAAUUCACCAUCAUAAGAUUUAGUGAAAAGAGUUGGGUCGAGUGAACCGGGUUUGAAGCCAUUCUUCACAAAGAAUUCCUUCAAGGUAUCAUACCACGCUCGAGGGGCUUGCUUGAGGCCAUACAGGGCAUUGUUGAGCUUGAAGACUUUAUCAGGAUUCUUUGGAUCUUCAAAACCUGGGGCUUGAGCAACAUAUACUUCUUCCUCAAUCUUACCAUUGAGGAAUGCACUUUUCACAUCCAUUUGUUGUAAGAUAAUAUCAUGAUGGUUAGCAUAAGCAAGUAAUAUGCGAACAGCCUCAAGUCUAGCAACAGGUGCAAAAGUUUCAUCGAAGUCAAUUCCUUCAACCUGUGUGUAGCCUUGAGCUACAAGCCGUGCCUUAUUCCUAACCACAAGGCCAUUUUCAUCUUGCUUUUUGCGGUAGAUCCACUUUGUGCCAAUAAUGUUGUGCUUGCGAGGAUCUGGAUGUUUGACCAGUUCCCAGACGUUGUUGAGCUCGAACUGAUGUAAUUCUUCUUGCAUAGCUUGAAUCCACUCAUGCUUCAGAAAUGCUUCAUCUACCUUAGUGGGCUCUGUGAUAGAGACAAACACAAAGUGCCCACAAAAGUUAGAUAAAUGUGAAGCUUUUGAGCAUGUGAGAGAACCUGGUGCUUCAAUAUCAUUGAUGAUCUUCUCGAUUUGCACUUCAUUUGGAAUACGAGGAUGAGCGAGUUGUCUUCGAGGAAUUUGAUCCGCAUUUUCUUCAGGAGCAUUUUCCUCAGCACCAUUUUCUUCUGGUGUGCCAGCUCGACGUUCAUCACGUUCUGGAAUGAAUUCUUUAGCAGAUUCUUCAGUAGGAAUGACAUCCUUAGUGGCUUUGAACUUGAUAGAAUCCUCAGGUGUUGGUUCAUCUAUCACAGAAGGUAGGUGCUCUCUUUGCGAGCCAUUAGUUUCAUCGAACCACACAUCUACAGUUUCAACAACCUUGUGAAGAACGUUGUUGAAGACUCUAUAGGUGUGCGAGUCCUUUCCGUAACCAAGCAUGAAACCCUCAUGUGCUUUCGGUGCAAACUUAGAAUUGUGAUGAGAUCUCUAAUCCAACAUUUAGCACUGAAGACUCUGAAGUAACUUACAUUGGGUUUCUUGUAAGUGAGGAGUUCAUAGGCAGUCUUCUUGAAGAAUUUGUGAAGAUAUACUCUGUUGAUGAUGUGGCAAGCGGUAUCAAUUGCAUCAAUCCAGAACCGACGAGGUGUCUUGUAUUCAUCAAGCAUAGUGCGAGCCAUUUCAGCGAGAGUUCUGUUUUUGCGCUCCAUGAUGCCAUUCUGUUGAGGAGUAUAAGGAGCAGAUAACUCAUGGGUAAUACCAAGUUCAUCAAGAUAGUCAUCAAGACCAGAAUUCUUGAACUCAGUUCCAUUGUCACUCCUGAUGUGCUUGAUCUUCACACCAAAGUUGGUUGAAGCCCUUGAGGAAAAUCGUUUGAAGACUUCCUGCACUUCAUGUUUGUAAGUAACAAUGUGUACCCAUGUGUAAUGAGAAUAAUCAUCAACAAUUAAAAAGCCAUAUAGAGAUGCAUCAUUUGUCAUAGUAGAAUAAUGAUUAGGACCGAAAAGAUCCAUAUGAAGCAAUUCAAAUGGUCGAGUGGUAGUCAUGAUAGUCUUCGUUGGAUGCUUGGCCUUUGUCAUCUUCCCAGCUUCACAGGCUCCGCAUAAAUGAUCCUUGAGGAAUUUAACAUUCUCAAUGCCAAUGACAUGCUUCUUCUUCGCGAGCGUGUGCAGAUUCCUCAUGCCAGCAUGACCAAGUCGUCGAUGCCAUAGCCAUCCUUCUGAAGCUUUUGCAAGUAAGCACACGGCAGGUUGUGGUCCUGUAGAGAAAUCAACAAUGUACAAGUCUCCUCUCCUAAAGCCUUCGAAGACUUUGGAAUUGUCAGCUUCCAUGAUCACAACACAAUGAUACUUGCCAAAGACAACAACCAUAUCAAGAUCACAAAGCAUUGAGACAGACAUGAGGUUGUAUCCUAAGGACUCAACAAGCAUGACUUUGUCCAUGUGUAUGUCCUUAGAGAUCGCAACCUUACCUAGACCCAAUACCUGACUUUUGCCUUUGUUAGCGAAGAUGAUAUGCUUAAGAUGUGACAGUGAUAAGGGAGCAUCCAUCAAGAGAUUCAUGUCACCAGUCAUGUGAUUUGUACACCCACUAUCGAGGACCCACUCAUUUUCUUUGGGUUGGUCAUCCUGUAGAUGAAUUAGUGCAGCUUACAAACUCAUAUACUUCAUCAGUGAAGAAUAUGACAUCAGUAUCAUCAGGUCAAUUUCAUCAAGCAAUUUGAACAGCUGAUCAGUAUGAGGACGUGUGAAAUGAAGGUUCAUUUCAUCAUGAUUAGCCUGCGUCCUAUCAGGCACUGUUCAGGUCUCCAGCAAAUUCUUCAGUCGUUUUGAGCAUGACUGGAGAUCUGACCCUGCAUAAGAGAUUAGUUCUUUUUCUUCACCACCCACAUCUGAAGGGGUGGCAAAGAAUUCAUCACUCUGCGAGCACCAUAUGAGAAAGGUGGCAUAGACGCCAGUCCACUUUGUUUCACAUAAGAGGGGUUAGGGUAAGCAUAUGAGUAAGCAGAGAAAUUCUUCGAGGACUUAUGAACAUAAUGAUUUGAAGAAUAAUGCACAUAUUCAUAGCCCUUAGCUCUACCCUACGAAACAGAAGGGUUAGCACGAUGAUGAUCAUAUGAGGACUUUGAUCCUUUUGAGGAAUUUGAUCCAUGUGAGUAAUUUGGUCCACCUGAGGACAAGGAUCCAUAUGAAGAAUUUGGUUCAUAUGAAGAAUUUGAUCUGGAGUUCCUUUUCCUCACAGGUGGUGUCAUGAGGACAUUCACCUAAAGACUUUCAAGGCAACUUUUGGGAACCCAGAUUUUCUUCAUAGGAGAACCGUUCUUGCAGUUAGUCCCAAAAUAUCUAGCAAAUACUUCAUCAUUCUGAUUUUUGAACAGUUUAUAGUUAGAGUCAAAUGACUCAUCAAAAGAAUGAGGAGAUUCACAUGUAAAGCCAGAUAGGUUGGAUGGAUCAACUAGAGGUCCCUUUGCAGCAGCCCAUGAGGUUUUGGGGUACUGCUCAGGCUUCCAACAUGUUCCAUCAGCAUUGAGUUUCCUCUCAAAGGCAAUACCCUCUUUUCUAGGGUUUCUAUUGAGGAUCUGCUUUUUGAGCACAUCACAAAGAGUCUGAUGCCCUUUGAGGCUUUUGCACAUGCCUGUCAUGUACAAUUCCUUCAGCCCUGCAUCAUCAGUGAUACUAACAUUGUCCUCAGAUGAGGAAUUAGUGACAGCAGAGACAUAUGAAGAAUUUGUAGCAUUAGAAGCAUUUGAACAUUCAGGUGAGGAAUUAGCAGUUUCAUGUUCAAUGCACUUCAGACAUGGAGGAACAAAUUCUUCCUGGGUAGCGCUAAUUUGUUGAGCAAGUAAUGAAUCGCGCUCCUUCUGAAGAUCUUCAUAAUCCACUCUUAGCUUUUCAAGAUCUUGCUUUCUUUGAACAAAUUCAUAAGAAAGCUUCUCAUGAUCAGAUAAGAGAGUGUUAUGAUGACCUUGAAGAUUGUCAAACCUGGACUGAAGUCUCUGAAGAUUUUAAGUCAAGGUUUUAGUGCGAUCCAUUUCUUCACCCAACAUAUCAUCACUUUUGUCUAGCAUGUUUUGAACCUUUUUCAAAAGCCUUUUGUUGUUUCACAGCAAUUUUAGCAAGUUUAGAGUAGCUGGGUUUGAUAUUUUCAUCAGAUUCAUCCUCACUUGAGUCAGAGGAGGUGUAUUUAGUUACCUUGACACCCUUUGCCAUGAAGCAAUAGGUGGGAGCGUAGUCAUCAUUGCCUUCAUCAGCCUUGUUGGUGGAGUCGUUUUCAUCAGAGUUGAAGAUAGACUUGCUGACGAAUGCAGUAGCGAGAGCUAGGCUCUCCACACCAGACUCUGACUCCUCAGAUGCCUCCUCGUCCUCAUGUUCCUCAGAUUCAACCUCAGAGUCCAUUUCCUUGCCAAUGAAUGCCCGAGCCUUCUUGGAGCUGCUCUUCUUGUGAGAUGAAGACCUCGAGGAUUUUGAUGAUGAAGACUUUGAAGAUUUCUUCUUUUUCUUUGCGUCAUCAAAACUGUAAUCCUUGUAUUUCUUCUUCUUUGAUUCCUUAUCCCACUGAGGUCAAUCUUGGAUGUAGUGACCAGGUUUCUUGCAUUUGUAGCAUAGCCUCUUCUUGUAGUCACUAGAUGAGGAAUCAUUGCUCCUUGAGGGUUUUCCAAAGCGACCAAGUCUUGGGAACUUCUGAAAUUUCUUCACGAGCAGUGCAAGUUCCUGGCUUAGUUCUUCAGGGUCACCAAGGCUGCUAGCAGAGUCUUCAUCUUCAGACUCAGAGACUGCCUUGGCCUUCAAAUCACGUGAUCUGCCAUAGCUCGAACCGUAGAGAUCUCUCUUCUCAACAAGCUGGAACUCAUGAGUGUUUAGCCGCUGGAGGAUAUCAGUGGGAUCAAGUGACUUGUAGUCAGCACGCUCUUGAAUCAUCAGUGCCAGAGUGUCAAAUGAGGAAUCUAGUGAUCUCAGCAAUUUCUUCACCACCUCAUGGUCGGUGAUGUCAGUGGCGCCAAGCGCUUGAAGCUCAUUUGAGAUGUUACUGAGGCAAUCAAAGCUUUGCUAAACAUUUUCAUUGUCGAGUCUUUUGAAGCGGUUGAAGAGAUUGCGAAGAACAUCAACAUGAGAGUCACGUUGAGUUGAGACUCCUUCAUUUACUUUGGAUAGCCUAUCCCAGAUAAGCUUGGCAGUUUCCAAAGCACUCACUCUUCCAUACUGUCCUUUGCUCAGAUGACCACAUAUGAUAUUCUUCGCUUGAGAAUCGAGUUGCUUGAAUCUCUUCACAUCAGUAGUUCAGAGAGGGUGAGACUGUGGGAACAUCAUUUUCCACAACAUACCAAAGAUCGUUAUCAAUUGCCUCAAGAUGCAUUCGCAUCUUGUUCUUCCAGUAGGGGUGUCCGUUCCAUCGAAGGUAGGACACCCAGCAGAGACCUUGAUCAUACCUGAGGUCGACAUAACUAAAACUCCAGGUGGUUAAACCAAAUCACACAGAAUAAGGGAGUACCUUGCUCUGAUACCAAUUGAAAGUGCGUUAUAUCGACUAGAGGGGGGUGAAUAGGCGAUUUUUAUAAAUUCUUCGCUGAGGAAUUUGCUUGUGAGGAAAUUCCUAAAUGAAGAACUACUAGCAGCGGAAUAAGUACUCAGAAGUAAACAUAACAGGAUACAAGCAUAGUCAUCAUGGCGAGAUGAAGACAAACACAGAGUACAGAAAGCGUAAACACAGGAUAACACAAGAACGAAGACGGAUAGACUGAAGAAAUUGAUCUAAGGAAAUUGAGAAAGUCUUCAGUCAAAGUCUUCAAACAGAUAUGAACAGGCACACAACAACAGACAUGAGGAAAUGAAAGAGUUGAUGAAAUAGAACCAGUAGGCUUGGUGAAGACAAUGAUUUGGUAGACCAGUUCCAACUGCUGUCUCAAAUGUACAUCUGGUUGGAGCGGCUGAGUAUUUAAACUCGAGGACACCCAGUCCCGGACACACAGUCCUCACCGUAUUCUCCUUGAGCUAAGGUCACACAGACCUCACCCAAACACUCGUGGUAAGUCUUCAGGUGACUUCCGAACCUUCACAAACUAGGUCACUCGGCGAUCCACAAUUCCUCUUGGAUGCUCUAGACCUUGACGCCUAACCGUCUAGAAGAAGCACAGUCUUCAAAGGAAACAAGCAUCGGAUCCACGCAGGAUCAAUCUCUUCAGUGAUGCUCAAUCACUUUGGGUUUGUAGGUGUUGGGUUUGGUUUUCCUCACUUGAUGAUUUUCGCUCUAAGUCCUCGGAGGAUGGGAUGCUCUCAAUUGACAAGUGUCAGUUUCCCUCGGAGCAGCCAACCAGCUAGUGGUUGAUGGGGACGGCUAUUUAUAGCCUAGGGAGCAGCCCGACAUGAUAAGACAUAAAUGCCCUUGUCUGAUAUCACCGUUAGGUGGGUAGAUAUUUUGGAACCGCUGGCGCAUAGCACAGCAACGGUCGGAAUUUUGACUAUCAAAAUCCUCAGGGCUAUCAUGUUCCUCACUAUGCAGGUAAUUCACACUGGUGAAUUCCUAACUCCUCAGUCAGAACAAAUUCCUCAGAGACCAGAAGAACUUCGUCUCUGUCACUGAAGAAUAUGACUGAACUGUAUGAGAUUUCCAAUGGCUUCACUCGAAGGGAUUGGUAGGUGUAGGAUUUUGAGUUGAGCAUCACAUGGAAAGUUUUCCUUAGUAUUUUCUCGACCCCCUUUAAUAGUACGGUGUUUCGUAUGACUCAAGAAAGAGAAAAUGAAACUACGAAAACAAAAGUCUUCACGCUUCAUGUUCCUCGAAUGAAUACCAAGUCUACAAGGUCACACCAAUUUCUUCACUUUCAAAGUCUUCAAAAAGUCUUCAGAUAUACAAAGUCUUCAGACAAAGAACUUCAUUUUUAGUGGUCGACUUUCUCUGCAAAUAUCAAACUCCUCAUAGACCUAUAGACCUGUGUACACUCACAAACGCAUCAGUCCCUUAACCUAUAAGUCUUCAAUACACCAAAAUCACUAGUCUGUAAAGAAUGCAAGAUUCAUCAUACUUCCCUAACUCCAAAAAUUAUGAGCAAAAUAUCUUACUGUAUAAGAUUUAUCAUAGCUCAAUAUGCAAAAGGUUUCAACAUUAUACCAUUCCCUAACUUUUCUAUGGAAUUUUUGCAACAACGGUAAACUUUCUGUUUUCAAACAGCAACAUGUAUACUAGCAAAAUAAGCGUGGCAAAGGCUAUCCUUGACAUUUUUAUUGAAAAUAAAGAUGCAAAACAUUAUUCUAAUUAACAGAAAGCAAAAACUAACAAAAUAAAAUGAUGCUCCAAGCAAAACACAUAUCAUGUGGUGAAUAAAAAUAUAGCUCCAAGUAAAGUUACCGAUGAACGAAGACGAAAGAGGGGAUGCCAUCCGGGGAAUCCCCAAGCUUAGGCUCUUGAUUGUCCUUGAAUAUUACCUUAGGGUUCCUUGGGCAUCCCCAAGCUUAGGAUCUUACCACUCCUUAUUCCAUAGUCCAUCUAAUCUUUACCCAAAACUUGAAAACUUCACAACACAAAACUCAAGAGAAAACUCGUAAGCUCUGUUAGUAUAAGAAAAUAAAACAACCACUUAGGUACUGUAAUGAACUCAUUCUAAAUUCAUAUUGGUAUAAUAUCUACUAUAUUCUAACUUAUCUAUGGUUCAUACCCUUCGAUACUACUCAUAGAUUCAUGAAAAUAAGCAAACAACACAAUGGAAACAGAAUCUGUCAAAAACAGAACAGUCUAUAGUAAUCUGUAUCAAACGUAUACUUAUGGAACUACAAAAAUCCUACCAAAUUAGGAAGUCCUAAUCAAUUUGUGUACCAAUCCAUAUAAAAAACGAAUCAGAGCAGAAGCACGUUUCUGGGAAUUAUCAAAACUAAUUUACUGGGUUAAAAAGUUUCUGAUUUUCAGGAGGAUCAACACAACUAUCACUCUAAGCUAUCCUAAAGGUCUUACUUGGCACUUUAUUGAAACAAAAGCUAGAAAACAUGAUUACUACAGUAGAAUAAUCAUGUGGACACACAAAAACAGUAAGGAUAAAUAUUGGGUUGUCUCCCAACAAGUGCUUUUCUUUAAUGCCUUUUAGCUAGGCAUGAUGAUGACAAUGAUGCUCACAUAAAAGAUAAGAAUUGAAACAUAACGGGAGCAUCAUGAAGCAUAUAACUAGCAAAUUUAAGCCUAACCCUCUUCCUAUGCUUAGGCCUUGUUCGGUUUGGCAGGGUUUGAAGAGGUUUGAAAGGGAUUGAAAGGGAUUAAAUCCCUUGCAAGUCAAAAUCCUUCUCAAACCUCCCCAAUCCCCUUCAAUCCCUAUGGCAAGAGGAUAAACCGAACAUGGCCUUAGGGAUUUUGUGAGCAAAUAACUUAUGGGAACAAUAAUCAACUAGCAUAGGAAGGCAAAACAAGCAUAACUUCAAAACUUUAAGCACCUCGAGAGGAAACUUGAUAUUAUUGCAAUUCCUACAAGCAUGUGUUCCUCCCUCAUAAUAAUUUUCAGUAGCAUCAUGAAUGAAUUCAACAAUAUAACCAGCACCUAAAGCAUUAUUUCCAUGAUCUACUUGCAUAAAAAAUUUACUACUCUCCACAUAAGCAAAAUUCUUCUCAUGAAUAGUAGUGGGAGCAAACUCAACAAAAUAAUUAUCAUGUGAGGCAUAAUCCAAUUGAAAACUAAAAUCAUGAUGACAAGUUUCACGGUUAUCAUUAUUCCUAAUAGCAUACAAGUCAUCACAAUAAUCAUCAUAGAUAGCAACUUUGUUCUCAUAAUCAAUUGGAACCUCUUCCGAAAUAAUGGAAUCAUCACUAAAUAAAGUUGACACUCUCCCAAAUCCACUUUCAUGUUCAUCACAAUAAGAUUCAACAUCCUCCAAAAUAGUGGGAUCACUACUUCCUAAAGUUGACACUCUUCCAAACCCACUUUCAUCAAUAUAAUUGAAAGUGCUAGUAUCGACUUGAGGGGGGGUGAAUAGGCGAUUUUUAUGUAAGUCUUCAAAACUUGGAAGUUUCGAAGACAAACAAUAGAAAUGACCUAGUUGAUAUGCAGCGGAAGAUAAACUACCAUAAGCAAACCAUAGUCAAGUAUGCAAUGAUGUGACAGUAUAGGACUAAUAGCAGCUAAGUAGUAAGGAUCAGGAUGGAAGAUAGUAUGACGCCAAUUAACAGUAGUAGUCAAGCAAUGAAGUCAAACAGAUACACAGAUAGGCAAUGACUUCACGAAGACAAACUUAAGUAAAGGAAGGAAGAGGAUAGAACCAGUCACUUGUUGAAGACACAGGAUUUGUUGGACCAGUUCCAGUUGCUGUGACAACUGUACGUCUGGUUAGGGAGGCUGAGAUUCAACUCAGAAGACCGUGCCUUCACCUUGUUCCCCUUGAGCUAAGGACACCUAGUCCUCGCCCAAUCACUCUGGUAAGUCUUCAAGGUAGACUUCCGAACCUUCACAGACUUCGUUCACCGGCAAUCCACAAUGACUCUUGGAUGCUCAGAACGCGACGCCUAACCGGCUGGAGGAUACACAGUCCUCAAGUGUAAUAAGUCUUCAGGUCACACAGACAGAAAGACUUCAGUGAUGCCUAACACUCUUUGGCUCUGGGUGUUUGGACUUGGUCCUCGCAAGGAUUUCUCUCUCUCAAAGGCUUCGAGGUGGGUUGCUCUCAAACGACAAAAGUUGUGCACUAACUCUGAGCAGCCACCAAUUUAUGGUGUAGGGGGUGGGCUAUUUAUAGCCACUGGGCAACCCGACCUGAUAUGUCCGAAAUGACCCUGGGUCACUAAGGAACUGACACAUGUUCCAACGGUCAGAUUUCAAACACACACGGCAACUUUACUUGGGCUACAAGCAAAGCUGACUUAUCCAGCUCAGGAUAAGAUUUGCUCUCAUUGUCUUCGCUCGAAGACAUAGGAUUUGGGUUGAGCAUCACUUCAGUCAUUCUGACUUAGUUCACUUGGACCCCACUUAACAGUACAGUGGUUCCUAUGACUCAACAAAGAAGAAAAGGAAAUAGCGAAACAACACAGUCUUCGCACUCCAUAGUCUUCACUCAAUGUCUUCUCAUGUCAUAGUCUUCAAUAUGAAUAUCUUCACAUACCACCAUUGUCUUCAAUGUCUUCAUACAUUUUUAGGGGUCAUCUCCGGUAGGUAAACCGAAUCAAUGAGGGACACUACAUGUGUUAUCCUACAAUUCUCACAAACGCAUUAGUCCCCCAACCAACUUUGUCGUCAAUACUCCAAAACCAACUAGGGGUGGCACUAGAUGCACUUACAAUAAUCAUCAUAAAUAGGAUGCAUGCUUUCAUCAUAAUAAAUUUGCUCAUCAAAACUUGGGGGACAAAAAAUAUCAUCUUCAUCAAACAUAUCAUCCCCAAGAUUGUGGCUUUGCAUAUCAUUAGCAUCAUGGGUAUUCAAGGAAUUCAUACUAAUUAACAACAUUGCAAUCAUGCUCAUCAUUCACAUAUUUCAUGCCAAGCAUUCUAUGUAAUUCUUCUUCUAGCAUAUGAGCACAAUUUUCCUUUUCAUCAUUCUCACAAAAAAUAUUAAAAAGAUGAAGCGUAUGAGACAAACUCAAUUCCAUUUUUUUUGUAGUUUUCUUUUAUAAACUAAACUGGUGAUAAAACAAGAAACAAAAAGAUUCGAUUGCAAGAUAUAAAGAUAUACCUUCAAGCACUCACCUCCCCGGCAACGGCGCCAGAAAAGAGCUUAGUUGACGGGGUGUGAGUGCCUCUUACCUAGCCUCCCCGGCAAUGGCGCCAGAAAAGAGCUUGAUGUCUACUACACAACCUUCUUCUUGUAGACGUUUUUGGGCCUCCAAGUGCAGAGGUUUGUAGGACAGCAGCAAAUUUCCCUCAAGUGGAUGACCUAAGGUUUAUCAAUCCGUAGGAGGCGUAGGAUGAAGAUGGUCUCUCUCAAGCAACCCUGCAACCAAAUAACAAAGAGUCUCUUGUGUUUCCAACACACCCAAUACAAUGGUAAAUUGUAUAGGUGCACUAGUUCGGCGAAGAGAUGGUGAUACAAGUGCAAUAUGGAUAGUAGAUAUAGGUUUUUGUAAUCUGAAAAUAUAAAAACAGCAAGGUAACUAAUGAUAAAAGUGAGCACAAACGGUAUUGCAAUGGUAGGAAACAAGGCAUAGGGUUCAUACUUUCACUAGUGCAAGUUCUCUCAACAAUAAUAACAUAACUAGACCAUAUAACUAUCCCUCAACAUGCAACAAAGAGUCACUCGAAAUCCACUAAUAGCAGAGAACAAACGAAGGGAUUAUGGUAGGGUACGAAACCACCUCAAAGUUAUCAUUUCUUCUCGAUCUAUUCAAGAGUUCAUAGUAAAAUAACACGAAGCUAUUCUUUCCGUUCAAUCUAUCAUAGAGUUCAUACUAGAAUAACACCUUAAGACACAAAUCAACCAAAACCCUAAUGUCACCUAGAUACUCCAUUGUCACCUCAAGUAUCUGUGGGCAUGCUUAUACGAUAUGCAUCACACAAUCUCAGAUUCAUCUAUUCAACCAACAUAAAGUAUAUCAAAGAGUGCCCCAAAGUUUCUACCGGAGAGUCAAGACGAAAACGUGUGCCAACCCCUAUGCAUAGGUUCAUGGGCGGAACCCGCAAGUUGAUCACCAAAACAUACAUCAAGUGGAUCACAUGAUAUCCCAUUGUCACCACAGAUAAGCACGACAAGACAUACAUCAAGUGUUCUCAAAUCCUUAAAGACUCAAUCCGAUAAGAUAACUUCAAAGGGAAAACUCAAUCCAUUACAAGAGAGUAGAGGGGGAGAAACAUCAUAAGAUCCAACUAUAAUAGCAAAGCUCGUGAUACAUCAAGAUCAUGCCAUAGAGAGAACACGAGAGAGAGAGAGAGAGAUCAAACACAUAGCUACUGGUACAUACCCUCAGCCCCGAGGGUGAACUACUCCCUCCUCGUCAUGGAUAGCGCCGGGAUGAUGAAGAUGGCCACCGGUGAGGGAUCCCCCCUCCGACAGGGAGCCAGAACGGGCUCCUGAGAGGUUUUUGGUGGCUAUAGAGGCUUGCGGCGGCGGAACUCCCAAUCUAUCUUGUUUUUCGAUGGUUUUAGGGUAUAUGGGAAUAUAUAGGUGAAAGAAGUCGGUCGGGGGAGCCUCGAGGGGCCCACGAGGGUGGAGGGCACGCCCAGGGGGUGGGCGCGCCCCUAUCUCGUGGCCUCCUCGACGCUUCCCUGGCUUGCACUCCAAGUUCCCGGUAUUGCGUUUGUUCCAAAAAUAACUUUUCCGAAGGUUUCAUUCCGUUUGGACUCCGUUUGAUAUUCCUUUUCUUCGAAACACUGAAAUAGGCAAUAAAACUGCAAUAUGGGCUUGGCCUACGGUUAAUAUGUUAGUCCCAAAAGUAAUAUAAAAGUGUAUAAUAAAGCCCGUAAUCAUUCAAAACUGAUAAUAAAAUAGCAUGAAUGCUUCAUAAAUUAUAGAUACGUUGGAGACAUAUCAAGUACCCGGACAAUCUGAGCACAUGCUCACUGGUUGAGCUAUUCUCCUCCAUCUUGUAGGCAAAGUACUAUCAGAGGUCUCAUACCUCUUGACAAGGGCAUGAGUAUGAAAUACCAAUUUCAACUCUUGGAACAUCUUAUAUGCUCGGUGGCGUUCAAAACAUUUUUGAAGUCCCGGUUUUAAGCCGUAAAGCAUGGUGCACUAAACUAUCAAGUAGUCAUCAUACCGAGCUUUUGUCAAAACAUUCAUAACGUCUGCAUCUACUCCUGCAAUAGGUUGGUCACCUAGUGGUGCAUCAAGGACAUAAUACUUCUGUGCGGCAAUGAGGAAAAUCCUUAGAUCAUGGACCAAGUCCGCAUCAUUGCUACUAUCAUCUUUCAACAUAGUUUUUCUCUAGGAACAUAUAAAAAUAAACGGGGAGCAACAUCACGAGCUAUUGAUCUACAACAUAGUUAUGCAAAUACUAUCAGGACUAAGUUCAUGAUAAAUUAAAGUUCAGUUAAUCAAAUUACUUAAGAACUCCCACUUAGAUAGACAUCCCUCUAGUCAUCUAAAUGAUCACGUGAUCUAAAUCAACUAAACCAUGUCCGAUCAUCACGUGAGAUGGAGUAGUAUUAAAUGGUGAACAUCACUAUGUUGAUCAUAUCUACUAUAUGAUUCACGUUCGACCUUUCGGUCUCCAGUGUUCCAAGGCCAUAUCUGCAUAUGCUAGAGGCUCGUCAAGUUUAACCCGAGUAUUCUGCGUGUGCAAAACUGGCUUCCACCCGUUGUAUGUGAACGUAGAGCUUAUCACACCCGAUCAUCACGUGGUGUCUCAGCACAAAGAACUGUCACAACGAUGCAUACUCAGGGAGAACACUUAUAGCUUGAAAUUUUAAUAAGGGAUCAUCUUAUAAAGCUACCUCCGAACUAAGCAAAAUAAGAUGUAUAAAAGAUAAACAUCACAUGCAAUCAAAAUAUAUGACAUGAUAUGGCCAUCAUCAUCUUGUGCCUUUAAUCUCCAUCUCCCAAGCAUCGUCAUGAUAUCCAUCGUCACCGGCAUGACACCAUGAUCUCCAUCAUCUUGAUCUAUAUCAAUGCUUCGUCACAUGGUCGUCUCACAAACUAUUGCUCUUGCAACUAUUGAUAUCGCAUAGCGAUAAAGUAAAGAAAUUAUUUGGCGCUUGCAUCUUAUGCAAUAAAGAGACAACCAUAAGGCUUCUACCAGUUGUCGAUAACUUCAACAAAACAUGAUCAUCUCAUACUCAACUUAUAUCUCAUCACGUCUUGACCAUAUCACAUCACAACAAGCCCUGCAAAAACAAGUUAGAUGUCCUCUACUUUGUUGUUGCAAGUUUUACAUUGCUGCUACGGGCUUAGCAAGAACCGUUCUUACCUGCGCAUCAAAAACCACAACGAUUUUCGUCAAGUAUGUGAUGUUUUCACCUUCAACAAGGAUCGGGCGUAGCCACACUCAAUCAACUAAAGUUGGAGAAACUAACACCCACCAGCCACCUGUGUGCGAAGCACGUCGGUAGAACCAGUCUUGCGUAAGCGUACGCGUAAUUCUAUCCGGGCCGCUUCAUCGAACAAUACCGCUGAAUCAAAGUAUGACAUGCUGGUAAGCAGUAUGACUAGUAUCGCCCACAACUCACUUGUGUUCUACUCGUGCAUAUAACAUCUACGCAUAAAUCUGGCUCGGAUGCCACUGUUGGGGAACGUAGUAAUUUCAAAAAAAUUCCUACGCACAUGCAAGAUCAUGGUGAUGCAUAGCAACGAGAGGGAAGAGUGUUGUCUAUGUACCAUCGUAGACCGUAAGCGGAAGCGUUAUGACAACGCAGUUGAUGUAGUUGUACGUCUUCACGAUCGACCCAUCCUAGUACCAAACGUACGGCACCUCCACGAUCUGCACACGUUCAGCUCGGUGAUGACCCACAAACUCACGAUCCAGUAGAUCUUCGAGGGAGAGCUUCGUCAGCACGACGGUGUGAUGACGGUGAUGAUGAAGCUACUGGUGCAGGGCUUCGCCUAAGCACUACGAUGAUAUGACCGAGGUGGAUUAUGGUGGAGGGGGGCACCGCACACGGCUAAAAGAUCAAUAAUCAAGUUGUGUCCAUGGGGUGCUCCCUCCCCCGUAUAUAAAGGAGUGGAGGAGGGGAGGGUGACGGUGUCCUGGACUAGGGGGUACUCACCACGUCGUCUCCCGAUCAGUUGGAUUGGGCCGAGGACCCCCAUGGCCAUAUACUCAUGGGCCAGUUCGGACAACCCCUGCCGCAUACAAGGAAGACUCCACAAGACUUGGUACCCAAGACAAGGAUUCUCCUAAACCCUAGGCCUCCAGUGUCUUAUAUAAACCGAGGCCAGGCUAGUCAAUAGACAAUCUCAUAUUCAUUACUACAAUCUCAUGUUAGACACAUGUACUCUCUACUACACCCAUAUGAAUACAAUCAAAAGCAGCAUGUAGGGUAUUAUCUCAUCAAGAGAGCCCGAAGCUGGGUAAAACCCCGUGUCCAUGUUACCAUCACUCCAAGACGCCUAGCUUAGGACCCCUACUACGAGAUACGCUGGAUAUUGAAUCGACAUUGGUGCUUUCAUUAAGAGCCUGCUAGGUGAUCACCGCGCAUCGAUGAAUUAGCAGGUGAUAUUUUUUCAGUUAAAUCCGUAUAGAAUAAGGCAAUUUCUUCUCGAAGUAUUACUACUGCCUUGUUGUAUUGUUUGCAGAUGUGUUUCGGUCUCGCGAGCAGCGGCGAUUUUUUCGCAUGACUCGGCCACAGUAGGAUGGCCGAGGUAUUCGCGAGGUGCGCGUGCGUAUGGCCGAACAUAUAGGAGCCGCCCUACACCUCUGCUACAUCGGAGACAUUAGGCCAAGGCAAACCCAUGCAUGCAAGCAUGGAUUGAAUAGUGAUUCAUCCGCACGCGGAUCAAGGGAACAAUUCUUUUUGUGGGCUUUGUCCUCCUCUGCACGUGAGCUAUCAGGAGAGUGCACCAAUUUGCUAACUAGAACUAUUAGUUAAUUGGAAUACAAGACGGUUACAAUGAAUUGUGUGCCUCGUCCCUUGCUAUACUAGUUACAUAAAGGCCAAACUAAUAUUUGUUUCUUCCUUUUUUUCAUCAAUUGUCACGGCAACCCCCCAUGGAGAUCAACCCGGCCAGCAGGAUCUGAGGUUGGCUGACAGGGUUCGGCUAGGCGGCGUUCCAGCUGAGGACGGGACAGAGCUUGCACCAGCGUGUGCGAACCGAGAUGUUGUAUUAAUCCCGUCGGUCGCUGACAACAUCAGGGAGAUUCACUUCCUUUUGUUUUUCAAUUCAGCUUCUAGUCGUUCUACUACCUUUUGGAGAAGUAUGUAAGUACUAACUACUCCUACUAAUGCAAUUGAUUUAGUCUUGCAGCACGAUCUCCUAAACCUAGUUGGUGGACACUAGUAAUCCAACCAGUAUUACUACUGCACGUUUGGUGAAUCUUCAUAUAAAGAUUGAAGCAGUCCGACUCUCGGUAUCCGUUCAGUAUGAAUCAGUUCUUCUUGCUUCCGUCUGCCGCGGUCAUCAUCGUCGAACAGUGUAUCCAGAUUUUUGUCCGCGGUCUCACAAACGUCGCAUCUACAACUGGAUCCGCCCUAUAAAAUGGAGGCUAUUAGUCCUUCGCCACCACCAAGCUCGGCCCCGGUAAUCAACUCGACCGCGUCACACAGUCAACUCUGUGGGCCGACAUCGUCGUCCUCUUGCGUCGAUCAAGUUGUGGCGUCGCCUCAGCGCGCGUCCCUGUGUCAACAUCUCCGCGGCAACUCUGUUGGGACGACCUUGGCGUUCAGGCCAUAUUUCUUUAAUUAUUUACUUUACUUAAAUUCAUUAAGUAGAGGAUUUUUUAUAUAUAAAAAUAUAUUGUUAUUACCUCUGGCUUGGACUAUUUUAUCUGUGCAGGCAAUUGACUUAGAUCGGGCCGCACUAUCCCCACGGCGUGGUAUCCUCGUCGCCGACCUCCAUCGACCGAAUUGUGUCAUCGCCUUGGAGCGAUGCCCUGUGUUGGCAACCCCGCAUUGUCGCUUCAUCAACCUACCCGGCAGGAGAUUCCAGUGUCACCCGGCGACCUGCUCCAUCACCUUGGCUAGACUGGGGGCUUCACCUCUUCGGAGUGCCGAGCUCUUCGCUCGGCCACAUCGGGCUUGGGGGCUGAGACCUUGUCCCGCACCAAGCUCGGACCGCGUCAUCAAUGCCUAACACAUUAACCAGCUAAGUCGCUUUGAUGCUCAAAAACUUCCAGUUUUAAAUUUUGUUCGGUUCGACCAAGCAUUAUACUUCUUUGGCAAAAAGUUGCUUGUGAAAAUCUUCCUUGUCAAAACUUUGUUUGUGACGCGCAAAUUCAAAUACCCAGUUUACUUGGGGGCUUCCUUUAUUAAGCCUUUCCUCUUGCAUAUGAUUAUACUUGUACGGAUUCGUUCCUUGUGUUGGGGAACAUAGCAGAAAUUCAAAAUUUUCCUACGUGUCACCAAGAUCUAUCUAUGGAGAGACCAGCAACGAGUAGAAGGAGAGUGCAUCUACAUACCCUUGUAGAUCGCUAAGCGGAAGCGUUCAAGUGAACGGGGUUGAUGGAGUCGUACUCGUCGUGAUUCAAAUCACCGAUGAUCAAGUGCCGAACGUACGGCACCUCCGCGUUCAACACACGUACAGCCCGGUGACGUCUCCCACGCCUUGAUCCAGCAAGGAGAGAGGGAGAGGUUGAGGAAGACUCCAUCCAACAGCAGCACAACGGCGUGGUGGUGAUGGAGGAGCGUGGCAAUCCCGCAGGGCUUCGCCAAGCACCAUGGGAGAGGAGGAGGAGGAGAGGCAGGGCUGCACCAACGAGAGGAGAAGUACUCAUGUCUAUGGCAGCCCCAAAACUCAUCUAUAUAUAGGGGGAAGGGGAGGGCUGCGCCCCCUUUAGGGUUUCCCACCCCAAGGGGCGGCGGCCAGCCUCCAGAUGGCAUCUGGUGCGGCGGCCAGAGGGGGAGAGAGGGGAGGCGCAGGGAGCAUGGGCCUUAGGGCCCAUCUGCCCUAGGGUUUGCCCCCUCCCACUCUCCCCUGCGCCUUGGGCCCCUUGUGGGGGGCGCACCAGCCCACCUGGGGCUGGUUCCCUCCCACACAUGGCCCAUGCAGCCCUCCGGGGUUGGUGGCCCCACUUGGUGGACCCCCGGGACCCUCCCGGUGGUCCCGGUACAAUACCGAUAAACCCCGAAACUCUUCCGGUGUCCAAAACAGGACUUCCCAUAUAUAAAUCUUUACCUCCGGACCAUUCCGGAACUCCUAGUGACGUCCGGGAUCUCAUCCGGGACUCUGAACAACAUUUGGUAACCACAUACAAGCUUCCUUUAUAACCCUAGCGUCAUCGAACCUUAAGUGUGUAGACCCUACGGGUUCGGGAGACAUGCAGACAUGACCGAGACGUUCUCCGGUCAAUAACCAACAGCGGGAUCUGGAUACCCAUGUUGGCUCCCACAUGUUCCACGAUGAUCUCAUUGGAUGAACCACGAUGUCAAGGACUUAAUCAAUCCCGUAUUCAAUUCCCUUUGUCUAGCGGUAUUUUACUUGCCCGAGAUUCGAUCAUCGGUAUACCGAUACCUUGUUCAAUCUCAUUACCGGCAAGUCACUUUACUCGUUCCAUAACACAUCAUCCCGUGAUCAACUCCUUGGUCACAUUGCGCAUAUGAUGAUGUCCUACCGAGUGGGCCCAGAGAUACCUCUCCGUUUACACGGAGUGACAAAUCCCAGUCUCGAUCCGCAUAAAACAAUAGAUACUUUCGGAGAUACCUGUAGUGCACCUUUAUAGUCACCCAGUUACGUUGUGACGUUUGAUACACCCAAAGCACUCCUACGGUAUCCAGGAGUUACACGAUCUCAUGGUCAAAGGAAGAGAUACUUGACAUUGGCAAAGCUCUAGCAAAUGAACUACACGAUCUUUUGUGCUAGUCUUAGGAUUCGGUCUUGUCCAUCACAUCAUUCUCCUAAUGAUGUGAUCCCGUUAUCAACGACAUCCAAUGUCCAUAUCCAGGAAACCAUGACUAUCUGUUGAUCACAACGAGCUAGUCAACUAGAGGCUCACUAGGGACAUAUUGUGGUCUAUGUAUUCACACGUGUAUUACGAUUUCCGGAUAAUACAGUUAUAGCAUGAAUAAAAGACAAUUAUCAUGAACAAGGAAAUAUAAUAAUAAAACUUUUACUAUUGCCUCUAGGGCAUAUUUCCAACAGUCUCCCACUUGCACUAGAGUCAAUAAUCUAGUUCACAUUGCCAUGUGAUUAACACUCAUAGGUCACAUCGCCAUGUGACUAAUACCCAAGAGUUUACUAGAGUCAAUAGUCUAGUUCACAUCACUAUGUGAUUAACACUCAAUGAGUUUUAUGUUUGAUCAUGUUGCUUGUGAGAGAGGUUUUAGUCAACGGGUCUGGACCUUUCAGAUCCGUGUGUGCUUUACAAAUCUCUAUGUCAUCUCCUAGAUGUAGCUACCACGCUCUAUUUGGAGCUAUUCCAAAUAACUGUUCUACUUGGAGCUAUUCUAAAAUGUUGCUCCAUUAUAUGUAUCCGGUAUCUCUACUCAGAGCUAUCCGGAUAGGUGUUAAGCUUGCAUCGACGUAACCUUUACGAUGAACUCUUUUACCACCUCCAUAAUCGAGAAAAUUCCUUAGUCCACUAGUUACUAAGGAUAACUAUGACCGCUGUACUAUGAUCCAUUCAUGGAUCACUCUUGUACCCCUUGACUGACUCAUGGCAAGGCACACUUUAGGUGCGGUACACAGCAUAGCAUACUGUAGAGCCUAUGUCUUAAGCAUAGGAGACGACCUUCGUCCUUUCUCUCUAUUCUGCCGUGAUUGAGCUUUAAGUCUUAACUUCAUACCUUACAUCUCAGGCAAGAACUCCCUCUUUGACUGAUCCAUCUUGAACACCUUCAAGAUCAUGUCAAGGUAUGUGCUCAUUUGAAAGUAUUAUUAAGCAUUUUGAUCUAUCCUUAUAGAUCUUGAUGCUCAAUGUUCAAGUAGCUUAAUCCAGGUUUUCCAUUGAAAAACACUUUCAAAAUAACCCUAUAUGCUUUCCAGAAAUUCUACGUCAUUUCUGAUCAACAAUAUGUCAACAACAUAUACUCAUCAGAAAUUCUAUAGUGCUCCCACUCACUUCUUUGGAAAUACAAGUUUCUCAUAAACUUUGUACAAACCCAAACUCUUUGAUCAUCAUCAAAGCAUACAUUCCAACUUCGAGAUGCUCACUCCAGUCCUUAGAAGGAUCGCUGGAGCUAGCAUACCUUUUAGCAUCCUUAGGAUCGACAAAACUUUUCUGAUUGUAUUGCAUACAACAUUUCCUUACGAAAACUAGUAAGGAAACUUGUCUUGACAUCCAUCUGCCAGAUUUCAUAAAUGCAGCUAAUGCUAACAUGAUUCCGACGGACUUUAAGCAUCGCUACGAGUGAGAAAAUCUCAUCGUAGUCAACUCCUUGAACUUGUCGGAAAACACUUCGCCACAAGUCGAGCUUCAUUGAUGGUGACAUUACCAUCCACGUCCGUCUUCUUCUUAAAAGAUCCAUUUAUCUCAAUGGAUUGCCGAUCAUCGGGCAAGUCCAUCAAAGUCCAUGCUUUGUUCUGAUAUAUGGAUACUAUCUCGGAUUUCAUGGCUUCUAACCAUUUGUCGGAAUUCGGGCCCACCAUCGCUUCUCCAUAGCUCGCAGGUUCAUUGUUGUCUAGCAACAUGACCUUCAAGACAGGAUCACCUUACCACUCCGAAGUAGUACGUGUCCUUGUCGUCCUACGAGGUUCGGUAGUGACUUGAUCCAAAACUUCAUGAUCACUAUCAUAAGUUUUCCACUUCAAUUGGUGUAGGUGCCACAGGAACAACUUCCUAUGCCCUGCUACACACUAGUUGAAGUGACAGUUCAAUAACCUCAUCAAGUCUCCACCAUCCUCCCACUCAACUCUUUCGAGAGAAACCUUUCCUCGAGAAAGGACCCGAUUCAAGAAACAAUCCAUAUUGCUUUCGGAUCUGAAUUAGGAGGUAUACCCAACUGUUUUGGGUGUCCUAUGAAGAUGCAUUUUAUCCGCUUUGGGUUCGAGCUUAAUCCUGAAACUUUUUCACAUAAGCGUCGCAGCCCCAAACCUUUAAGAAACGACAACUUAGGUUUCUCUAAACCAUAAUUCAUACGGUGUCAUCUCAACGGAAUUACGUGGUGCCCUAUUUAAAGUGAAUGUGGUUGUCUCUAAUGCCUAACCCAUGAACAAUAGUGGUAAUUCGAUAAGAGACAUCAUGGUACGCACCAUAUCCAAUAGGGUGCAACUAUGAUGUUCAGACACACCAUCACACUAUGGUGUUCUAGGCGGUAUUAAUUGCGAAACAAUUUCCACAAUGUCUUAAUUGUGUGCCAAAACUCGUAACUCAGAUAUUCAUCUCUAUGAUCAUAUCAUAGACAUUUUAUCCUCUUGUCACAAUGAUCUUCUACUUCACUCUGAAAUUACUUGAACCAUUCAAUAAUUCAGACUUGUGUUUCAUCAAGUAAAUAUUCUCAACAUCUACUCGAAUCAUCUGUGAAGUAAGAUCAUAACGAUAUUCAUUGCAUGCCUCAGCACUCAUUGGAUUGGACACAUCAAAAUGUGUUACUUCCAACAAGUUGCUAUCUUGUUCCAUCUUACUGAAAACGAGGCUUUUCAGUCAUCUUGCCCAUGUGGUAUGAUUUGCAUAUCUCAAGUGAUUCAAAAUCAAGUGAGUCCAAACAAUCCAUCUGCAUGGAGUUUCUUCAUGCAUAUACUCCAAUAGACAUGGUUCGCAUGUCUCACACUUUUCAAAAACGAGUGAGUCCAAAGAUCCAUCAACAUGGAGCUUCUUCAUGCGUUUUAUACCAAUAUGACUUACAUGGCAGUGCCACAAGUAAGUGGUACUAUCAUUACUAUCUUAUAUCUUUUGGCAUGAAAAUGUGUAUCACUACGAUCGAGAUUCAAUGAACCAUUCAUUUUAGGUGUAAGACCAUUGAAGGUAUUAUUCAAAUAAACAGAGUAACCAUUAUUCUCCUUAAAUGAAUAACUGUAUUGCGAUAGACAUAAUCCAAUCAUGUCUAUGCUCAACGCAAACACCAAUCUCGAUGGUAGAGGGAGCGUGUGAUGCUUGAUCAUAUCAACAUUGGAAACACUUCCAACACAUAUCGUCAUCUCACCUUUAGCUAGUCUCCGUUUAUUCCGUAGCUUUUAUUUCGAGUUACUAACACUUAGCAACCGAACCGGUAUCUAAUACCCUGGUGCUACUAGGAGUACUAGUAAAGUACACAUUAACAUAAUGUAUAUCCAAUAUACUUCUAUCGACCUUGCCAGCCUUCUCAUCUACCAAGUAUCUAGGGUAAUUCUGCUCUAGUGACUAUUCCCCUUAUCACAGAAGCACUUAGUCUCGGGUUUGGGUUCAACCUUGGGUUUCUUCACUAGAGCAGCAGCUGAUUUGCCGUUUCAUGAAGUAUCCCUUCUUGCCCUUGCCCUUCUUGAAACUAGUGGUUUCACCAACCAUCAACAAUUGAUGCUCCUUCUUGAUUUCUACUUUCGCGGUGUCAAACAUCGUGAGUACCUCAAGGAUCACCAUAUCUAUCCCUGAUAUAUUAUAGUUCAUCACGAAGCUCUAGCAGCUUGGUGGCAAUGUCUUUGGAGAAACAUCACUAUCUCAUCUGGAAGAUCAACUCCCACUCGAUUCAAGUGAUUGUUGCACUCAGACAAUCUGAGCACAAGCUCAACGAUUGAGCUUUUCUCCCUUAGUUUGCAGGCUAAGAAAAUCGUCGGAGGUCUUAUACCUCUUGACGUGGGCACGAGGCUGAAAUCCCAAUUUCAGCCCUCGAAACAUCUCAUAUGUUCCGCGAUGUUUUGAAAAACAUCUUUGGUGCCUCUACUUAAGCCAUUUAAGUGAACUAUCACGUAGUUAUCAAAACGUGUAUGUCCGAUGUUCGCAACAUCCACAAAUGACGUUUGGGGUUCAGCACACUGAGCAGUGCAUUAAGGACAUAAGCUUUCUACUGUCUGCAUAAUUGCUACUAUCAACUUUCAAACUAUAUUUUCUCUAGGAACAUAUCUAAAACAGUAGAACUAAAGCGCGAGCUACGACAUAAUUUGCAAAAGGUCUUUUGACUAUGUUUAGGAUAAUUAAGUUCAUCUUAUGAACUCCCACUCAGAUAGACAUCCCUCUGGUCAUCUAAGUGAUUACAUGAUCCGAGUCAACUAGGCCGUGUCCGAUCAUCACGUGAGACGGACUAGUCAUCAUCGGUGAACAUCUUCAUGUUGAUCGUAUCUACUAUACGACUCAUGCUCGACCUUUCAGUCUCCGUGUUCCGAGGCCAUGUCUGUACAUGCUAGGCUCGUCAAGUUAACCCUAAGUGUUUUUGCUGUGUAAAACUGUCUUACACCCGUUGUAUGUGAACGUAAGAAUCCAUCACACCCGAUCAUCACGUGGUGCUUAGAAGCGACGAACUGUAGCAACGGUGCACAGUUAGGGGAGAACACUUCUUGAAAUUGUUGUAAGGGAUCAUCUUAUUUACUACCGUCGUUCUAAGCAAACAAGAUGCAUAAUCAUAAUAAACAUCACAUGCAAUUAUAUAGUUGUGACAUGAUAUGGCCAAUAUCAUAUAGCUCCAUUGAUCUUCAUCUUCGGGGCUCCAUGAUCAUCUUGUCACCGGCUUGACACCAUGAUCUCCAUCAUCAUGAUCUCCAUCAUCGUGUCUUCAUGAAGUUGUCACGCCAACGACUACUUCUACUUCUAUGGCUAACGCGUUUAGCAAUAAAGUAAAGUAGUUUACACGGCGUUCUUCAAUGACACGCAGGUCAUACAAUAAAUAAAGACAACUCCUAUGGCUCCUGCCGGUUGUCAUACUCAUCGACAUGCAAGUCGUGAAUCCUAUUACAAGAACAUGAUCAAUCUCAUACAUCACAUAUAUCAUUCAUCACAUCCUUUUGGCCAUAUCACAUCACAUAGCAUACCCUGCAAAAACAAGUUAGACGUCCUCUAAUUGUUGUUUGCAUGUUUUACGUGGCUGCUAUGGGUUUCUAGCAAGAACGUUUCUUACCUACGCAAGACCACAACGUGAUAUGCCAAUUGCUAUUUACCCUUCAUAAGGACCCUUUUCAUCGAAUCCGUUCCGACUAAAGUGGGAGAGACUGGCACCCGCUAGCCACCUUAUGCACCAAGUGCAUGUCAAUCGGUGGAACCUGUCUCACGUAAGAGUACGUGUAAGGUCGGUCCGGGCCACUUCAUCCCACAAUACCGUCGAAACAAGAUUGGACUAGUAACGGUAAGCAUAUUGAACGACAUCAACACCCACAACUACUUUGUGUUCUACUCGUGCAAAGAAUCUACGCAAUAGACCUAGCUCAUGAUGCCACUGUUGGGGAACGUAGCAGAAAUUCAAAAUUUUCCUACGUGUCACCAAGAUCUAUCUAUGGAGAGACCAGCAACGAGUAGAAGGAGAGUGCAUCUACAUACCCUUGUAGAUCGCUAAGCGGAAGCGUUCAAGUGAACGGGGUUGAUGGAGUCGUACUCGUCGUGAUUCAAAUCACCGAUGAUCAAGUGCCGAACGUACGGCACCUCCGCGUUCAACACACGUACAGCCCGGUGACGUCUCCCACGCCUUGAUCCAGCAAGGAGAGAGGGAGAGGUUGAGGAAGACUCCAUCCAACAGCAACACAACGGCGUGGUGGUGAUGGAGGAGCGUGGCAAUCCCGCAGGGCUUCGCCAAGCACCAUGGGAGAGGAGGAGGAGGAGAGGCAGGGCUGCACCAACGAGAGGAGAAGUACUCAUGUCUAUGGCAGCCCCAAAACUCAUCUAUAUAUAGGGGGAAGGGGAGGGCUGCGCCCCCUUUAGGGUUUCCCACCCCAAGGGGCGGCGGCCAGCCUCCAGAUGGCAUCUGGUGCGGCGGCCAGAGGGGGAGAGAGGGGAGGCGCAGGGAGCAUGGGCCUUAGGGCCCAUCUGCCCUAGGGUUUGCCCCCUCCCACUCUCCCCUGCGCCUUGGGCCCCUUGUGGGGGGCGCACCAGCCCACCUGGGGCUGGUUCCCUCCCACACAUGGCCCAUGCAGCCCUCCGGGGUUGGUGGCCCCACUUGGUGGACCCCCGGAACCCUCCCGGUGGUCCCGGUACAAUACCGAUAAACCCCGAAACUCUUCCGGUGUCCAAAACAGGACUUCCCAUAUAUAAAUCUUUACCUCCGGACCAUUCCGGAACUCCUCGUGACGUCCGGGAUCUCAUCCGGGACUCCGAACAACAUUCGGUAACCACAUACAAGCUUCCUUUAUAACCCUAGCGUCAUCGAACCUUAAGUGUGUAGACCCUACGGGUUCGGGAGACAUGCAGACAUGACCGAGACGUUCUCCGGUCAAUAACCAACAGCGGGAUCUGGAUACCCAUGUUGGCUCCCACAUGUUCCACGAUGAUCUCAUUGGAUGAACCACGAUGUCAAGGACUUAAUCAAUCCCGUAUUCAAUUCCCUUUGUCUAGCGGUAUUUUACUUGCCCGAGAUUCGAUCAUCGGUAUACCGAUACCUUGUUCAAUCUCGUUACCGGCAAGUCACUUUACUCGUUCCAUAACACAUCAUCCCGUGAUCAACUCCUUGGUCACAUUGCGCAUAUGAUGAUGUCCUACCGAGUGGGCCCAGAGAUACCUCUCCGUUUACACGGAGUGACAAAUCCCAGUCUCGAUCCACAUAAAACAAUAGAUACUUUCGGAGAUACCUGUAGUGCACCUUUAUAGUCACCCAGUUACGUUGUGACGUUUGAUACACCCAAAGCACUCCUACGGUAUCCAGGAGUUACACGAUCUCAUGGUCAAAGGAAGAGAUACUUGACAUUGGCAAAGCUCUAGCAAAUGAACUACACGAUCUUUUGUGCUAGUCUUAGGAUUGGGUCUUGUCCAUCACAUCAUUCUCCUAAUGAUGUGAUCCCGUUAUCAACGACAUCCAAUGUCCAUAGCCAGGAAACCAUGACUAUCUAUUGAUCACGACGAGCUAGUCAACUAGAGGCUCACUAGGGACAUAUUGUGGUCUAUGUAUUCACACGUGUAUUACGAUUUCCGGAUAAUACAGUUAUAGCAUGAAUAAAAGACAAUUAUCAUGAACAAGGAAAUAUAAUAAUAAAACUUUUAUUAUUGCCUCUAGGGCAUAUUUCCAACACCUUGUUCGUGUAUUACGCCACAAUAUGCACCAUGUUGACUUAAGCGAUUUGCAAGCUGGGUUGCCUUGCUCAUGUGUUUACCCCUACGUUCCUGAUUGUUCGGCUAGGAAGUAAAGGGAGCACCUCUGCGAUUGUCACGAUCGGGUCAUCCGAGCUCGGACCUCAGGCUGGUGAAGCCAAAAGCUAGCGCUCUUAUUGUUUUCAACGAUGGUCGGCACACAAUAGAACUCAUGAGUACAAAAAAUCUAUUGCACAAGUCUCAUAAGUAACAAUGAUCAACCGAAGAAAGGUAUCGGUGGAGGUACUAUUUUCUUCGAAGAUGCUUCUUACACUUUGUCAGUAAUAUAGCAUAAGUUCCCUGGGCGUGCUUUGUCUGUUACAGCCUUAUGGCCUGAUUGCCUGGUUAUCGGAAACAUCGUCGAUAUUCUCGACAGGUGGAGUACAUAAUACUUUUCGGCCCUUUGCCGAAGAGGGAGAAGCCGACGGUCGGUUAAGACGUGUUUAAAGUUCGGGUGAACACAUAUAUGAUAUAAGUACUUCGGUACAUACAAUCAUUAUACAUAAAAUUCUUUUACCCGAGUCAUUCAGGGGCUCUUAAAUUUAUGUGAGCUAUUUUAUAAUAAGUGUUCUUCUUCUUAGCCGUUGCAAAGUCUUUUUUCUAUCACUCCUUUUUUCGACGCGAGUGUGUGGUCAAUAGCCGGGGAGCCUAAUUUCUCUCUCAAAGCCGCUAAAGUUUGCUAAACUGGCCUAACGAGAAGUACUCCGCCUUCGGGAUAGGAGGUUGAAGCCGUAGGCUGACCCGCUUGAAGUCUUGAGAUAGGAUAUGUCAUGUUAAAGCAUGACAGAAGCACAAUUUUUUUUUCUAAAACCAAUUUUCUGAUUGGCACCGAACAAUUGAUCUAGUUCGGACGUCGAGUUUUUCCUAACAUUUUUGGUUUUCCAAUCCUAUGGCACUUUUCAACUAUUUGUGUGUUUUCCGCAUAAGUCUCGCAGUGCAACGCCGGACGCCUUUAGGGAUUCGGCAAAAAUUCUUGGAUAUUGCUAUAUAUGCAUCAGUUUCAAAUUGUGUCUUCGGUCAAUAGUUGGGUUGCCCGGCUCCUGUGCUUGCCUCCUAUGUUCCGCUUUGUUCGUCUAGGUGUGCAAAGGGAGAACCACUACGAUUGUGCUUCCAGCUCGCAUGGUUAAGCACCGCAGUGGACAAAGCCGAAAACUGACUGUCACAAUAAGCGUAAACUGGUCAGCGGUCCGAUGACUGUAUUAAAUGAUGGGCCAUUCAUAGCAUUGGCUGAAGUGUUUACGGCUUGACUUCGGCUGUUGCCGAACACUUACCGGGGGGCUACUUGCUGGCCUCCCAACUUUAAGCUCCUAUGACUAAGUGAAAGAUAUAAAGCCCGCAUAUCUGGUUGCCUCGUUUCCGCCAACAUAACCGCCUUCGGGCACCGAGACGUCGGCUAAGGGUUGUUUUGUUAUUUCGGAAACACCCUGUGUAGCAUCUACAAUGGGGUAGAAUCCGGCGAUGGGCCACUUUUAGAUUAUAAACGGUCGCAACGGAAGUAAAAAUUUGGGUUCAUUUAGACCACAGAGUUUGGAAGCUUUCCCCGAACUAAAUCCUCAGUAUUUUCCUCCCACAUUGGUCGGAGCUGAGGUUUCAUGAUCAUGCUUAGCAUGACAACCCAAAGAAAGGAACCGAUAGCGGGACUAUUUUCUUUGGACGAUGUUUCUUAUGUUAAACAAUAAUAUAACAUGUCUCUCUGUGUACCUUUGUUUAUAAAACCGUAUGGCCAGAUUGCUUUGUUUGCCGUAAAUCUUUGCCCUCAUAAAGGCUUUAUAAAGUGGGACAAACACUCACUGGCUACUGGCCGAGGAGGUUGAAGCCGAUGGUUGGUCAACAAAGUUUUGUACAAUGCGGAUUCGAGUAUUAAUGAUGUAGAGUACUUGGAUACAUAGAAUCAUUACACAUAAUUUGUGAUUUUACUUCGGACAUCGAUCCUUCAUUCGGCCACCCGUGCCCACAUUAAGGCUCGGGGCUACUGGGCUUCGUGCUUAUCAUUUACAAAUAUUAAAAGGGCACAUCGAUCCCCUGAUCUGGUGUUGCCACCCGACCAGUGUCUCGGGAGCUACUACACUGACAAUCCAAUGCAGAAAAUUUAAAGCGGAAUAUAGUUUUCAAGGAGAUUAUUAUCCUUAGGUUGGUCGGCCGCACCUAACCUGAGUCUCGUGGACUUUGCACACCGCAUUUCUAUUCCUAAGUAUGCUGCCGAGCUGGGAAUUGAUCCUCAGGCUGAUUUUAUGAAUCGACCUGAGUCUCAGGGGCUACUAGGGUCAGCGGUUUGAUUUUUUUCCUUCAGAUGCAUCCCGGAUAUUAGGCCAACACGCACCUUGAGGGCUACUGGCUAUACAUCUCGGCAGAGAUUACAUUGCAUAAUUCAGAAUUAAAUUCAUAACAAUCAGCCCAUGGCCGAGGUGGUGCACCACCUCGGAUACAGUCCGGCAUUGGUGCUCGACUACAAUAGACACCCCGGAAGCAGUCCGGCAUAAAGCUCGGACGCUAGUGGCUGGCUCCAUAGAGGGCAUUUACGGCAUUAAGCUCGGCUAAAGUCCUUCAAGUUUUUUGAACCAAGGUGAUCUAUGACACCUCAAAUAUAGUCUGGCGUUGGAGCUUGGACAUAGUCCGGCAUUGGAGCUUGGACAUAGUCCGACGUUGGAGCUCGGAUACAGUCUAGCAUUGGAGCUUGGACAUAGUCCCGCGUUCGAGCUUAGACAUAGUCCGGCGUUGGAGCUUGGACAUAGUCCAGCGUUGGAGCUUGGAUACAUUCCGGCGUUGGAGCUCGGAAGCGGUCCAGCGUUGGUGCUCGGCUGCUAAAGAUACCUCGAAUGCAGUCUGGCCUUGGAGCUCGGACGCAAGAGGACGUUACCGCUCAGGAACAACUUCAAACCCGAGGUAUGACAUUAAACUAACAAGGCAUUGAUAAAGGCCGGAAACUUAAAGGGGCUCCUUGGAUACCCGACGUGUAAACUCUUCGGAGUCACCUCGGCGAUCCUCAAGAUCAAAGACGAGAAGAUUUGUUGAACCAGUUUUCAAGACCAACAACCGAAGGUGAAGAACAGUUUAGAAGAAUCGAGGAGCGUCCCCAACUUGAAGACCGGUUCAGGGGGCUACUGGCGGUGUCCUGGACUAGGGGUACUCACCACGUUGUCUCCCGAUCAGUUGGAUUGGGCCGAGGACCCCCAUGACCGUAUACUCAUGGGACAGUUCGGACAACCCCUGCCGCAUACAAGGAAGACUCCACAAGACUUGGCGCCGACAAGGACUCUCAUAAACCCUAGGCCUCCGGUGUCUUAUAUAAACCGAGGCCAUGCUAGUCAAUAGACAAUCUCAUAUUCAUUAGUACAAUCUCGUGGUAGACACAUGUACUUUGUACUACACCCAUAUGAAUACAAUCAAAAGCAGCAUGUAGGGUAUUAUCUCAUCAAGAGAGCCCGAAGCUGGGUAAAACCCUGAUCCAUGUUACCAUCGCUCCAAGACGCCUAGCUUAGGACCCCUACUAUGAGAUACGCCAGAUAUUGAACCGAUAGAGGGGCCGGCCCUCUCUAUGGCACGCCCUAGGGCGGUGGGAGUAGGAUUCCCCCCUUUCCCUAGUAGGAGUAGGAGAGGAAGGGAAGGAGGACUAGGAGAGAAGGAAAGCCCCCCUGUCGGUGUCAAAACCGACGGAUCUCGGGUAGGGGGUCCCGAUCUGUGCGUCUUAGGCUGAUGGUCAUAGGAAGCGAGGGACACAAUGUUUACCCAGGUUCGGGCCCUCUCGAUGGAGGUAAAACCCUACUUCCUGCUUGAUUAAUAUUGAAGAUAUGAGUAGUACAAGAGUAGAUCUACCACGAGAUCAUAGAGGCUAAACCCUAAGAGCUAGCCUAUGAUGGUAUGAUUGUAAUUGUGAUCGGCCUUCUAAGGACCAACCUCUCCGGUUUAUAUAGACACCGGAGAGGGCUAGGGUUUACAUGGAGUCGGUUACAAGGAAGGAAACACAAUAUCCGGAUCGCCAAGCUUGCCUUCCACGCAAAGGAGAGUCCCAUCCGGACACGGGCCAAAGUCUUGAGUCUUGUAUCUUCACGCUUCAAUAGUCCGGAUGAUGUAUAUAGUCCGGCUGUCCGGAUACCCCCUAAUCCAGGACUCCCUCAGUAGCCCCUGAACCAGGCUUUAAUGAUGAUGAGUCCGGUGCGCAGUCUUGUCUUCGGCAUUGCAAGGCGGGUUACUUCUUCGAAUACUCCAAUGUACCUACUAUGACGAAUAGUGUCCGGUUUCCCAUCAAUGUCGCACUCCUCAGCUUCAGUGCCUCAAUAAUGACCAUCUCCACGUGUCAAGCGAAUGCAAGGAGACGAGGCAUUUUUGCAUUUGCCACCUGCGAUCCUUCCAGCGGGCCGUCUAUUUGAAGAGACGGGAAUUCUCAGAUCCAAACCUCACUCUCCCCCCUCGAGCAAGCAUCCCACAGAGCACUCCGGAAAAAACCAUUCCAACAUGGUCGGUCAUCGCAGCUCUUCUGCUCGCUCUCCUCGCUGCAAGUCGGGGGAUUGGGAAGAGUGUUCAGUUCCUCAUAGCCGUUUGAUAAAGUUACAAACCCAAGGGUUUCUCCCACCGGCAUUUAUGGUCCCCGUUCGAGCCGGAAUAGCCACCUAUAAUGGAGGGGAACAAGCGGAGGGAUCUCCUAAUCCAUCUCCAGAGGAGCGAAUAUGCUUUAUCCCGCAUCUGCUAAGGGGCGUCGGGUUUCCCAUCCACCCGUUUCUUCGCGGGCUCCUGGAGUUCUACGGUCUCCAGUUGCACAACCUUACCCCUGCCUCCGUACUACAUAUAGCAGGGUACGUUGCCCUUUGCGAGCUGUUUUUAGGCUGCAAACUCACUUCGGGUUAUGGAAGAACCUGUUUUGCCUUGUCCCCCGCACCCAGGGAGAAUCCCUAAGUCAAGUGGGCGGGGCCGAAGUAUGGCGCAUUGCCGAGACCGGAUACCUAUCGACACUCCCAAGAAGGCACCAGAGAACUGGCCUUCAGAGUGGUUUUACAUUGAUGACGUUCCCCUUCCGGAUCCAGUCCGGACAGGUCUCCCCAAGUUCAGUAAUGCCCCGUCGACGGCACGUCUAAGAUGGCGCCCCCGGGGCCCCCAAGAGGAGGAUACCAGGGAAAUACAUUUCCUGAUGAGCAGGAUAAAGUUACUGGCCAAAUCCGGACUGACGAUAGUCGAGGUCAUGGCAAUAUGCAUAAUGCGGGGAGUGCAACCGCUUCAAUAUCGGGGGAAGCCCAUGUGGCACUUCAACGGGGAAGACGACGCCACCCGCUGUGGCCAUAAUGGUCCGAACUCCACCACUGCUCUGGCAAGGAUAUUGUCCGAUUUAUACAAAGGGGAAGAGGAAGAAUUCCUUCGCAUUAAACCGCGGGAUGGAUUCUCCAUGUACAACCCGCCCAGAGUGGGUAAGUCAUCAUUCCUUUCCCUGCUUCACUUACUUUAGCAUUCUCUGCUAAGAUUACUCGCAUUGAUGUUUCCGAGCAGGAACCGAGGAGGGCCGUAGAAGGAAUCUUCAUCCCCUCCCCGCAGCCAGAGGACGCCGGAAGGCCCCUAGAUCCAGGACUUGAAGAAGAUCCGGAUGUUACUGUGGAGCUUGUCAACGGGGUGUUUGAUCAAGCGAGCUGUGAUGGUGCCUCAGUGACCAUUAUUAUCGAUCAUCCCGGACUGCUCCCUGUGUCACGUGUAAGCCAAACUAAAAACCCUAUCCUCCGAAGAGGACUCCCCUCAGGUAUCAUGCCUUACCCUUGAGGCGACGUGCUGUUUGCAGAGAUGACGGUCGGAGCGCGGGGCCAAGCCCCUAGGGACUCGUCGAACACGAGUGUCCGGAUCGGGCAGGCUCAAGAGGAAGGUGGUGAGUGUCGACACACCGCUGCAGAGGUAAAGCAAAAACCUGUCCUGCGAUUAUGGUAUUUGAAGUAUAACUGCGCCCUUCGUGUCCUGGCAGGAAAAGGAGCAGCCGGACUAUAUCCGGGGAUCCCGCCAAUCACGCCUCCACCAGCCGGGUUCCAGAACCGGUUUCGACAGCGGAGGCGGACACGGGGCCAGUGCCGCAUAGUUCUCCGACAGAGGACGCGGAUAUACUAUCGGCCACGAACUCCGAAGUAGAGAGCGCCAUGAAUCACCGGCGCCGGAGGGUCGUGCUUCGGAACAACAUCUUCUCCGAAGAGGCUUUUAAUGCCUUAAAUUUGGGGGAUGCAUACAUCCGAGCAGCUCAAGGCGGGCUUGCCCGAGCGACGGACCAGUAUACCAAAGAUAUACGAGUAAGAAAUUUUGAUAAGCAUGUAUAACAGUAGCCCCUGAGACUUGAGACGGUUGGAACAACUAUUUUAUGGAUUAAUUUAUGCACAGAUCCUUGUAGAUAAGAAUUAACAAUUAGCUCGGGAGCUGGACGAAUGCAAGGCCCAGCUGAGGGACACGGUUGCCAAGUUAGAGGAAUCCUAGAAGGCCUCAUCUGGUAACAUUUGUCUCAAUUGUACGAAGAUGCACCAGUUAGUAAACGACUGGUAUGACUAGUCUAACAGAAAAUUCUGCAGACAAUCCCGGGGAGAAUCCGGAGGGCGUAACGGAUGACAACUCGCAUAUCAAAAGGCAGCUAAAGGCUGGCGAACGCAUCCUUACGCAACUUAGGCAAGAGAAGAACAAUCUUCAGGAUGCCAAUAUUCGGCUGGACGUGGAAUUAAAAGACGUCCGCGCUCAACUGGCGGACUCCGUGAAGGAGAACAAAAGGCUUCGAUGCGGUAUUUACGGUGAGUGCCCAGACGAACUAUAUUAUAGUUCGGCGAGGAAGUGUAUUGAAAGAAUUUUGCUUGUAGGAAUGUUAACGGGUCGCCCCGAGGAGGAGAUGCCCUCAUCUGUGGGCGAUGUACUACAAGAACUUUCACAGUUGCACGAGCGAGCUCGGCGGGUGAUGCACGACGUUGCUCAGGCCUUGUGGCCAUGAAGCUUCCUGCCGAAUGGCAUGUGGAGCUUGUGGAUCUGCUUCAAGGAGCCCGGCGGCGCUUCUGAUUGUGGAAGAUAUCAGCUUGCUGGCAAGGUGCAAGAGAAGCAUGGGCAAUGGUGAAGACGCGCUACACCAAGCUGGACCCGAACCAUAUGGCCGAAGUAGGAUCGGCGGGGCCAAAUGGGCAAGAAAUUCCCGUUAGUCUGGUAUAUGACCAGGUAGCGUUAGCCGCCAAGUAUUCUCAAUAGGAUUGUAAGCUAGAUAGCCUGUUGGAUGGUAUAGAGGAGGAGUACAGUUAGUCUAAGUGACUGUGUAAUUCAAUGGACAUAAGUAGUCCCUAGCCGGAUUAAAAUCAUUUGUCAUGGCGGACCUUUUCGCUUUAGCCCCCGGAUCCUACAGUCUGGGGUGUGUCCGAAUACCCGCUCAGUUAUACAAAACCGGGGUAUGCAUGGAAACUAGGCGUAGGGGUCAUAAGUGCUUGAAUAGACAAGUACCCAACUAGUUAUGUUAUAUUACAUGGAUAGUAAGAAACAUCUUCCAGGGAGAAUAGUUCCGUUAGGGGUUCCUUUCCCUGGGUACGCAUGCGACGAUGCACAUGUCCGGACUGCGAAUGAUGGCGCAGGAUAUAAGACUUCUGGGGAUUUACGUUGUAAUAAAUGAAUACAUCUUUUGUUCACCGAUCGAAUAUUCUCUUAAGGAAACUAGCUUUCGGCUUCACCCAGUCUGAGGUACACAUCCAGCUGAACCGGCAGUAACAAUCGCAGAGGUGCUCCCCUUAUGCCCUAGCCGAAUUAACGGGAACGUAGGGCAUAAACACAAGAGCCAGGCAACCCAGCUUGGCCACAUCUUAAGUCAUAUCAAUGCAUAUAAUGGUGAAGAAAAGGCACAUAUGGAAAAAGAAAUGCAUAUGUGAUAGGCGAAAAGCCAUUAGAGUAUUUAUUUUUAGCUUCCGUAUACGAAGCCCCCAGGUAUUGCUUACACACAUAGUGCGGCCGGAGUGAUCCGGAAGUCCGUACUAUAUUAAAUAUUUUGUGUGGAGAGGAAGAAAAAGUCGAGAAAGGAGAAGGGAUGGAGCAUAAAUAAAAGGGAGGGAGUAAGGAGACGAACAUUGAGUUCGGCGUUAGGCAUAGAAUCUCCGGAGUCUGGCCGCGUUCCAUGGGUUCGGCUCGAGCCUGUUAUCGGAUGCAUUACAUAAGCGGUACGCUCCUCCGGUGAGAACUUUGUCGAUGACAAAGGGACCUUCCCACUUGGGUUUGAGCUUGUCCUUCUUCUUCUCCGGUAGGCGUAGAACGAGUUCGCCAAUAUUGUAAGUUUUGGCCCGUAGUUCUCUGCUUUGGUAUCGUCGAGCCUGUUGUUGAUAGAAUGCGGAGCGGGAUUUUGCGACGUCGCGCUCCUCCUCCAGGGCAUCCAAGUUAUCCUGCCGAUCUAGCUUGGCUUCCUUCUCUUCGUACAUGCGUACGCGUGGCGAAUAAUGUAUUAUGUCGCAGGGUAGUACUGCUUCCGCGUCGUACACCAUAAAAAAUGGUGUAUAUCCGUGGUGCGAUUCGGCGCGGUCCGCAGUCCCCAGAGUACGGAGUCGAGCUCCUCGACCCUGUGCGUAUCUGACUCUGCCAAAGAUCGCACUAGUCUGGGUUUGAUGCCGCUCAUAAUGAGACUGUUUGCCCGUUCAACCUGGCUGUUUGUUUGGGGAUGGUAGACGGAUGCGUAGUCAAGCUUAAUGCCCAUUUUGCCGCACCAAGUUUUCACCUCAUCAGCUAUGAAAUUGGAGCCAUUAUAAGUGAUAAUGCUGUGGGGGACGUCGUAUCGGUGUACGACCCCGGAUAUGAAGUCUAUGACUGGUCCGGAUUCGGCCGUUUUGACUGGUUUGGCUUCUAUCCAUUUGGUGAACUUGUCCACCAUGACCAAUAAGUAUUUUUUCUUAUGGCUUCCUCCUUUAAGAGGUCCGACCAUAUCCAGCCCCCAGACCGCGAAGGGCUAGGUUAUGGGGAUUGUUUGGAGAGCGAUAGGGGGCAUAUGACUCUGAUUGGCGAAGAGCUGGCAACCGACGCAGUGUUGGACAAGGUCCUGUGCGUCUGCUCGGGCCGUCGGCCAAUAGAAGCCUGUACGGAAAGCCUUGCUGACUAGUGCCCAAGCCGCGGCGUGGUGCCCGCCCAGUCCGGCAUGGAUUUCAGUCAAGAGUUGCCGCCCUUCCUCCUCGGAGAUGCAUCUUUGGAGCACUCCGAUGGCACUUUUCUUGUAGAGUUCCCCUUCGUGGACUUUGUAAGCUUUAGAACGCUGGACAAUGCAGCGUGCUUCGUUUUGGUAUUCUGGGAGCUCCUGCCUAUUUAGGUAGGCCAAGAAAGGCUCAGUCCAUGGGGCGACUAUGGCCAUGAUUUCGUGGGCCGAAGAUGUUAUUUCGGUGGCAGAGCCUCCGAUUAUGUCUGAUGGUUCGGAAUCUGGGGGUGUGUUCGGAUCCGUGCUAGUAUUGUCGGACUCCCCUUCCCAUACCACGGAUGGCUUGAACAACCUUUCCAGGAAUAUGUUAGGUGGGACAGGGUCCCGUUUAGAACCGAUGCGGGCGAGAACGUCAGUCGCGUGAUUGUUUUCUCGAGCCACAUGGUGGAAUUCGAGCCCCUCAAACCGAGCUGACACUUUGAGGACGGCAUUACGGUAGGCCACCAUUUUCGGAUCCUUGGCGUCAAAGUCUCCAUUUAUUUGUGAUAUUGCGAGGUUCGAAUCCCCGCGCACUUCCAGGUGUUGGAUGCCCAUAGAGACCGCCAUCCGAAGACUGUGCAACAGAGCAUCAUAUUUCGCUGCAUUGUUGAAGUCUUUGUAUAAUAUUUGGAGGACGUACUGGACCGUGUCUCCGGUGGGAGACGUCAGGACUACACCUGCUCCCAAUCCGGCCAGCAUUUUAGAGUCGUCGAAGUGCAUGAUCCAGUUGGAAUACGCGCCAUACUCUUUAGGGAGUUUGGCUUCUGUCCAUUCAGUGACAAAGUCAGCCAGUACUUGCGACUUGAUGGCCCACCGUGGUUUGUAUAUUAUGUCGAACGGAAGGAGCUCGAUGGCCCAUUUAGCAAUCCGGCCCGUAGCAUCGCUAUUGUUUAUUAUGUCAUUGAGUGGUACUUCGGAGGCCACCGUAAUCGAACACUCUUGAAAGUAGUGUCGCAGCUUCCGGGAUGCCAUGAAGACCGCGUAUGCUAUUUUUUGAUAGUGUGGGUAUCAGGAUUUGCAUGGGGUGAGGACUGUGGAUAUGUAAUAAACCGGCUUUUGGAGCGGGAAUUUGUAUCCGUCAACCUCUCAUUCGACGACGAGCACUGCGCUUACAACUUGGUGUGUUGCAGCUAUGUACAGUAGCAUGGGCUCGCCGAUAUUUGGCGCUGUUAGGACUGGAUUACUGGCCAGUAAGGUCUUUAUUUCAUCUAGUCCAGCCGCGGCUGCAUCCGUCCACACGAAGUGUUCGGUGCGCCAAAGGAGACGGUAAAGAGGUAAUGCCUUUUCUCCUAACCUGGAGAUAAAGCGGCUCAAAGCGGCCACGCAUCCAACUAGUUUUUGGAUGUGCUUGAGGUCUGUUGGUAUAUCCAACUGCGAUAGAGCUCGGAUUUUUGCCGGAUUCACUUCGAUUCCUCUAUUGGAAACAAUGAAGCCCAGAAGUUUCCCCGAGGGGACGCCGAAAACACAUUUUCCGGAUUCAACUUGAUGUCGUAUGUCCGGAGGUUACCGAAUGUAAGCCUCAAGUCAUCUAUUAGGGUUUCAACGUGUCUUGUUUUUAUGACCACAUCGUCUACGUAUGCCUCCACUAUUUUGCCGAUUUGUUUUCCCAGGCAUGUUUGAAUCAUGCGUUGAUAGGUUGCACCGGCAUUCUUAAGCCCGAAAGGCAUAGUGUUGAAGCAAAAGGGGCCAUAUGGCGUUAUGAAAGUUGUUGCAGCUUGGUCAGACUCUGCCAUCUUUAUUUGGUGGUAUCCAGAGUAUGCGUCGAGAAAACACGGCGAGUCGUGUCCAGCUGUGGCAUCAAUUAUUUGAUCGAUGCGAGGGAGGGGAAAGAGAUCCUUGGGGCAAGUUGUUGAGGUCUUUGAAGUCGACGCAUAGGCGCCAGGAUUUGUCCUUCUUUGCCAGCCAAUCAGGAUGUUUAAUAUCUCUGAUGAAUCUGGCCUCAAGUAGCUUGGCUAGCUCUUCCCCCAUUGCUUGUCGUUUGGGCUCUGAAAAUCGCCUUAGGGUCUGUUUGACAGGUUUGUAUCCCUUUAGUAUGUUAAGGCUGUGUUCAGCCAAUCCACGCGGGAUGCCCGGCAUGUCCGAUGGGUGCCAGGCGAAAAUGUCCCAAUUCUCGCUUAAAAAGUCUCGUAGUGCGGCGUCCAUUGCGGGGCUCAACUGUGUCCCGAUGGAAGCUGUCUUCUUGGGGUCUGUUGGAUGGACUUGGAAUUUGACUAUCUCAUCUGCGGGUUUAAAUGAGGUGGACUUGGAUCGCUUGUCGAGUAGCACGUCGUCCCUGUCCACCGUGGCCCGUAGCGUCGUUAAUUCUUUGGCCGCUAGGGCUUCGAAUAAUGCUUCCAGGGCUAGUGUUGCGGUUUUGUUUUCAGCGCGAAGUGCGACGUCCGGAUCACUGGCUAGAGUGAUGAUUCCAUUGGGCCCGGGCAUUUUUAAGCUUCAUAUACCCGUAAUGGGGUAUGGCUUGAAAGCUCGUAAACGCGUCCCGCCCUAGAAGGGCGUGGUAUCCGCUGCUGAAAGGAGCCACUUGGAAUGUGAUUUCUUCGGACCUGUAGUUCUCCGGGGUGCCGAAUACCACAUCGAGUGUGAUUUUUCCCGCACACUGCGCCUCCCGACUAGGGAUAAUUCCCCUGAAGGUUGUGCCGCUUUGUUCAAUGCGGCUUUUAUCAAUUUCCAUCUUGCCGAGCGUUUCUUCAUAGAUCAAGUUUGAUCCGCUCCCGCCAUCCAUGAGUACUUUAGUGAGCCGGAAGCCAUCCACGAUUGGGCUAAGGACCAGAGCGGCUGGUACCCGGACGGUCUGGAAUCGAGGUUCAUCACUGGCAUUGAAAGUUAUAGCAGUGUCGUUCCAGGGGUUUAUUUUUGCCACAUGGCAAAUUUCAGCGGAGCUCCGAUGAGCUCGCUUGCGCCUAUUGUUUGAGGAAAAAGUCUCGAAGACUGUUAGUACCGUAUUGUGCUCGUUGGCGGGAUGUUGUUCUGCUUUAAGGCUCGCAAGAAGAUUCUCGCCACUUUUUGCAACCUGCCGGAGUAUCCAACACGCCCUAAGGCUAUGGGUUGGUGCUGUGUCCGGAGCACUGUGGAGUUUACAUGGCCCAUCGAGCCAUUCUUCCAAUACGGUUCCCCGCCCUGGGGUGUGCUUUGGUUUCUUGGGAAUUGGAUCGGCCGACUUACGAGAGUUCGCCCGUUUAGUUCGGACAAAGGUCUUGGUGAGAGUCGUACUGUCCCAAAGUUCUAUUUGGGUUUUCCGGGCGCUUUCCAUCGCACAGUACUUCUGUACUAUGAUUGCCAAGUCCGCGAAGUGUACUAUGUCACGGCGGCUUAUAGCAUUAAGGAGUCCUUUGUCCAUGCAGUUUUUGCAGAAGAGUGAGACUACGUCCUCCUCGCGGCAGUCCUUGACCUUGUUAAGUGCAAGGAGGAAUCUGGCCCAGUAGCAAUGUACAGUCUCCUGGGGCUCUUGCCUGAUGCGGAAGAGACGGUUUAAGUCCAGGUGGGUGUUGUUAGCUAAAUCCGGAUUCUGACCCGAUCUAACACCCAGGGGCAUGGGAGGUUCCAAGCCUAACAGCCCGGGAUCCGGAGUGCUGCCCAAUUUCUUCAGCCCAAUGCCCGAUUCUAAGUCCGGGACCCUGGUCAUGCCUUCCUUUGAGAAGGUGUUCGGCUCAAGGAGUUCAGUGAUCCGGACAUAAUUCAUCCUCAAAGUUGAGGGGCAAUCCAUGUGUGGUUCCUCCACUACCGCUAUCUCAUGGGUGGCCAGCGGGGAUCUGAUGUCCCUUUGGUCGGGUUUAAGCCCGAUCCGGUCAUAGUCUGUAGCGACUCCCAUAGCGGCGAUGCGAUCCAAGAGCUCAUUAAGGGAGGAGAGCUCCAUCGGAUCCAUCUGUUCAGCGACUUCCGAACUGACACGAAGGUUAUGCUUGAUGACCCGAGAGGCCAUCGUCGGUGAAACCGCCGAUGGGGCAGCCAUGAUAAAGCCGCCAAGUGGGAGAGUUUGGCCUACAGCCAGAGCUCCCCCCGAGGUAAUGUUGUCCUUGACGACAAGACGAGCCAUCGAGCCUUGCAACAAUGACACAGAGGAACUCUCAAUGAAAGCACCAAUGUCGGUGUCAAAACCGACAGAUCUCGGGUAGGGGGUCCCGAUCUGUGCGUCUUAGGCUGAUGGUAACAGGAAGCGAGGGAUACAAUGUUUACCCAGGUUCGGGCCCUCUCGAUGGAGGUAAAACCCUACUUCCUGCUUGAUUAAUAUUGAAGAUAUGAGUAGUACAAGAGUAGAUCUACCAUGAGAUCGUAGAGGCUAAACCCUAAGAGCUAGCCUAUGAUGGUAUGAUUGUAAUUGUGAUCGGCCUUCUAAGGACCAACCUCUUCGGUUUAUAUAGACACCAGAGAGGGCUAGGGUUUAUAUGGAGUCGGUUACAAGGAAGGAAACACAAUAUCCGGAUCGCCAAGCUUUCCUUCCAUGCAAAGGAGAGUCCCAUCCGGACACGGGCCGAAGUCUUGAGUCUUGUAUCUUCACGCUUCAAUAGUCCAGACGAUGUAUAUAGUCCGGUUGUCCGGAUACCCCCUAAUCCAGGNNNNNNNNNNNNNNNNNNNNNNNNNNNNNNNNNNNNNNNNNNNNNNNNNNNNNNNNNNNNNNNNNNNNNNNNNNNNNNNNNNNNNNNNNNNNNNNNNNNNNNNNNNNNNNNNNNNNNNNNNNNNNNNNNNNNNNNNNNNNNNNNNNNNNNNNNNNNNNNNNNNNNNNNNNNNNNNNNNNNNNNNNNNNNNNNNNNNNNNNNNNNNNNNNNNNNNNNNNNNNNNNNNNNNNNNNNNNNNNNNNNNNNNNNNNNNNNNNNNNNNNNNNNNNNNNNNNNNNNNNNNNNNNNNNNNNNNNNNNNNNNNNNNNNNNNNNNNNNNNNNNNNNNNNNNNNNNNNNNNNNNNNNNNNNNNNNNNNNNNNNNNNNNNNNNNNNNNNNNNNNNNNCCCCCCAAACCCUUUCCAAUUCGGUCUCCUGCCCAAGGGGGGCGCACCAGCCCCUUGUGGGUUGGUGUGCUUCCUUCUUAUGGCCCAUAAGGCCCAUAACUUCUCCCAGGGGGUUCCGAUAACCUCCAGGUACUCUAGAAAAAUGUCUGAACCACUCAGAACCCUUCUGAUGUCCAAACAUAGUCAUCCGAUAUAUCGAUCUUUAUGUAUCGACCAAUUCAAGACUCAUCGUCAUGUUCGUGAUCAUAUCCGGGACUCUGAACUACCUUCAGUACACCAAAACACAUAAACUCAUAAUACCGAUCGUCACCGAACGUUAAGUGUGCGGACCCUACGGGUUCGAGAACUAUGUAGACAUGACCGAGAAUCAUCUUCGGUCGAUAACUAAUAGCAGAACUUGGAUGCUCAUAUUGGUUCCUACAUAUUAUACGAAGAUCUUUAUCGGUCAAACCGCAUAACAACAUACGUUGUUCCCUUUGUCAUCGGUAUGUUACUUGCCCGAUAUUCGAUCAUCGGUUUCUCAAUACCUAGUUCAAUCUCGUUACCGGUAAGUCUCUUUACUCAUUCCGUAAUGCAUCAUCCCGCAACUAACUCAUUAGUCACAUUGCUUGCAAGGCUUAUAGUGAUGUGCAUCACCGAGAGGGCCCAGAGAUACCUCUCCGACAAUCGGAGUGACAAAUCCUAAUCUCGAUCUAUGUCAACCCAACAAGUACCAUCGGAGACACCUGUAGAGCACCUUUAUAAUCACCCAGUUAUGUUGUGACGUUUGGUAACACACAAAGUGUUCCUCUGGUAUUCGGGAGUUGCAUAAUCUCAUACUCAUAGGAACAUGUAUAAGUCAUGAAGAAAGCAAUAGCAACAUACUAAACAAUCAAGUGCUAAGCUAACGGAAUGGGUCAAGUCAAUCACAUCAUUCUCUAAUGAUGUGAUCCCGUUAAUCAAAUGACAACUCAUGUCCAUGGCUAGGAAACUUAACCAUCUUUGAUUCAACGAGCUAGUAAAGUAGAGGCAUACUAGUGACACUCUGUUUGUCUAUGUAUUCACACAUGUACUAAGUUUCCGGUUAAUAAUUCUAGCAUGAAUAAUAAACAUUUAUCAUGAUAUAAGGAAAUAUAAAUAACAACUUUAUUAUUGCCUCUAGGGUCUAUUUCCUUCAGUCGCUUUAUUGUGUGAAAUGCAAUUGCCAAGUAAUUGCUUUACUUUAUCACUAAGCGGUAGCGGUAGUUGUAGAAGCAAUAGUUGGCGAGACGACAACGAUGCUAUGAUGGAGAUCAAGGUGUCGCGCCGCUGAUGAUGGUGAUCAUGACGGUGCUUUGGAGAUGGAGAUCAAAGGCACAAGAUGAUGAUGGUCAUAUCAUAUCACUUAUAUUGAUUGCAUGUGAUGUUUAUCGUUUAUGCAUCUUAUUUUGCUUAGUUCGAGGGUAGCAUUAUAAGGUGAUCUCUCACUAAAUUUCAAGGUACAAGUGUUCUCCCUGAGCAUGCACCGUUGUGAAAGUUCGUCGUGCCGAGACACCACGUGAUGAUCGGGUGUGAUAAGCUCUACAUUCACAUACAAUGGGUGCAAGCCAGUUUUGCACACGUAGAAUACUCGAGUUAAACUUGACGAGCCUAGCAUAUGCAGAGAUGGCCUCAGAACACUGAGACCGAAAGGUCGAGCGUGAAUCAUAUAGUAGAUAUGAUCAACAUAGUGAUGUUCACCAUUGAACACUACUCCAUCUCACGUGAUGAUCGGACAUGAUUUAGUUGAUAUGGAUCACAUGAUCACUUAGAUGAUUAGAGGGAUGUCUAUCUAAGUGGGAGUUCUUGAGUAAUUUGAUUAAUUGAACUUUAAUUUAUCAUGAACUUAGUACCUGAUAGUAUUUUGCAUGUCUAUGUUGUUGUAGAUAGAUGGCUCGUGUUGUUGUUCCGUUGAAUUUUAAUGCAUUCCUAGAGAAAGCUAAGUUGAAAGAUGAUGGUAGCAACUACAAUGACUGGGUCCGUUGAGGGAGUCCUGGAUUAGGGGGUCCUCAGACAGCCGGACUAUAUACUUUGGCCGGACUGUUGGAUUAUGAAGAUGCAAGAUUGAAGACUUCAUCCCGUGUCCGGAUGGGACUCUCCUUUGCGUGGAAGGCAAGCUUGGCAAUUCGGAUAUGUAGAUCUCCUUCUCUGUAACCGACUCUGUGUAACCCUAGGCCCCUCCAGUGUCUAUAUAAACCGGAGGGUUUAGUCCAUAGGACAACAACAAUCAUAAUCAUAGGCUAGCUUCUAGGGUUUAGCCUCUACGAUCUCAUGGUAGAUCAACUCUUGUAAUACUCAUAUCAUCAAGAUCAAUCAAGCAGGAAGUAUGGUAUCACCUCCAUCGAAAGGGCCUGAACAUGGGUAAAACAUCAUGUCCCCUGCCUCCUAUUACCAUUAGCCUUAGACGCACAGUUCGGGACCCCCUACCCGAGAUCCGCCGGUUUUGACACUGACUACAUAACUUGAGGAUUAUCCUCAUUGCUGCACAGAAGAAUUAUGUCCUGGAAGCACCGCUAGGUGCCAAACCCGCUGCAGGAGCAACGCCAGAUGUUAUGAACAUCUGGCAGAGCAAAGCUGAUGACUACUCAAUAGUUCAGUGUGCCAUGCUUUACAGCUUAGAACCGGGACUUCAACGACGUUUUGAACGUCAUGGAGCAUAUGAGAUGUUCCAGGAAUUGAAGUUAAUAUUUCAAGAAAAUGCCCGAAUUGAGAGAUAUGAAGUCUCCAAUAAGUUCUAUAACUGCAAGAUGGAGGAGAACAGUUCUGUCAGUGAACAUAUACUCAAAAUGUCUGGGUACAAUAAUCAGUUGAUUCAACUGGGAGUUAAUCUUGCUCAUGAUAUUGUCAUUGACAGAAUUCUUCAAUCACUGCCACCAAGCUACAGGAGCUUUGUGAUAAACUAUAAUAUGCAAGGGAUGGAUAAGACAAUUCCCGAGCUCUUCGCAAUGCUAAAAUAUGUGGAGGUAGAAAUCAAGAAGGAGCAUCAAGUGUUGAUGGUCAACAAGACCACCGGUUUCAAGAAAAAGAGUAAAGGGAAGAAGGGGAACUUCAAGAAGAACGACAAGCAAGUUGCUACUCAAGUGAAGAAGCCCAAGUCUGGACCUAAGCAUGAGACUGAGUGUUUCUACUGCAAAGGGACUGGUCACUAGAGGCAGAACUGCCCCAAGUAUUUGGCGAAUAAGAAGGAUGGCAAGGUGAACAAAGGUAUAUGUGAUAUACAUGUUAUUGAUGUGUACCUUACUAAUGCUCGCAGUAGCACCUGGGUAUUUGAUACUGGUUCUGCUCCUAAUAUUUACAACUCAAAAUAGGGACUGCGGAUUAAGUUAAGAUUGGCUAAGGAUGAGGUGACGAUGCGCGUAGGAAAUGGUUCCAAAGUCGAUGUGAUCGCGGUCGGCACGCUACCUCUACAUCUACCUUCGGGAUUAGUUUUAGACCUGAAUAAUUUUUAUUUGGUGCCAGCGUUGAGCAUGAACAUUAUAUAUGGAUCUUGUUUGAUGCGAGACAGUUAUUCAUUUAAAUCUAAGAAUAAUGGUUGUUCUAUUUAUAUGAGUAAUAUCUUUUAUGGUCAUGCACCCUUGAAGAGUGGUCUAUUUUUAUUGAAUCUCAAUAGUAGUGAUACACAUAUUCAUAAUAUUGUAGCCAAAAGAUGCAGAGUUGAUAAUAAUAGUGCAACUUAUUUGUGGCACUGCCGUUUGGGUCAUAUUGGUGUAAAGCGCAUGAAGAAACUCCAUUCUAAUGGACUUUUGGAAUCACUUGAUUAUGAAUCACUUGGUACUUGCGAACCAUGCCUCAUGGGAAAGAUGACUAAAACUCUGUUCUCCGGAACAAUGGAGCAAGCAACAAAUUUGUUGGAAAUCAUACAUACUGAUGUAUGUGUUCCGAUGAAUGUUGAGGCUCGCGGUGGGUAUUGUUAUUUUCUCACCUUCACAGAUGAUUUGAGCAGAUAUGGGUAUAUCUACUUGAUGAAACAUAAGUCUGAAACAUUUGAAAAGUUCAAAAAAUUUCAGAGUGAAGUGGAAAAUCGUCGUAACAAGAAAAUAAAGUUUCUACGAUCUGAUCGUGGAGGAGAAAUUUGAGUUACGAGUUUGGUCUUCAUUUGAAACAAUGCGGAAUAGUUUCGCAACUCACGCCACCCGGAACACCACAACAUAAAGGUGUGUCCGUACGUCAUAAUCGUACUUUACUAGAUAUGGUGCGAUCUAUGAUGUAUCCUACUGAUUUACCGCUAUCAUUUUGGGGUUAUGCUUUAGAGAUGGCUGCAUUCACAUUAAAUAGGGCACCAUCUAAAUCCGUUGAGACGACACCUUAUGAACUAUGGUUUGGCAAGAAACCAAAGUUGUCGUUUCUUAAAGUUUGGGGCUGCGAUGCUUAUGUGAAAAAGCUUCAAUCUGAUAAGCUCGAACCCAAAUCGAAGAAAUGUGUCUUCAUAGGAUACCCAAAGGAGACUGUUGGGUACACCUUCUAUCACAGAUCCGAAGGCAAGACAUUCGUUGCUAAGAAGUGAGUGGGAGGAAAGUAGAACUUGAUGAGCUAACUGUACCUGCUCCCUUAUUGGAAAGUAGUUCAUCAUAGAAAUCAGUUCCUGCGACUCCUACACCAGUUAGUGAGGAAGCUAAUGAUGAUGAUCAUGUAACUUUAGAUCAAGUUACUACCGAACCUCGUAGGUCAACUAGAGUAAGAUCCGCACCAGAAUGGUACGGCAAUCCUGUUCUGGAGGUCAUGUUACUUGACCAUGAUGAACCUACGAACUAUGAGGAAGCGAUGAUGAGCCCAGAUUCUGCGAAAUGGCUUGAGGCCAUGAAAUCUGAGAUGGGAUCCAUGUAUGAGAACAAAGUGUGGACUUUGGUUCACUUGCCUGAUGAUCGGUAAGCCAUCGAGAAUAAAUGGAUCUUCAAGAAGAAGACUGACGCUGAUGGUAAUGUUACUGUCUACAAAGCUCGACUUGUUGCAAAAGGUUUUUCACAAGUUCAAGGAGUUGAGUAUGAUGAGACCUUCUCACCUGUAGCGAUGCUUAAGUCCGUCUGAAUCAUGUUAGCAAUUCUGCAUUUUAUGGUUAUGAAAUUUGGCAAAUGGAUGUAAAGACUGCAUCCCUGAAUGGAUUUCUGGAAGAAGAGUUGUAUAUAAUGCAACCUGAAGGUUUUAUCGAUCCAAAGGGUGCUAACAAAGUGUGCAAGCUCCAGCGAUCCAUUUAUGGUCUGGUGCAAGCAUCUCGGAGUUGGAAUAAACGUUUUGAUAGUGUGAUCAAAGCACAUGGUUUUAUACAAACUUUUGGAGAAGCCUGUAUUUACAAGAAGGUGAGUGGGAGCUCUGUAGCAUUUCUAAUAUUAUACGUGGAUGACAUAUUGUUGAUUGAAAAUGAUAUAGAAUUUCUGGAUAUCAUAGAAGGGAUAAUUGAAUAAGAGUUUUUCAAUGAAAGACCUCGGUGAAGCUACUUAUAUAUUGGGCAUUAAGAUCUAUAGAGAUAGAUCAACAUGCUUAAUUGGACUUUCACAGAGCACAUACCUUGACAAAGUUUUGAAGAAGUUCAAAAUGGAUCAAGCAAAGAAAGGGUUAUUGCCUGUGUUACAAGGUGUGAAGUUGAGUCAUACUCAAUGCCCGACCACUGCAGAAGAUAGAGAGAAAAUGAAAGGUGUUCCCUAUGCUUCAGCCAUAGGCUCUAUCAUGUAUGCAAUGUUGUGUACCAGACCUGAUGUGUGCCUUGAUAUAAGCUUAGCAGGGAGGUACCAAAGUAAUCCAGGAGUGGAUCACUGGACAGCGGUCAAGAACAUCCUGAAAUACCUGAAAAGGACUAAGGAUAUGUUUCUCAUUUAUGGAGGUGACAAAGAGCUCGUCGUAAAUGCUUACGUCGAUGUAAGCUUUGACACUGAUUUGGAUGACUCUAAGUCACAAACCGGAUAUGUAUUUAUAUUGAACGGUGGAGCUGUCAGUUGGUGCAGUUCUAAGAAAAGCGUCGUGGCAGGAUCUACAUGUGAAGCGGAGUACAUAGCUGCUUCAGAAGCAGCAAAUGAAGGAGUUCAUAUCCGAUCUAGGUGUCAUACCUAGUGCAUCGGGUCUAAUGAAAAUCUUUUGUGACAAUACUGGUGCAAUUGCCUUGGCAAAGGAAUCGGAUUUCACAAGAGAGCCAAGCACAUCAAGAGAUGCUUCAAUUCCAUCCACGACCAAGUCAAGGAGGGAGACAUAGAGAUUUGCAAGAUACAUACGGAUCUGAAUAUUGCAGACCCAUUGACUAAGCCUCUCUCACGAGCAAAACAUGAUCAACACCAAGACUCCAUGGGUGUUAGAAUCAUUACUGUGUAAUCUAGAUUAUUGACUCUAGUGCAAGUGGGAGACUGAAGGAAAUGUGCCCUAGAGGCAAUAAUAAAAUUGUUAUUUAUAUUUCCUUAUAUCAUGAUAAAUUUUUAUUAUUCAUGCUAGAAUUGUAUUACCCGGAAACUUAGUACAUGUGUGAAUACAUAGACAAACAGAGUGUCACUAGUAUGCCUCUACUUGACUAGCUCGUUGAAUCAAAGAUGGUUAUGUUUCCUAACCAUAGACAUGAGUUGUCAUUUAAUUAACGGGAUCAUAUCAUUAGAGAAUGAUGUGAUUGACUUGACCCAUUCCGUUAGCUUAGCAUUUGAUCGUUUAGUAUAUUGCUAUUGCUUUCUUCAUAACUUAUACAUGUUCCUAUAACUAUGAGAUUAUGCAACUCCCGAAUACCGUAAGAACACUUUGUGUGCUACCAAACGUCACAACGUAACUGGGUGAUUAUAAAGGUGCUCUACAUGUGUCUCCGAUGGUACUUGUUGAGUUGGCAUAGAUCGAGAUUAGGAUUUGUCACUCCGAUUGUCGGAGAGAUAUCUCUAGGCCCUCUCGGUAAUGCACAUCACUAUAAGCCUUGCAAGCAAUGUAACUAAUGAGUUAGUUGUGGGAUAUGCACUAAGGAACGAGUAAAGAGACUUGCCAGUAAUGAUAUUGAACUAGGUAUUGAGAUACCAGCAAUCGAAUCUCAGGCAAGUAACAUACCGAUGUCUACUACGCAACCUUCUUCUUGUAGAUGUUGUUGGGCCUCCAAGUACAAAGUUUUGUAGGACAUUAGCAAAUUCCCCCAAGUGGAUGACCUAAGGUUUAUCAAUUCGUGGGAGGCGUAGGAUGAAGAUGGUCUCUCUCAAACAACCCUGCAACCAAAUAACAAAGAGUCUCUUGUGUCCCCAACACACCCAAUACAAUGGUAAAUUGUAUAGGUGCACCAGUUCAGCAAAGAGAUGGUGAUACAAGUGCAAUAUGGAUGAUAGAUAUGAGUAUUUGUAAUCUAAAAUAUAAAAACAGCAAGGUAACAAGCGAUAAAAGUGAGCGUAAACGGUAUUCCAAUGCGUUGAAACAAGGCCUAGGGUUCAUACUUUCACUAGUGCAAGUUCUCUCAACAAUAAUAACAUAAUUGGAUCAUAUAACUAUCCCUCAACAUGCAACAAAGAGUCACUCCAAAGUCACUAAUAGCGGAGAACAAACAAAGAGAUUAUUGUAGGGUACGAAACCACCUCAAAGUUAUCCUUUCUGAUCUAUCUGUUCAAGAGUCCGUAGUAAAAUAACGUGAAGCUAUUAUUUCCGUUCAAUCUAUCCUAGAGUUCGUACUAGAAUAACACCUUAAGACACAAAUCAACCAAAACCCUAAUGUCACCUAGAUACUCAAUAUCACCUCAAGUAUCCAUGGGUAUGAUUAUACGAUAUGCAUCACACAAUCUCAUAUUCAUCUAUUCAACCAACACAAAGUACUUCCAAGAGUGCCCCAAAGUUUCUACCGGAGAGUCAAGACGAAAACGUGUGCCAACCCCUAUGCAUAGGUUCACAAUGUUACGGAACCUGCAAGUUGAUCACCAAAACAUACAUAAAGUGAAUCACGUGAUAUCUCAUUGUCACCACAGAUAAGCACGUGCAAGACAUACAUCAAGUGUUCUCAAAUCCUUAAAGACUCAAUUCGAUAAGAUAACUUCAAAUGGAAAACUCAAUCCAUUACAAGAGAGUAGAGGGAGAGAAACAUCAUAAGAUCCAACUAUAAUAGCAAAGCUCGCGAUAAAUCAAGAUCGUAUCACCUCAACAAUACGAGAGAGAGAGAGAUCAAACACAUAGCUACCGGUACAUACCCUCAGCCCCGAGGGUGAACUACUCCCUCCUUAUCAUGGAGAGCGCUGGGAUGAUGAAGAUGGCCACCAGUGAUGGAUUCCCCCUCCGGCAGGGUGCCGGAACAGGCUCCCGAGAGGUUUUUGGUGGCUACAGAGGCUUGCGGCGGCGGAACUCCCGAUCUAUUGUGCUCCUGGAUGUUUCAACAUUUUAUCAUUUUCUGACUUUUCUAGGGAAUUUUUGCAACAGCGGUAAACUUUCUGUUUUGAAACAGCAACAUGUAUACUUACAAAUAAGCAUGGUAAAGGCUAUCCUUGACAUUUUUAUUGAAAAUAUAGAUGCAAAACAUUAUUAUAAAUAAUAAAAAGUAAAUACUAACAAAAGAAAAUGAUGCUCCAAGCAAAACACAUAUCAUGUGGUGAAUAAAAAUAUAGCUCGAAGUAAAGUUACCGAUGAACGAAGACGAAAGAGGGGAUGCCUUCCGGGGCAUCUCCAAGCUUAGGAUUUUGGUUGUCCUUGAAUAUUACCUUGGGGUGCCUUGGGCAUCCCCAAGCUUAGGCUCUUGCCACUCCUUAUUCCAUAGUCCAUCGAAUCUUUACCCAAAACUUGAAAACUUCACAACACAAAACUCAACAGAAAACUCGUAAGCUCCGUUAGUAUAAGAAAAUAAAUCAUCACUUUUGGUACUGUUGUGAACUCAUUCUAAAUUCAUAUUGGUGUAAUAUCUACUGUAUUCCAACUUCUCUAUGGUUCAUACCCUAUGAUACUACUCAUAGAUUCAUCAAAAUAAGCAAACAACACAAUGGAAACGGAAUCUGUCAAAAACAGAACAGUCUGUAGUUAUAUGUAUCAAACGUAUACUUCUGAAACUCCAAAAAUUCUGAAAUAAAUUGGUGGACCUGAGGAAUUUGUCUAUUAAACAUCUGAAAAAAUAAUCAACCUAAAAGCACUCUCCAGUAAAAAAUGGCAGCUAAUCUCGUGAGCGCAAAGUUUUUGUUUUUUACAGCAAAAUCACAAAGACUUCACCCAAGUCUUCCUAAAGGUCCUACUUGGAACAAACACUAAUUAAAACAUAAAACCACAUCUAAACAGAGGCUAGAUGAAUUAUUUAUUACUAAACAGGAACAACAAGCAAGUAACAAAAAUAAAAUUGGGUUGCCUCCCAACAAGUGCUAACGUUUAACGCCCCUAGCUAGGCAUGAUAAUUUCAAUGAUGCUCACAUAAAAGAUAAGAAUUGAAACAUAAAGAGAGCAUCAUGAAGAAUAUGACUCGAACAUUUAAGUCUAACCCACUUCCUAUGCAUAGGGAUUUUGUGAGCAAACAACUUGUGGGAACAAUAAUCAACUAGCAUAGGAAGGCAAAAACAAGCAUAACUUUAAAACUUUAAGCACAUAGAGAAGAAACUUGAUACUAUUGCAAUUCCUACGAGCAUAUAUUCCUCCAUCAUAAUAAUUUUCAGUAGAACAAUGAAUGAAUUUCAACAAUAUAACUAUCACAUAAAGCAUUCUUUUCAUGAUCUACAAGCAUAGAAAUUUUAUUACUCUCCACAAAAGCAAAUUUGUUCUCAUGAAUAGUAGUGGGAGCAAACUCAACAAAAUAACUAUCAUGUGAAGCAUAAUCCAAUUGAAAAUUAAAAUCAUGAUGACAAGUUUCAUGGUUAUCUUUAUUCUUUAUAGCAUACAUGUCAUCACAAUAAUCAUCAUAAAUAGGAGGCAUGCUUUCAUCAUAAUAAAUUUGCUCAUCAAAACUUGGGGGACAAAACAUAUCAUCUUCAUCAAACAUAGCAUCCCCAAACUUGUGGCUUUGCAUAUCAUUAGCAUCAUGGGUAUUCAAAGAAUUCAUACUAACAACAUUGCAAUCAUGCUCAUCAUUCACAUAUUUUAUGCCAAGCAUUCUAUGUAAUUCUUCUUCUAGUACUUGAGCACAAUUUUCCUUCCCAUCAUUUUCACGAAAGACAUUAAAAAGAUAAAGCAUAUGAGGCAACCUUAAUUCCAUUUUUUGUAGUUUUCUUUUAUAGACUAAACUAGUGAUAAAACAAGAAACUAAAAGAUUAUAUUGCAAGAUCUAAAGAUAUACCUUCAAGCACUCACCUUCCCAGCAAUGGUGCCAGAAAAGAGCUUGAUGUCUACUAUGCAACCUUCUUCUUGUAGACGUUGUUUGGCCUACAAGUGCAGAGGUUUGUAGGACAGUUGCAAAUUUCCCUCAAGUGGAUGACCUAAGGUUUAUCAAUUCGUGGGAGGCGUAGGAUGAAGAUGGUCUCUCUCAAACAACCCUGCAACCAAAUAACAAAGAGUCUCUUGUGUCCCCAACACACCCAAUACAAUGGUAAAUUGUAUAGGUGCCUUAGUUCGGCGAAGAGAUGGUGAUACAAGUGCAAUAUGGAUGAUAGAUAUGAGUAUUUGUAAUCUAAAAAUAUAGAAACAACAAGGUAACAAGCGAUAAAAGUGAGCGUAAACGGUAUUGCAAUGUGUUGAAACAAGGCCUAGGGUUCAUACUUUCACUAGUGCAAGUUCUCUCAACAAUAAUAACAUGAUUGGAUCAUAUAACUAUCCCUCAACAUGCAACAAAGAGUCACUCCAAAGUCACUAAUAGCGGAGAACAAACAAAGAGAUUAUUGUAGGGUACAAAACCACCUCAAAGUUAUCCUUUCUGGUCUAUCUAGUCGAGAGUCCGUAGUAAAAUAACAUGAAGCUAUUCUUUCCGUUCAAUCUAUCCUAGAGUUCGUACUAGAAUAACACCUUAAGACACAAAUCAACCAAAACCCUAAUGUCACCUAGAUACUCCAAUGUCACCUCAAGUAUCUGUGGGUAUGAUUAUACGAUAUGCAUCACACAAUCUCAGAUUCAUCUAUUCAACCAACACAAAGUACUUUCAAGAGUGCCCCAAAGUUUCUACUGGAGAGUCAAGAUGAAAACGUGUGCCAACCCCUAUGCAUAAGUUCACAAUGUUACGGAACCCGCAAGUUGAUCACCAAAACAUACAUCAAGUAAAUCAUGUGAUAUCCCAUUGUCACCACAGAUAAGCACAUGCAAGACAUACAUCAAGUGUUCUCAAAUCCUUAAAGACUCAAUCCGAUAAGAUAACUUCAAAGGGAAAACUCAAUCCAUUACAAGAGAGUAGAGGGGGAGAAACAUCAUAAGACCCAACUAGAAUAGCAAAGCUCGCGAUACAUCAAGAUCGUAUCACCUCAAGAACACGAGAGAGAGAGAGAGAGAGAGAGAGAGAGAGAGAGAGAGAUCAAACACAUAGCUACUGGUACAUACCCUCAGCCCCAAGGGUGAACUACUCCCUCCUCGUCAUGGAGAGCGCCGGGACAAUGAAGAUGGCCACCGGUGAUGGAUUCCCCCUCUGGCAGGGUGCCGGAACGGGCUCCCGAGAGGUUUUUGGUGGCUACAGAGGCUUGCAGCGGCGGAACUCCCGAUCUAUGGUGCUCUAUGGUGCUCUUGGAUGUUUUCAGGGUAUAUGGGUAUAUAUAGGCGAAAGAAGUCGGUCAGGGGAGCCACGAGGGGCCCACGAGGGUGGGGGUGCGUCUAGGGGGUAGGGCGCGCCCUGGACCCUCGUGGCCACCUCGUUGCUUCCCUGACGUCUACUCCAAGUCUCCUGGAUUGCGUUUGUUCUGAAAAUAACUCUCCCGAAGGUUUCAUUCUGUUUGGACUCCGUUUGAUAUUCCUUUUCUGCAAAACACUGAAAUAGGCAGCAAUUUGGACUGGGCCUUCGGUUAAUAGGUUAGUCCCAAAAAUAAUAUAAAAGUGUAUAAUAAAGCCCAUUAAACAUCCAAGAUAAUAUAAUAGCAUGAAUACUUCAUAAAUUAUAGAUACAUUGGAGACGUAUCACAUACCGAUGACAAAGGGAACAACGUAUGUUGUUAUGCGGUUUGACCGAUAAAGAUCUUCGUAGAAUAUGUGGGAUCCAAUAUGAACAUCCAGGUUCCGCUAUUGGUUAUUGACCGGAGACGUCUCUCGGUCAUGUCUACAUAGUUCUCGAACCCGUAGGGUCCGCACGCUUAACGUUCGGUAAUAUGAGUUUAUGUGUUUUGAUGUACCGAAGGUUGCUCGGAGUCCCGGAUAUGAUCACAGACAUGACGAGGAGUCUCAAAAUGGUCGAGACAUAAAGAUCGAUAUAUUGGAUGACUAUGUUUGGACUUCGGAAGGGUUCCGAGUGAGUUUGGACAAAUACCGGAGUACCGGGGGGUUACCGGAACCCCCCGGGGAGUGUAAUGGGCCUCAUGGGCCUUGGUGGAGAGAGGAAGGGGCGGCCAGGGCAGGCCGCGCGCCCCCUCCCCCUCUAGUCCGAAUUGGACAAGGAAGGGGGCGGCGCCCCCCUUUUUCCUUCCCCCUCUCUCCUCCUUCCUUCCCUCCUACUCCUACUCUUGGAAGGAGUGGAAUCCUACUCCCGGUGGGAGUAGGACUCCCCUUGGGGCGCGCCUAGGAGGCCGGUCUCCUCCCCCUCCUCCACUCCUUUAUAUACGGGGGAGGGGGCACCCCAGAGACACACAAGUUGAUCAUUGAUCUCUUAGCCGUGUGCGGUGCACCCCUCCAUCAUAAUCCACCUCGGUCAUAUCGUCGUAGUGCUUAGGCGAAGCCCUACGCCGGUAGCUUCAUCACGCCGUCGUGCUGACGAAACUCUCCCUCGAAGCUCUACUGGAUCGUGAGUUCGUGGGACGUCGCCGAGCUGAACGUGUGCAGAUCGCGGAGGUGCCGUACGUUCGGUACUAGGGUCGGUCGAUCGUGAAGACGUACGACUACAUCAAUCGCGUUGUCAUAAUGCUUCCGCUUACGGUCUACGAGGGUACGUGGACGACACUCUCCCCUCACGUUGCUAUGCAUCACCAUGAUUUUGCGUGUGCAUAGGAAAUUUUUUAAAUUACUACGUUACCCAACACCAGCACAUGUAGUAGCAAUCUCAGUGUCAAAAAUGCUCUGAUAUUAUGAGACGGAGGGAGUAGCUUAGUUCUCAUCCCAAAGCACGGGCACCACAUGUACAAUUUUCUUUACAAAUAUAAACGUGCAUAUGAUGAUGGAUAGUGGAUGUUCAGAGGAAGACAAAUCAGCAAUGUUCCUAAUGUCCUAUGACUCCUAUCCCCGGCCCGAAGCAAGCGAUAAAUUUACAAGUGCUCACUGAAGCAAACACACUCACACGGCGGUACCAAACUAUUAACUGUGACGCCAACCAAACUAGCAAAAGAAAAAUCGAUCGGAAUCAAAGAGUUCGUGAGACACUGUCAUGGCUGGUCCUGGAUGAACUAGAUAUGAGACAGUAAGUACUGUCAGAGAUGCCCAAGAAGUCCAUGGACAUCCUUAUUUUCCUGCAUUCUUCCACGUGCAAUGACAAGUUAACGCUCGUACCUACUGUGAAAGAUACUACUCGUGAAAGCAGCGCUACUCACCGCAAGGCUCCAAUUGCUAGUUGCCGGACACGUCCAUUCUCCGUGUAGUUUCCAGCCCGGCCGGCGUCUUGCUUGGAGUAUGAGCUUGGAGCUAUGUGCGAGCCUUUGUGAGAUAUUUGCUUGUUUGAGAUGUGUGUGUGGCUCGUACGUAGCUUCCUGCGUGUGGCGCCUGCGUGCGCAAGCUCCUAAAUGCACGCCUGGGUGGUUUGCUACACUUGUUCUCAGUGUCAACAAGAGUGUCAAGGUACCAUGCAGCCUACGCUAGCCCUUGGUCUGCUGCUGCUUCUGAGCCUCGACGGAGGUGUGGCCUUGGCGGCGGAAGACGGCCGGUUCGCCUACCAAGGCUUCGCCACCGCGAACCUCACGCUGGAUGGCGUCGCCGCCGUCACGCCCAACGGCCUCCUGCUGCUCACCGACACGGAGACGGAGUACCAGACAACAGGCCAUGCCUUCCACCCCGCACCACUCCGCUUCCUCGACAGCUCCACCGCGACGGCGAACAGCGCCGCCAUGGCGCGGUCCUUCUCCGCGUCCUUCGUGUUCGCAAUUAGGUCCAGAUACGAUGGCCUGACCAGCUACGGGCAUGCGUUCGUCGUCGCGCCGACCUCGAACCUCUCAGCUGCCCAGAGCGGGCGGUACCUGGGCCUCCUCAACGGGACAAACGGCACGGCCAGCGAUCCCAUCUUGGCAGUCGAGCUCGACACCAUCAUGGACGUCGAGUUCCGCGACAUCAACAGCAACCACGUCGGCAUCGACGUCAACAGCCUCAUCUCACGGCAGGCCAAGCAGGCUGGGUAGUACAGCGACGAGAACGGCGCCUUUCAAGAGCUGACGCUGAACAGCCGCGAACCGAUGCAGGUCAUGGUUUUCACUUUCACUGUAAUUUCAUCAUGUCAGCAAUUAUAGUGGUACACAUAAAUUCAAAUUACUUACAAAGUAGUUCCUCCGUUCCUAAAUAAAUACUCCCUCCG